UUCCCAUACUUUUCAUUUCUUAAUCCAUCAUGCCCCUUAAGAACACUUGGGGCACUUACACAUACACAUAUAAGUGUAUAUAUAGAUCCAACCAUGCAUUAUAUAGUUUUAGUGACCGGGUUGAGUCUGAACAGCUUCUCCGGCAUAAGAACAACACCUUGAGCAGCCACGGUAACCUCUGUAGCAGCAACCGUGACGGCAAUAACCUCCUCCACGGCCUCCUCCGUUGUAUCCUCCUCCGCGGUGUCCUCCUCCGUUGUAACCUCCUCCUCCGUUGUAUCCUCCUCCGUUGUGUCCUCCUCCAUUGUAUCCUCCUCCUCCGUGGUGUCCUCCUCCGUUGUAACCUCCUCCUCCGUUGUAGCCACCACCAUAUCCAUCGGGUUUCACAUUUUCCUCACUUUCUGACUUCGCUGUAGCUGUCAAAAAUAAUACAUUUCAAAGAUAUUAUUAGCACGUUCAAAUUUGCAUUCCUCACCCAGAAUUUAGAACUAUUUUUCUAUUUGCAAAAAAUAUUAAGAGAUAUAAGUUUGCAUCUCUAGCUAGUUUGUUUCAAAACAUUUACAACAUAAGAUAUACGUUCUAAACAUUUUUGCUCUAAAUGUUUGAGAUGAUCCCGAUACAUAUAAUAAGAAUUCAACAUCAUACUUAAGUGUAUUUUGAUUUUCGUAAGUCUCCAGCCUUAUAACAAACUAAAUAGUUGAAUGAAUCUAUCACCCAAUGGAAGAAGUAGACAGAAACAUAAAAAAUAAUGUUACAUACCCGACUGCCUUUCGGAUGCCGCUGCCCUUUCUGAGACGACGAAAAGAAGUGCAAAGAGACCCAACAGAAUUAAAGCCCUCGAAGCCAUUUUCUUCAACUGUUCAACUCUUUGUUUUAGAACGUGUGAUGAAUAAAAAUGUCACCAUGUAUGCCUCUAUUUAAAGAAAACGAGGAGGAGGGAAUGAGAAGAGUAAAAAAAAACCUAAUCCCUAGUCCAAUAAAAAUAACUCAAAAGAAAAGUUAAGAAAUUUAAUAAUUUAUGACAAUAAAAAUAGUAAGAAGAAGAUAAGUAUCGAUUGCAUAGGGCCCAUUUAUGGUUGGUUGUUGGAAUCAUUGUAAAUAAUUUUGAAACUCCUUAAAUGGCAACUCUCCACUAGUCUUUUAGAUGUUUCUAUAAAACGUCUCAAACACAGCGCAUUCACACGUAUAUAGUCAUAGACAUAUUAAAAAAUAUUAUUGGAUUAUUUCGAGAAUAAUAUUCAUUAUUGGAGAGUUGGAGACUUGGACUAUUGUUUAUGAAUCGUCCUUUACAAUCUCAACCGACAGAUUUUACGCAGAAGGAUAUAGACAAAUCAUAUGGACUUAAAAUCAGUAAGUCAUAUAGGAGCGAUACGUAGUAGUUAAUAAGGACAGACGCAAAAUAUUAAGUCAUAUAGGAGCGUACGUAGUAGUUAAUAAGGGCAGACGCAAAAUAUUGCACGGCUAUAUUGUUGGGAUAUCAAUCCAAGUUUCACAUCUAAAAUUUAAACUAAUGUACUCAAAUAUAUAAGUAAAAUGUUUAAUAGUUUAGUAUAAAAUUUUUUGGAAGAAAUUUAAAAACAAAUCCGUGCAUGCUUUGUCAUUUGAAUCCAAAGUGGACAAUAUCAUACUAAUAGAGAAUUGGACAUGGAUUUGAAAAGUUCAACAAUUGGUAUCAGAACCAGGUUCUGGAAAAAAUGGAUCUGGACAAAUGGGUGUGGACUGUGUGUUCGGUGUGGGAGGGAGAGCCCUCAAAGUAACCUUGCGAUUAGGGUGCUGGUGCUUUGUAUCAAAAGUCUUCCGAUUGGGCUUUUCAAGCUCAUGUCCAACUCCCUAUUAGUAUGAUAUUGUCUGCUUUGGGCCCAAAUGACAAAGCCCGCACAGAUUUAUUUUUGGAUUCGGGUUUGAGUGGUCCUUAGCUAGAGGAGAGGAUUGUUGGGAUAUCAAUCCAAGUCCCACAUCCAAAGUUUAGACCAAUAUGGUCUAGUAUAUAAGCAAGAUGUCCAAUAGUUUAGUAUGAGACCUUUUGAGAAGGAAUCCAAAAACAAAUUCGUGCGGGCUUUGCCAUUUAGGCCAAAACGGACAAUAUCAUACUAAUAAGGAGUUGGACUGGGCUUGAAAAACCCAAUAUGAAGACUUUCGAUACAAGGCACCAGCACCCCAAUCGCAAGGUUACCUUGAGGGCUCUCCCUCCCACACCGAACACACAGUCCACACCCACUUCUCUAGUCUACCUUUUCCAGAACCUGACUCUGAUACCAAUUGUUAGAUUUUCAAGUCCUUGUCCAACUCUCUAUUAGUAUGAUAUUGUCUGCUUUGAGUCCAAGUAGAAAAGCCCGCACGUAUUUGUUUUUGAAUUCCUUUCCAAAAGGCCUCAUACUAAACUAUUGGAUAUCUUUAUGUACUAGACCAUGUUGGUCUUUACUUCGGAUGUGAGACUUGGAUUGAUAUCCCAACACUUUUUAACAGUUGCGAAAAGGUUAGGAGAAGAGUUUCGUUGGUGCGUACGGUGAUACAAGAUGGGUGCCAAGUUUCGCAGGAGGUUGGGAGGCCACGGGUUUGUGUGAUCCUUGGCUUAAGGGGAGAAUUAUUGGGAUAUCAAUCCAAACCUCAUAUCUGAAAUUUAGAGCAAUAUGGUCUAGAAUAUAAGCAAGAUGUCCAAUAGUUUAGUAUAGGGCAUUGUGGAUAAGAAUCCAAAACAAAUCCAUGCGGGGUUAGCCAUUUAGACUCAAAGCAGAUAAUAUCAUACUAAUAGAAAGUUAGACAUGGGCUUGAAAAGCCCAACAUAUAUUAAUCACAGCUAUUCUAAUGGAAAAUUUUUUUAAUGAAAUUAUCUAUUCAAGUCAUUUAAGCGUAAGGCUUGAUAUUCAGUAAAUGAGUUGAGAAUUAGUUAAUAAUAUUAAUAAAGGUCAUUGAGUGUGGACAUGUUAGUUACUUUCCUGCUACUUGCAUUUGACUUAAGAGUGAAAUUCAUAAGAUUGUACAAACAAAUUGUCUAACACAUGAGACUUGUGAUACCAAGAACAAUACAUGCACACAAUAAGCCAUGGUAGCUCAAUUAUUCGUUUGGAAUGUAAAACAUCACAUACAUGUCUAAUUCAAGUUUUACUUGAUAUAAAAAUUAAACGGAUGAUAUAAAGGAUCUAAGAACACCUCCAUUAGUGAGAUACAUCAAUAUAAUAUUAAUACUGCAUUUAAAAUAUACUUUAACUUUGCAAUUUUAAGUUUUCUAAAAAACAUUCAUGAAAAGAUAUAUGUUACAUUAGUCUCUCAUAUGGUUUACAAAUGAUAAUCCAUUCUCAUUCCCCAUUCUUUCUUUAAUAUGAGAAAUCCAGUGAAAUAUUCUCAAUAGAGAUGUUUUAAAGCCUCUAAUUAAUUAGCAUGAAUAUUUUACUUAUUAAAAAUGUAUAAUUUCAAGCUUGUGACUCAUCAAGGAGAACAUCCAAAACGACUUAAUCAUAAGUACGAGUUGGGAUUAAGCAAGAAUUGGGAACUGGACAGAGAGCAAAAAAUUAGAAAAUACGGAACACAAAUAGUAAUAGUUAAUGGUAAUAGUUAAAGGUAUCAACUUAAUCAUAAGGACGAGGGUGAUCUUUGUCUUACACAUAAUUCUUUUCCCCCUUAUUUCCUCUUAGUUUGGUUGUAAGGAUUAUCUAGAGGGUUGUAGCCUGUAGGAUAUAUGAUCUAGAGAUUGUGAAAGAUCUCUCGAAAAUUCUCAAGAAUUAGUCUACAAAAUAAAUUCCUAAGAAUCCUUCCCCAAUCCAAAGGAUCACGCUAGCAAUCCCCAAACCUCCGCUUUUGUCACUUAUCUUACCCUAGAUGGAUCUUCAAUACAGAUCGUUUUAUCCAUUUGAUCAAUACCAUACAAUUUAGGUGUCUUUGUAUAACAAGGCGUAGUAUAUCCCUUAUUUGGUAUUCACGCAACACAAUGAAACACAUGACUAUAUCUUUGUGUUUUUCCACUCAUUUUCGAAUUCUUUCUCUUUGUGUUAGAUUUAUUUUUGAGAGGCUGUCUCUUUUUUUUGGACAAAAGAAUAGAUACCUACAACUGUUUUAUAACAUAAACAAUAUCUUGCAGUCCGCCGCGUUGAAUGUAUGAAAUAGAGAAAGCUAAAACCUUCCUUACACAUGUUGAAUUCCUCCAUGCGGUAUAAACAUCAUCGUCACCAACUCGAAAUAGUCUGUAACAAAAGAUGUUGUCUUCUGAUAUUCGAUUAUACAGUGCAUGAUCCAAAUGAAUGCUUCUACUUCAACGUGCAAAGGAAAGAUUUUCUUGUAGACUUUUGCUCCCAUUAAUAUCAUUCAAUAUAUUCUUGGAAGCAAUGCCAUCCUAGUCUGGAAAAAUUGUCGGUUUAGUUUUCUUGUAAGAGCAGUCUAUGUAGCAUCAAAUAAUUUAACCAAAUUUCCUUGGGUCAACGAUCUAUUUUUUUAUGGGAAUUAUCUAUAGCAUGAGAUGUCUCCCGACCUAUAUAUGCCUUCUUUCUAUAUCUCCACGAAAUCGGGUUAAGACCUAUUUGAGAGAUUAAUAUUUUUAAGUUUGUUUUUGUGGGGAUAUACACAGAGAAAAUAAUUUAAUGUACGUUAACAUCUGAUGAUGGCUGAUGCUACAGUAAAAAUUCUAUAUAUUAAUAAUGUUGGAACUUUAAAAUUUUAUUAAUUUAGCAAAUUAUUAAUUUAUAAAGAAAUUAAUUUAACCAAAAUUUAAAUUUAAAACCAAAUAAUUAAUUGAGUUUAUUAAUUUAUCAAAUAUUAAUUUAUAGAAUUUCUGUUGUAUAUAUAUGAUAGUUCUCGUGAUUCUUUCUAUCCUUUCUAAGAAAGAGAAGUUAUCAAAUACAUUUAAUGGUGGAUACGUGGAGUCUCGGUCAGGAUUGUUGAUCACCACACGUGAUAGUGAAAUUGUAAUUUGGUAAUAAUAAGGGGAAAUGUUCAGCUAAAAAAAUUAAAUGAAACUCAGACCAUGCAAGUGUUGGAACCUUACUCAAUGAAUUGAUUGCUUGUUUCGAUCCAAAAUUCAAAAAGCAAUAACUAUAGCUGAUGCUGACUAUUGAGAAGAAAGUUCUAAAUUGGCAACUCAAACUAACCACAUGAUAGUAUGAUACAUAAUGACAUUCUUUCAAUUUUAUAGCCUUUUCUAUCAAAUUGAAAAUAUGGAAAACCAAAUUAUAUUUUUAAUAUUUAAAACAAGAUACUAGCUAUUCUAUAACUUUAGUAUACCCAGGUAAAGAAAAUAAGAUUUAGAUUCUAUAUUGAAUAAGAAUCAGUCUAAUUAUGACUCAUAUAGUUAGAUUUCAAUUAAAACUCUUAUUAGUUAUUCAGAAAUUAUGUUUUAUAAUUUGUAAGUAAGAAAAUUUAAAAUUAAUCUAUAUUAAUCAUAAAUAACCCUCUUAAAUAAAUAAGAGGUUAUAAGACAAUAAUUUACAUUUUUCAAUUUGUAGUUUCUAUUUAUUUCUGUAUUUUACUUUUUAUUUUAUUUUAUUAGUUUCUUUUUUUGAACCAAAAAUUAUUUUGUUUUAUAUUUAAUUUUUUAAUAUUUAAAUAUAAAUAACUAAAAUUUAAAAACUUAAAUUAUUAUAUUAACAUAUGUUACAAUCUAAACUAAUAAUGACACAUAUAAUAUCUGUAAAAAGUUAUAAUUAUUCUAUGUGUCAUGCUAACGUAGAUCUUACCAAGUAGGAUUGUAACACUAGAUAGAUUCAACUCUGCAUAAUACGUAAAAAAUAAUAAAAUAUUUAGAUGAUCUGGUCAUCGAUCUAGCAAACCACCACAAGGUGAUCUCAAUGCCCAUAGACGAUCCAACCGAGCCAUCCGAAGCUGAUUGGAGCCUUGUUGAAGCUGUAUCGGUGAAACCAAAUACCAAAUCAACUGAGGGAAGGCAUUUUUACCAACCAACCAACCCCAGUGAAGACUGAUCAAGCAAAAACACUUUUGACUCAAACCAGAACUGAAGAUAACCGAGACAUUCCACCUAAUAGCCAAGGAGCGGUUAUACCAUCACCAUCUUUGACCAAACCGGUGAUUCAUGAUCCAAGAACCAAUAUUCAUCGACCAACCGACCAUAAGGAGUAUUCUGUACGAGAUAUUUCAUGUCUUAACCAAGCUAGAAGUAAAGAUAACCGGAGCCUCACCAACCGGCUUGAUUACAAACCAGAUUUUACCCGAGAAGAGACUUGGGCUGAUUUCUUAGAGAUCAAACUCAAUCACCAAGAACUAAUAUCAAACCUGAUUUGCUCUGUGUUCUUGACCCAUUAAGGAAUCACGGUGAAUUGGAAUCAGUCCAACUUACCCGAUUGGAAAUAUGCACCUUAAUUGAAGCAUUCCGACCAAGCCGGGAGGAAUUAAGCUGCGAAAUGACUUGUUCUGGAAUCUGGGUUCAUCAAGGAAUCCGGGAUAGUUGGAAUCACACCAAGUCCGGUUUUCAUUUGGGAGAUACUCCAUUUCUAAACCGACCGAUGGUUUCCCAGCUUGCCUUAUUUGAAACCCUAUGGGUUUAGGAGACACUAGACGUAUCAGUGGCAUCCAGGAGACUGUGCUAUUUCCAGAAGUUCCCUAAAAUACUCUAGAGUGCACCCGUACGCCUUGGAUCAGGCGGAUCCAUCUGUACCUUCAAUUGAACUAACUAGGGCCGAUUAUAGAAACUACGAAGACCGACCAGUUCAAUUAUGAGCAAACCAAGAUAUCACGACCAGAAGAGAUUCUUAGACAAUUAAGGAGCUUAAAAACACCUUCCCAUGCACCAGAAACCACAGGAUCAGACGGAUCUUCUUGCAAGUCCACUUUCCUUAUGUAGCUGCGUUCACAUUAGGAGCCAUAACUUUCCAACGGCUCUUUGUCUUUAAGUGCUACGAUAUGGACAACUUUUUUGGAGAUAAGAAUGUUCCAGAAAUUCUCACUAAUCCUCUUAAACCUUACGGAUACAAAGGCGUCAUCACAAUUGCCUUAGUUGCCGAGACCCUCCAUUAAGAGCCAACAGCUAGUUUUUGAUAUAUUUUUGAUUUGUUCCUUUACUCUAGAUUUUUAGACCGUUUGUAAUUAAGCUUGUAGGAGCUCUAUACAAGCUCAGCUCAGGUAAUUUUUACAAUUCACCUUUAAAUCCAGAUUAAUACAAAGUAUUCCUUUUUCUUUCAAAGUUGUGUCUUUGCAAAGACUUGUUCUUUUCUUUAGAAUUAAGUGUGAGAUUCACUUAGCUCUAUAGAAGCUGCGAAAUUAGUUUGUUUAUGAGAUUCAAACAAACUAUUUCGUCGACAUAUUGAGAGAGUCAAUCAACCCCCAUCGAUUGAGAGUCAAUCACCCUAUCAUCAUCUUUAUCUCGACUUCAUUCCACCUUCCGCAGAAUAAGUUUGGAAUAUCUUCAUCAUUAAGUGAUCAUAAGUUGGAGUGAUUUCAAUCUUGUAUCAAUUAAUAAUGACACAUGUAAUGAUAUAGAAAGUUAUAAUUAUCCUACGUGUCAUGCUAGCGUAGAUCUUACCAAGUAGGGUUGUAACACUAGAUAGAUUCGGCUCUGCAUAAUAUGCAGAAAAAUAAUAAAAUAUUUAGGUUUUCAAUUUUUAUAAUCUGCAUAAUUAUGACUUGUACAGUUUGAUAUAUACUAUUAUUUGCGAGGUCAAAAAUCUGAUGUGUCAUCAUCACAGUGAUUGUCUUAUGUGUCAUUAAUAAAAAACAAUUAUGUGUUGUUUUAAUUUGUUUUGAUAGGUCAAUCAUUAGUCCUACGUGUACAUAUCCAUGACAUGGUUUUUUUUCUUAAUUAUGGGCCAAAGAUUUUGCUAAUGGGCCACCGAUCUUAAAGUUUGUCCUAGCCACCGAUGUAAAAGUCGGUACUAACCUAAACCCUAGCGUAUCCAUCGUGCUAGAUAUACCCAUUUCGGUUUUCAUAUUUUCUUACAUAUAAUAUCUGUCUACUAAAAAAAAAAUUGUUCACCUCUUUUUUUAAAAAAAAACUAUCAUAGCAUUUAAAAAAAACGUCCACCUCUUUUUUAAAAAAAGGAUCAUAUCAUUUUUUAUAUACUCCAUCUCUUUUUUUUAAACAAUCUCUAUGAUUAUUUAUGCGUAUUUCUAAUGAAAAUAACCUACUAUUUUUUGUAUAAUUGAUAUUUUGAUGGUUCUAUAGUUCAUCUCUCGCCUUACAAUGGAAUCGUCAGGUAAAUAUACAUUUUUGAUUUUAUCUUAGUUCGUGCUUUUAAUGUUUUUUCAGAUUCUAGAAGUUUUUCUUUUGUAAAUCCACGGCGUAAUAGUUAUUUGCUUCAAAACUUUUAUGAAUUUUCUGUAGCGAUUAGCAAUCGUCCCUUUCAUGAUCCUCAGAUUUUCUAUAUCAUCUGCCGCCAUCUCAAAUCGUUUUUCCACGAGAUGAAGAUUCUUCUGCCAGUGUUAACAAUGAUAAAUUUAUCGGUUGGUCGAAGUGUAAUCAGGACUAUCCAGAAUCCAGAUCGUUAUGUAUUCUGAAUUUCUGACACGUUGGAUUUGAGAUUGUUAAAAACAUCAUGGCAUCCCCGUCUCUGCGGAAUCUCCACACCGAGUAUUAUAUCCAAUUGUAACCCCAACACUGGUACUGCUUAAGGGUUUUAUUGCAUGUCGUUUGCAGUCCAUGUUCUUAUAUUGAUAUAAGAACAAAUAAAUGGUGUUGUCCACCCUACUUUCAAAGAUGCAUGUUAUGUUUUAGGUUAAAUUCACGAUGAUACUGAGAAUGUUUAAGCUUUCUAUAAGGCAAGUCAAUGAGGUUCCCGCUUCUCUCUCUUCAAAUGAGGUUCACUACUUUGUUACAUCCAGGUUCUAUGAUGAAUCACUUUUGUGUAUGGAGAUCCAUUCAAUGUUUUUUAGUAUAAGUUUUGUCAAUUUUUUGCAUUGUCUUUGAUUUUCUUUUCUUUCAUUAUAUUAUUUUAACAAUUUCUUAGAUUUUUUAUUCUGUUCUGCCCGGUUUCGGUUGAGAGGUUUACUAUUUGAGAUUUUUGUUGGACGUUGUUAGGUAUUUUUAUUGGACGUUGUUAGGUAUUUUUAUUGGAAGUUGUUAGUCUUGGUGCUCAUGCUUUAUAUAUAGAUGAUAUCCAGUAGCUAAAGAUUUGUGUACUUAGUGGUUCGUUUGUUCGGUUGGUAAUUUUUUGUUUGGGUUUUUGAAUUUGGUUUUGUAUUAUUUUUUCAGUCGGUUAGAUUGAUAUUUGGUGCGUGUUGGUUAUAUAUUUUGUGGUUUAAUGAUUACACUAUUAUAUAUAUAUAUACAUAUAUAUAUAGUUGUAGUGUGGUUUUUAGACAAAAUUCUCUUUUUUCAAUUUUUGCGAUAGUUUAUUUUUCAAGAAUGUCACAUAUUUAUUCAUUGAGCUUUUGUGGUGUUUAUGAUUUCUAAUAUGUCUACGGUUUUGUCAGAUAUGAUUGUAAUUAUUUACCUAAGCUCUUAAAAUUAUUAUUUAUUAUAUAAUCUAUACAUAUAUUGUGAUCAAAGUAAAGAAUGUAUAUCCUAGGGUUAUUUAACUAUGAUCUGAAAUUUAGUAUUUAUUAUAUAUAAUCUAAUAAGGAGAUGAAGACGACCAAUGAAGUCGGAAGGUGAAGAUGAUAAAAAUAUAGAAGACAAAGUAAAAUAAAAAAAUGAAAAAAAAGAAGUAGAAGAAGAGGAGAAAAAAAGAUAAAUCAAAAUAUAAAGAAGAAGCUGUAGUUGAUGAUAAAAACUAAAGAAAAAUAUGAACAUAAAUUUGAAUAAAACCAUAGAGAAAAAGAAGAAGAUGAGAACACAGAAUAGUGAAGAAGAAUAUUGAUAAGAAAAAAGAAAUUUGGCUUUGAAUAAGAAAACCAGAAGAAAUAAAUGAAAGAUGUAGAAACAAAGUAAAGACGAGGAAAUGGGAAAAUGAGUAGGUGUAGAUGAAAAAAAAAAGAUGAAAACACUAGAAGAAGAUAAAUUUGACAAAGACCAAAGAGGAAUAAGAAGUAAAGAAUAAAGAAGGCUAAUAAAAAUCAAAAAAGAAAGAAGAACAAGAAGAAAAAGAAGAAAAAGAAGAGCUGAGAAAUAUAACGAUGAUGAAGAAGAAGUCAAAACGAUGAUGAAGAUGAAAGAAAAUUAUGAAAAAUAAGAAAAUCGAAAGAUAUAUAAGACGAAGAAGAAAGUACAAGUCAAAGAUGAUGAAUAAGAAGGAAAAUAUGAAGAAGAAGAAGACUUUGGGACAGAAAAAAAAAACAAUGUCUUUAAAUUAUAUAUUAGAGAAUGAAGAAGAAAGACAUAUAAAAACCAAAAAAAUAAAAGAAUAAGGAAAAUACAAAGAAAAAAAAAACCAAAAGAUAAAAAGUAGAAAAAAGAGUAGAACAAAAUAGAAGAGCAAGAAGAAGGAGACAAGUCUGAAGUGGGAAUUGAAAUAGAAGUUGAAGACGAUGAAGAAGAGGAAAGAAAACAUAAGAAAUAAGAAAAUUGAAGUCAAUGAUAAAGAAGAAGUAAAAGACGAAGAAGAAGACUGAAAAAAAGAAAAAUAAAAAUCAUAAUAAGAAAAAUUAUGACAAGACGAAAUGUUGACAACUAAAAAUGGGAAGAGGAUGACGAAUUUAGAGAGAGAGAGAGAGAGAGAGAGAGAGAGAGAGAGAGAGAGAGAGAGAGAAAUUGUGGUAAUGCUUUCAGGGACAUGUAGAUGGAGAGAGAGAGACAGUGAGUGAGAGAAAUAGAGAGAGAGAGAGAGUAAGAGAAAUGAGAAAGAGAGAGUUAAACAUUUCAAGUACAUGACAUUAAAUCUAUGUUAGUUCGUCUUUUCUGUGUUUCUAUUUUUUUUUAUAUCUGAGACACUUCUUACUUUAAAUGUAGUUGUCUAAAUCGUAGAUAUAUACAACUUAAGACGAGGGAAGAAGAGAGAGAGAGUGAGAGAGAAAUACUGAAACAGAGGGAGGGUAAGAGAGAGAAUGAUAGGGAGGGACGCAUGGAGGGGGAGAGAAAGUUAAAGUUUUCAGGUAUAUGUAUUUGAUUAAUAUAAAAGACGAAGAAAAACAAGAAGAAUAUGAAGUCAGAGAGAUCAAAGAAGACGAAGGUGAUGAUGAAGAAGAAGAAUUCGAAGUAGAAGAGGAAGAAGUUGCGAAUAAGAUGUGGAAAACAUGAAGAAGAAGAAGACGUGAUUAAAAAAAAAAAACUAAAGAAUAAGAAGUAAGAAAAGACAUAUAGAAUGAAGAAGAAAUAAAAGAAAAUGAAAAGAAAGUAAGAAUAUGCGAGAGUAGAAUGAGAGAUAAAGGUGGAAAACUAUGAAUAAAGAUAAGGAAAAGACAAUAAAGAAGAAAAAUCAAAAGAUAAAUAAGAGGAAAAAAAUGAUGAAAAGCGAUUAUGUGGAGUGAUAACUAUGAGUUUUCAAGACUCUUUGUAGAGGUUAUCAAUCCCUUGUCUUGUAGUACAAGGGGUUUAUCAAUCCAAGAAUGUGGUGAUAGACACUAAGCUAUGUAAUCAGGUUCUUAAUUCAAGCAAACAAGAGUGGUUUGGUUAACUAGAGACAACUACAAACUUAAACAGGAUUAAAGACUAAUGAAAUGAUUAAACAAGAACUAAACAAUGAGAAAUGAUGAGAAUGUAUGAAUGAUGAUGAGAAAAGUCUUAGACAUGAUAGUGGAUUAGGGUGCCUUCAGUGAUAAACUAAUGAGCUAAUGAAUCAUAUGAUCAAGCAAACCAUUCAACAUAAACAUCUUUAAUUAAGUUAAUCCUCUCAUGAAGGUAUUAACUCCUAUGCUAAAACAGUUUCUAACCCAAUCAUCAUCAGUGAAACAUGAGUUAACAAGCAUUAAGAAUCAGUUUAAUCUGUCAUUUAAGCAUAUAGACAAUCAUUCCCAUGAUGAAUAACACUUAAACCUAUAACAACCUUGGUUCAAACAUUUCAUCAAACACUUUUGAUGCAUGAAAUGCCCAGAAUCUAGACCACAUAUGAUUUGUAUGGAUCUAGCAUAGAGAACAAGUUGUAGAGAAUGGAAUAUGCAUGAUCUAACCCCUAAGCUCACUAAUCUACCACUUAAACACCCUAAUCUACAUAUCUAAGACCUUAAUAUGGAGAUUACUCACUAAUCAUGAUCAACACACUAGAUCCUUUGCAAGAUGUGUUGUUAAUCAUGAUUAGAAGUGUAUAGAUGGAGAGAUAGAUGAUAGAUUUUAGAAGAAAGCAGCUUUAAACACAAAGAUCUCUUAAACUCUCUUGAUUAAACACUCAAUAAUCAAUAUUUCUCUUCUUAAUGGAGUCUUUUCACAAAAGAGGCAAGAGACAAAAGGAAUAAAGCUUAGUCUUCUAAAAACCCUACAAAGUAUUUAUAUCUCUCUAAAAAACGAACCGGGUCAGCCCGGAACAAACCGGAUCCUGACCCGGCUUUAAUGGAUAAAGUGGAAAUUCUGCGGGUUGGUCCAGUGUCUCCCAGGUAGCAUGCCCAAGUCGCAGUAGAUGAAGAACUUGUCUUGUGAGACUUAAAUCGCCUUGUCUUAGUCGCACGCCCAAGUAGGAGUGUUUUGCGAGUCUUGCUGCGGCUUAAUCUUCUUCUUCUUCAACUCGCAGGACCAAGGCGGUUUCUGGGGAAUGUACAAACCGUGCGGGUUGGUCUCCAUUACACUCAGGUCGCAGGCUCAAGUCGGAGUAGAUUGAGAGUGAUCGUGCGGCUUGGUUCCAGGCGCGGCCAACUCGCAUGCCUAAGUCGCACGAUUGUGGACUUAGCAAUUUUCUUGCUCGGGAGCCUCAGACCUCAUCCAUUGAUAGCUUACCCGCACUUCUCAACUCGCAGCAUCAAUUUCCAGGCAUUCGUCUUCAGGCCUGCGAGUUAACCAAGUCGCAAGGCUUUCUCGCAGCAUUCAGAGCAGCUUGGACCACUUCGCAUUCCGGAGAGUUUAACUUCUAAGAUACUUGUCCGAAUUGAGUGAUUCCGGUUGAAGAGGACAGAGGACUCAUAUAUCUCCAACUUUGGUGAAGGAAGCUUCGGUGCUUGGGAAGUGGAAGGCUUCCUGGAGAGCUCAUCUUUGCAGUGCAUUUACACGAUCAGAGAGAGGCGUCUAGACAUGUGUCAAUUCCGGAGACCGUAUCUUCCUGCUCAUAGCUCCGAAUUGAAUGAUCUUGGACGUUAUGGAUAGAGGACUCAAAUGUCUCUGAUUCGCAUGAAGGCUCAGGAAACUGAAUCGGCCUGAAAGUGCACUGUCCGUCGCAUUCUUCAGAGCUCAUCGGCUUGGUCCAGAACAGCAGCGAGACAGGGGUUCCUUCCGACGAGCUUAACUUUCUGCUCACGCGUCCGAAUUCCAUGAUUUCACUUGCUAUGGAACCAUGAUCCAAUCGUCUCCAACUUCGAUGAAGCACCCGACAACUGAAUCGGACCGGAAGGUUCCCCGGACAGGCGAUUUCGGAAACGUGUCUGCACCCGGAGAUUUUGGCCGAAAGAUUCAAUAGCCGGUACGCGUUUUGGCCGAUAAAGUCUACCCGCGGUACGCGUUUUGGCCGAGAAAAACCUUUCUGGUGCGCGAGAAUGGCCGAUAACCUCCAAAGACCCAAUUUCACCAUUUUUCAAGCCUUGAUCAUCAUUCCACCUCCUGGAUUCAUCUUUUCAGCUCCAAAUACACCUGAUAAGCACUCAAAACAUGCAAAGACUCAUUGGGACCUAAUGCAUCUCCUAAGUUCUAAAACAAACCCUAAGGACCUAAAAUGCAUGGAAUAAAACAUGAUUUGAAAUGAAUUAUGCAACCUAAAUGAUGCAAAUUAUGAACAUAUCAACUCCCCACACUUGUCCUUUGCUUGUCCUCAAGCAAACAAGAACAAAUGAGAGAGAGAGGUUGAAUGCAUGGGAGUUCACAUUUUCUUUUUGAGAGAAGUGAUCACAAUGAGAAUUCAAAUUCAUGCUCAAUUAUGCAAUGCAAAGCCAUACUCAGAUAUAUAUCAACUCAGCAAGGAAUUUCCACAAGUUCUUCUCUCUCUCAACUCUUACAUUCAUUAAGCUUUUAUCAGGUGAAUCUCAUGAUGCAAUGUUUAAACAAGCUGGCUUGGCUAGGGAGAGGCUAUGAGAUUAAAAUGAUCUCAUUAGUGUUCAAGUGGGUUUAAUGCAGCAAAGGGAUCUCUCUAUGAAUGAUCAAACUUUGGCAGAAUACUAAAGGUAAAAAGCAACCUAUGCAUACAAGGGCAAAGACUCAUCACACCCCACCCUCUACUCAAAGCUUUCUCACUUGCUCACUCUCUCAAGGACCUCACUUUUCACACUUAUUUUCCUCUCACUAGGGGACUUACUUUUCACUUUCACUCUCAAGUCUUGGAGUUCAAACUUUACACAGCUCUUUUUCUUUUGCAACCUCUAGCCUCCUUUUCUUCUUUCUUUUCAAAACAUUUGAGCUCUUUGGCUUCUUUUCUUUUCCUUUUACUUAGAGGCUAGACUCUUUCUUUUCAACACACCAGAGCUCACUUUCUUUAACUCAAAACUCCAAGACUGAUUUCUUUUUCUUUCAUUCCCCUAGCUAUUUCCACUUCCUCUUUUCCACUCAUCUCACCUUUUUCCACUCACCAACAAGUCUUUUCCCCCACACUUAUUCCUCGCCAAAACUCUCAGUUCCUUGAUGUUGGAACACAGCACUCAAUGAGACCUGCCCUUGUCGCUCUAAACCUAACACUUUCUGCUAAGUUUGAUCCAAGGUGGCCUUUCAAUUCACACACAAACAUUGGCUUGAAAGAAAGAUGGGUUCAAGGUGAGGGAACUGAUCCAUGAUGCGGAUUCAGCUACUUGAGCUAAGCAAAAAAGGGGGGGGGGUAAAAACAAUGGUUCUAGCUCAAGUAUGUAUAUCGGUAUCCACAAGCUUUUUCAAACAAUGCAUCACAAGAUAUUUUCAAGUCAAGUUCAAGGUUCCCACUUAAUUAGAGUUGAGUUCAAUUCAAACUUGCUUCUCAGAUUCAGAUCAUUUCAGACUUUGCAAGCACAGAAAAAGAUUCACAAGCAUAUUCAGUUCAAGUUCUCAAAGUGAUGUACUCUCUAGAAAAUCUAUCAUUACUCCCUGCAAGAUGCAACCUACAUGAACAUGCAAUCUAGACUCAAUCCUAAAAAUGAGAAUGCAACUACAUGAUCAUUUUUUUUGUGAAAAUUUUUCAGAUUUUUCAUUUUUUUUGGGUUUUUAUAUGCACUUAGAUGAGACUACAUGAAUAUGCAACUAGAAUGUGACUCAAGACUCAAAGUAUAAAAUAAGAACAGAGAAAACAUGGUUAGUAAAAGAUGAAACUCCUCCCCCACACUUAAAUAACACAGUCCCUUGUGUUAUAAAAGCAUGAGAAAGGAGUGAAAGCAAAGCAAACAAGUAAAAAUGCAAAGAAAAAGAAAAUCUACAUGCAUAUUUACAAGGUUUAGAGUGUUACCUAAGAGCUGUUGAAGUCAGACCCCAAUGAGUAAGAGGGGUUUGAAGUGUGACCGGAUGGUGUCUCCCAAGAAUGAUGGCUUGCUUCAUCAGACCCGUCGUCGAGAUCCACCCAAGUUGUGCCAUAUGUGACCAGGGCUAUGCAGUUCAUGGAACUCUCUCCAACUUCCUCUCUGUUCCUUGGUGAAACUGGUGCUGGAGACCCACCUUUGCAAGGGUUUUCAAGCUUAUUAAUCCUCUUCUUCAUCUCCUUGAUGCACUUGGCCAUCUUGUGGAUGGUUUUGUCUUGGUACUUGCACCAUUGUUGGAGAAUACCAAUCUUUUGUUGAGCUAUGAACCCUGAAGUGCCUGGUUCCUCCCAGUUGUAAUCAUCAAAAUGGUAUCUAUUUCCAACAAAACGUUUUUGAGGUGGAGGCAGAUCAGCAUCUUGAGCACCAGUAGCACUUGUGGUAGCAUCUUCAGCGGUUGCUCUCUUUCCCUUGGAGGCUUCUUCUCUGCAAGCUUGCUUGUAUGUGAGGAUUGGUGGAUCAGUUUGGACAUUGUACAGCUCUUCCUUCAGCAAGAAGAAGUGAAUGUUCCUCUUAACUUGGACUGUGGUGAUGGAGGGAUUGGGCAGGAGAGUUUGUGCUGGCUCACUGAUGAGAGUCUUGAAGUUGUAUACUACCUUGGUACCCACUCUUCCUUGGAGGAAGCCAAUCUUACACAAAUGUGCUUCAUUAAUUAGAUCAAACUUUGCCUUGUUCUCCUUGAAUCUGUACCCCUUGGCUUUCAAAAUCUUUGUUACCACCCAUCCAUGGGCCAGCUUUGCAUCUUGCUUUGUAGAACCCCAAAUGCACUUUUUUUAGAACAUCAAAGACCUUGCUAAUUGAGAGGCAAGGCAAAGUGGGUAUUCAUACUGUUCAUAGGGUUCCCCAUCUUCAUGAGUUGGCAUCAGCUGUUUCAGCCCCACACCAAGAAGCAUCAGAUCGCCUUUGUGAACUCUUCCAUCAUCGAUUUUGAAGUAGAAGCUGUGAGAGAGAAUCUUGUGAACAUAUCUCAGCACUGGAUUCCUUAUCCAAGAGGACUUAGCUGUUCCAGCUAUGUACUUCCCAGAAGCAAUUGAUCUCCAUAGAAGUUGGACCUCAUCUUUUCUGAGAUUGACCUGGUUGGAGAGAAGUUCAUUUCUAGGUGUUAACAACCCAAAAAUCUCAUUCAAUUCUCUGAAUGACACUGAAUAAUCCUUCCCUUUCAUAGUAAACUCCAAAUGUCCAAGCCCAUCUCCUUGAAUAAUUCUUGAAUCCCUUGGGUAGUAAAUGAAAGCUUCAAAAGAAGCCAAGAACUCCUGAGAUUCCUCUUCAUAAGCGAUCUCUCUCAUCUCCAAAAGUGACUCAACACCCAUGUUCCCAAGCAAGGUUUUGACAUCUUCAUAGAUGCCAAUAUUCUUCAAAAAGUCCACAUCAGGGAACCUCCCUUGCUGGAUCUCUAUCUGUUGAAACUUCGCCAGAUAAUCAAGUGUUUCUGGUUCAGUUUUCUUGAACCUUUUUGAUCCCUCUUCAAUGGUGCCUUGUGAACCACCAGCUGAGCUGCUUGAGUCACUUUCAGUCUGUUCACUCUCAGAUACGACAGCCAACUGUUUCCCCUUCUUCUUGGAACCAGAAGCAACCACCAAAGAUUUUCCUUCAUGCCUUGUCCUUUUUGGCGCUGGAUCACACUUCCCUUGCUUUGUGGUAUUCUUUGCUCCUUGACCUUUUUCUCUUGGCUGUGAAGACCCUGAGACCAAACCUUUGCCCUUUGAUGCAGUGCUCUUCUUCUUGGCCAGAGAGUUGGUUCUUUCAGUCAUCUGCCAAGACAUUCUCAAAAACAAUGUUAGUACAAGAACAAGCUUCACAAAAUUCUCCAAAAUUUUGAAAAAAAAAAAUUGUUGCAAGAAUCGAUUUUAAAACCACAUGAACAGGUUUCUCAAGCCAAGCAUCAAUCCAAUAAGUUCAUAGCAAUGCAAAAACAAGAGUGCAAAGCAAGGACUCAGCAAUGAAAAUAGAUCUUUUUAAAAAAAAAAAAAAAAUCGAUUUUUCUCAUGAAUUUCUUACAACAAUUUUCAAAACUCAAGAACAAGGAAUCACCAACAGCUGUUUUCUAAGACUAUCUAGCACCCUAGCAUUUAUAAAAAUAAUCCCAAGGUCUAAAACAAUCUAUCAAAAUCGAUUCCACACCUUGAAGUUCAAAAAUCACCAUUGAAGAACAUGGAAAAAGGUGAAUUUUAACUGAAUGAAAUACCUUGGGAUUAAGAUGCAACGAGCUCGAAAUGCAAUCAAGAUGAUGUUAAAAACUCAAAAACGAGUUCAGAGCACUUUGAAUCAACAAAUUUGGUGGAGAAAUGAGAGAGAUAUGAUGAAAACAAUGGAGAGAAAUGAGAGAAAGAGUUGCAAACUCGGGUUUUUGGUGAGGAAGAGAGAGUGUGGGACAGGUUAAAGACUUUGGACUGGUGGUCAAUAGAUCUAUUUUGACCAGUCAAGGCUUUGACCUGUCCUUUUCUCGUUGACCAGCCUCCUUUCUCUCCUUUGUGCGACCGGGAACCGUCGGGAUCGGGCCGCAUGACGGUCUCGGUGUAGAACCGGAAAUGUUUUUGUGCUACCUGGGAUCUUCUGUGCCUCCCCCGCAUGACCAAGUCGCAGUAAAAGUCCUUCAGCUCGGUUUUAUCUUUCCUCAUUGCUGCUGCCUGGAACCCUUGCUUUCCAGCUAGCACGCCCAACUCGGAGUAAUUUGCGAACAUGUGUGCGGGUUAGACUCCUUUGUUCCCAGGUAGCAUGACUAUCUCGCAGGGUUUGGGACUUAAAAACCUCGGGGUUCCUCUUCUGGUGCGGCCUGGCCUCCAUACUUCCCAGGUAGCACGCCCAACUCGGAGUAAUUUGCGAGUCUUCAUGCGGGUUAGCUUCUUUGUUCCCAGGUAGCAUGACUAGGUCACAGGUUUUUGGACUUAAACAAUUUGGCCUUUCUUUUCCUGCUGCGACCUGGUCUUCAUGCUUCCCAGCUAGCACGCCCAACUUGGAGUAAAAUGCGAUCAUACGUGCGGCCUAGCUUCUUUGUUCCCAGGUAGCAUGACUAGGUCGCAGGUAUUUGGACUUAAGAUGUCUCGGCCAUUCCUCUUUUGCUGCGACCUAGUCUCCUUGCUCCCAGCCAGCACGCCCACCUCGCACACCUUCACACUUAGGCGUUUGGCUCUUCUUGAUUUCGUGCAGCCUGGUCUCUAUGAUUCCCAGCUAGCACGCCCAACCCGGAGUGAUUUGCGAAUGGAUGUGCGGUUUAACUUCUCUUGUUUCCAGGCCGCAGCAACUACUCGCAGGUUUUUGCACUUAAACACCUCGGCCAUCCUUCUUUUGCUGCAACUUGGUCUUCAUUCUUCCCAGGUAGCACACCCAAUUCGGAGUAAAUUGCGAUCAUGUGUGCUACCUAACUCCUUUGUUCCCAGGCCACAGCUCCUACAUCGCAGAUCUUUGGACUAAAGAUACCUUGGACCUUUUCUUUUUGGUGCGGCCUGGUUUCUCUUUUCCCAGCCAGCACGCCUAACCCGGAGUGAUUUGCGAAUGGAUGUGCGGCCUAGCUUCCUCUCUUCUUACCCGCAGCACCAGCUAGCACAACCUCGGACUUAGACGUUUUGGACUUCUUCUUUUUGGUGCGGCCUGGUUUCUCUUUUCCCAGGUAGCACGCCCAGGCCGGAGUAAAUUGCGAGUCCUGCUGCGACCUGGGCUCUUCUUGCACCAAGCCGCACACCUAGGUAGCACUGAGGCGUUCUCCAAGUUUUUCAGGCCCUAAAUACUUCUCUCAGCCCUCUCACAUGCUCCAUUCCAUUCAUCACUGAGCUAUGUUCUCCAAAAAUCACCUAGAACCUGAGACCAACUCACAAAACCCAUCAAAAAGUUCUAAAACAUAAAAGAAAAGAGAAGAAAUCAAAAGAACUAUGUACAAAGAUAAGCUUGGGGUGUCUCCCAAGAGCACUUUGUUUAAAGUCUCUAAGUUUGACUAUGGAAACCUGUUUAGCAGGCUGGAGGUGGGUCAAGAAGGGGAACUGAUGUAGCUUCCUCCUUCCCUUGUGAAACUAAGUAAUGCUUGAUUCUUUGUCCGUUUACCACAAAUUCUUGACCAUUCUUCCCUUCUAAGACAAUAGCACCAUAUGGUCUCACUUCAAGAACUUUAAAAGGUCCAGACCAUCUAGACUUAAGUUUUCCUAGAAACAACUUAAGUCUAGAGUUGAACAGCAACACCAAAUCACCAUCCUUGAACUCCCUUUUCAGAAUCUUUUGGUCAUGCAGAACCUUGGUCUUCUCCUUAUAGAUCUUUGAGCUCUCAAAAGCCCCAAGCCUUAUCUCUUCAAGUUCAUGGAGUUGAAUGACCCUUUUCUCUUGAGCUGUCUUGAUAUCAAAGAUCAGCAACUUCACAGCCCACAAAGCCUUGUACUCUAACUCAACAGGAAGGUGGCAGCUCUUCCCAUAUAGCAGAUUGAAAGGUGAUGUCCCAAUAGGAGUUUUAAAGGCAGUCCUAUAAGCCCACAAUGCAUCAUCUAGCCUUUUGCUCCAAUCUUUUCUGCUUGAGCUCACAGUCCUCUCAAGAAUGGCCUUGAUCUGUCUAUUAGAUACUUCAACCUGGCCACUAGUUUGAGGAUGAUAAGGAGUAGCUACCUUGUGUUUCACUCCAUGCUUUCUCAGUAAACCCUCCAAAGUCUUGUUCACAAAAUGAGAUCCUCCAUCAGAGAUAACAACCCUUGGAACUCCAAAUCUUGGGAAGAUAAUGCUCUUGAACAGCUUCACUACAACCUUGGAAUCAUUGGUAGGGGAAGCAAUGGCCUCAACCCAUUUGGACACAUAGUCCACAUCAACAAGUAUAUACUGAUUCCCAUAGGAUGAAAUGAAAGGCCCCAUAAAGUCAAUCCCCCAGCAAUCAAAGAUCUCAACUUCUAGAAUUGGGUUUUAAGGCAUCUCACUCCUCUUUGAUAUGCUCCCAUGCCUCUGACAAGCAUCACAUGCUGAACCACUAACUGAGCAUCUUUGAACAUUGUGGGCCACCAAAACCCACUCUGAAGAACCUUUGCCACAGUCUUGAAUGCUCCCAUGUGACCCCCAAAAGCUGAACUAUGACACUCUUGCAACACAGGCUGCAUCUCCUCCUCAGCAAGACACCUUCUAUACAGCUGAUCUUUGUUCAGGACAUAGAGGUAGGGCUCAUCCCAAUGGUAUCUUUGAACUUCUCUGAAGAAUUUCUUCCUGUGGUAAGCAUCUAAUUCAGGUGGUUCCACUCCACAAGCAAGAUAGUUCACAAUGUCUGCAAACCAAGGCAUCCUCCUCUCUUGAAUGCUGUCCACUUCUUCAAACUCCAAAUAAGAAUGGAGCACCAUCAGUGAUUCCUCAGGAAGACUGUCAUUAAGAGGCAAUUCAGAGUCUAUUCUCAACCUAGAGAGAUGGUCUGCAGCUCCAUUCUCUAUACCCUUUUUGUCAUGUACUUCCAUAUCAAAAUCCUGAAGUAGAAGAACCCAUCUCAAUAGUCUUGGCUUAGCAUCUUUCUUGGUCAUCAGAUACCUGAGGGCUGCAUGAUCAGUAUAUACAAUUACUUUUGAUCCCACCAGGUAACUUCUGAAUUUAUCGAAGGCAAAGACUAUUGCCAACAUUUCCUUCUCAGUAGUAGCAUACUUCUCUUGUGCAGGGCCAAGUGUUCUACUAGCAUAGUAAAUGACAUGAAGCUUCUUAUCUUUCUUCUGGCCAAAUACAGCUCCAACUGCAAAAUCAGAUGCAUCAGUCAUAACCUCAAAAGGUAGGGACCAGUCUGGGGCUUGGACAAUUGGUGCACUGACUAAUGCAUCCUUGAUCAUCUUGAAGGCCUCUUCACAUUCAGCAUCAAAGAUGAAAUCCACUUCUUUACAAAACAGCCUUGUCAAGGGCCUGGCAAUUCUUGAGAAGUCUUUGAUAAAUCUUCUGUAAAACCCUGCAUGCCCAAGGAAACUCCUUAUCCCUUUAACUGAAGUGGGAGUUUGCAGAUUCACCAUCACUUCCACCUUUGCUCUGUCAACCUCAAUACCCUUCUCAGAUAUCUUGUGCCCAAGAACUAUUCCUUCCCGCACCAUGAAGUAGUAUUUCUCCCAGUUUAACACCAAGUUAUCCUGCUCAAAUCUCUCCAAGACCUGUUACAAAUUAGAGAGAAAAUCCGAGAAGGAGGAGCCAUAGACACUAAAGUCAUCCAUGCACACCUCCACCUUCUCUUCAAUAAUGUCAGAGAAUAUAUGCAUCAUGCAACGUUGAAAUGUGGCAGGGGCAUUACAGAGACCAAAAGGCAUUCGCCUGUAUGCAAAGGUGCCAUAAGGGCAUGUGAAUGUUGUUUUCUCUUGAUCUCGGGGAUCUAUGGGAAUUUGGAAGAACCCCGAGUACCCAUCGAGAAAACAAAAGAAGGGGUGUUUUGCAACGCCUCUCUAACAUCUGAUCAAUGAAAUGUAAGAAACUAUCCUUCCUNNNNNNNNNNNNNNNNNNNNNNNNNNNNNNNNNNNNNNNNNNNNNNNNNNNNNNNNNNNNNNNNNNNNNNNNNNNNNNNNNNNNNNNNNNNNNNNNNNNNNNNNNNNNNNNNNNNNNNNNNNNNNNNNNNNNNNNNNNNNNNNNNNNNNNNNNNNNNNNNNNNNNNNNNNNNNNNNNNNNNNNNNNNNNNNNNNNNNNNNNNNNNNNNNNNNNNUCGUAGUAGUUAAGUGUAUCCUAUGGCUCUCCUGAACUUUCUUAUCUCACUAAGCAAUGCACUCUCUUGAUCCUCUAAUAGGCUAUCAUUGAUGAUUACUGGAUAUGUUGAGUUUAAGCCCAAGAAGGCAUACAUGAGCCCUGUUGGUAGAGGCUUGAGCUCAACAGGGGGUGCAUCAGCCUCAUUCCAAUCCUGGUCCAAGCUGCUUUGGCUGGUGUCUGAUCCUUUGAUAGCAAAAACCUCAGAGCCACUUUGUUCCAGCUCCAAAAACCUUGUCUCAGGACCCAGCUCUCUAGCAUUGUCCAAAUACAACUUGUACCCUUCACUUGCUUCAGCUAAGAGCCCAUUGUCUCCUUGUUCUUGAGUUAGAGCAGCUUGAAGAGGAUCCUCAGUGUUCAGCUCCUCUAGCAACUCAUCAGCCAACUGAUCCAUUGUCUCCACAUAGAAACAUUGACCUUCAAUGGUGGGUUUCUUCAUCAUCUCAUUCACGUCAAACUUGAGCUUUUCAGACCCAAGUUGAAGCUCUAUUAUCCCACCUCUCACAUCAAUUUUGGCUCCUGCAGUUGCUAAGAAUGGCCUGCCCAAGAUAAGAGGAUCUACUGGUUCUUCAUCCAUCUCCAGCACAACAAAAUCAGUUGGAACCUCAAAACCACCUAUCUUGACAGGUAGAUCUUCCAACAUACCAACAGGCAAUCUAACUGAUCUAUCUGCAAGGAUAAGAGAAAUCCUUGCAGGCUUGAAGACUCUAAAGCCCAGCUUCUUUGCUAUGGAGAAUGGCAUCAAGCUGACUGAUGCUCCUAGAUCACAAAGACAUCCAGAGAAUAGAAGAGGUCCAAUGGCACAAGGGAGUGUGAAACUCCCUGGAUCAGUUAACUUUCUUGGUAUGGACUUCUUCUGAAUGAUAGCACUGCAUUCAUGACUUAGUACCACCAUGCCUUGAAGUUUUUUUGUCUUGUUCAGAAUGGCAUCCUUCAGGAACUUGCCCAUCUAUGGCAUCAUUAAGAAUGCAUCAAUAAGAGGCAUAGUGAGUGGUGUCUCAUUGAGUGCCUUCUCAAAUACAGCUUUUGCCUUGUCCACAAGCUGCUUCUUAAAUCUCCCUGGAAAUGGGAGCUUGGGUUGGUAUGGAGGUGGUGGCACAUAUACCUUUUCUGGUUCAGGUUCCUUUGCUACCUUUUUACUCUUUUGGACAGGUUUCUCAGCAACCUGAUCAUCUUUUAAGGCUGCCUCCCCCUCAGUUUGAUCAUUGUCCUCAAUGAUCACAUUGUUGUUCUCAAUACCAGGUAACUCCUUUCCACUCCUCAGUGUAAUGGCCUUAGCAUAUUCCUUGGGGUUGGGUUCUCCGGUCUGAUUCAGUUGUCGGGUGCUUCAUCGCAGUUGGAGAAGAUUGGAUCACGGUUCCAUAGCAAGUUGAAUCAUGGAAUUCCGACGCAUGAGCAGAAAGUUAAGCUCGUCGGAAGGAACCCCUGUCUCGCUGCUGUUCUGGACCAAGCCGAUGAGCUCUGAAGAAUGCGAAGUACGGUGCACUUUCAGGCCGAUUCAGUUUCCGGGGCCUUCAUGAGAAUCAGAGACAUUUGAGUCCGCUUUCCAGAACGUCCAAGAUCAUUCAAUUCGGAGCUAUGAGCAGGAAGAUACGGUCUCCGGAAUGGACACAUGUCUAGACGCCUCUCUCUGAUCGUGUAAAUGCACUGCAAAGAUGAGCCCUCCAGGAAGCCUUCCACUUCCCAAGCACCAAAGCUUCCUUCACCAAAGUUGGAGAUAUAUGAGUCCUCUGUCCUCUGCCCUCUGCUACCGGAAUCACUCAAUUCAGACAAGUAUCUUAGAAGUUACACUCUCCGGAAUGCGAAGUGGUCCAAGCUGCUCUGAAUGCUGCGAGAAAGCCUUGCGACUUGGUUAACUCGCAGGCCUGAAGACGAAUGCCUGGAAAUUGAUGCUCCAAGUUGAGAAGAGCGGGUAAGCUAUCAAUGGAUGAGGUCUGAGGCUCCCGAGAAAGAAAAUUGCUAAGUCCACAAUCGUGCGACUUAGGCAUGCUAGUUGGCCGCGCCUGGAACCAAGCCGCACGAUCACUCGCAAUCUACUCCGACUUGAGCCUGCGACCUGAGUGUAGUGGAGACCAACCCGCACGGUUUGUACAUUCCCCAGAAACCGCCUUGGUCCUGCGAGUUGAAGAAGAAGAAGAUUAAGCCGCAGCAAGACUCGCAAAUGGUGGUUGAAACUGUUGUUGAACAGGCGCUUGCUGUUGGAACUGUGGAGGACCAAACCCUGGUGGUGCCUUUUGCUGCUGUGUACUGAAACUAGGACCUUGAAAAGGUUGUUGUUGCUGACCAAAACCUUGAUUCUGAGCAAACUGAUUCUUUGGUUGAAAAGAUCCUUGAAAGUUGUUCUUGGGAACAAAGUUCUGUGGAGCUUGAGAAUUGGGAUACACCUGGUCUUGUGGGUUAGCUACAUUGGUGUUCCUGUAAGAAAGGUUUGGAUUGGCAUUACCAUACUGAUAUCUCUGGAACCUCUGAUUCCCAAUGUAGUUUAGCUCCUCCUGGGUAAGACCUUCUUCACUUAUGUUCUCAAAGAUUUGAGAAGGUUCCUCAUACUCUCCAACAAAAUGCAUUGGCUUCUGAGUGGUGGAAAGGGUGGGGUUGGUGGUGCACCUGUUGUCUUUGCUGUACAUUGGCCUGAUGCCUCUGUUGAUGAGCUUGAGCUUGUCCCUGGUGGACAUAAGCUUGUUGGUGCACCUGUUCCUGAUGAACAUUACCCUGAUUUAACCCUUGACCAGCUCCAUUACCAGCUCCAUUACCCUGAGCCUGUUGCUCCUGAACCGGUUGUUCUAUAUCCACUACGUGCUCUCUUUGUUCUUCCAUAUCAGCCUGAUCAAUCUGUCUUCCACGUCUGUCCCUUCUCCUCCUUGGUACCAAAAGAUUGAUGUUGUCGUUGAGAGGGAAAGGUGGACCACAGCUUCUUGAUCUAGACCUGGUGUUCAUACCCGGACAGGCGAUUUCAGAAACGUGUCUGCACCCGGAGAUUUUGGCUGAGGGAUUCAAUAGCCGGUACGCGUUUUGGCCGAUAAAGUCUACCCGCGGUACGCGUUUUGGCCGAGAAAAACCUUCCUGGUGCGCGAGAAUGGCCGAUAACCUCCAAAGAACCAAUUUCACCAUUUUUCAAGCCUUGAUCAUCAUUCCACCUCCUGGAUUCAUCUUUUCAGCUCCAAAUACACCUGAUAAGUACUCAAAACAUGCAAAGACUCAUUGGGACCUAAUGAAUCUUCUAAAUUCUAAAACAAACCCUAAGGACCUAAAAUGCAUGGAAUAAAACAUGAUUUGGAAUGAAUUAUGCAACCUAAAUGAUGCAAAUUAUGAACAUGGAGACGAAGAACUCGCUUUUUUCUUAGUUCAAUUGGUUUUGUGAAUUUCAUAAACUUAUUUGGUAAGCAUAUACGUCUUUAAUUUUGGAUAGUAUUUAUUUUUUCGAUUUUAUUUUAUUUUAUUAUGUAUGUCUUAAAUAGUUGUUUUAAGUAAAAAUUACUCAAACUAACCUUUAAGGUGACCUAAAUGACAAACCUAACCUAACAUAUUUUGAGUCUUACUAGAUUAACCUUACAAAGUUGGUCUAAUACCAUUUUAUCCAGAUGUUGAAUAUUAUUACGAAAAUGCCAUAUUGAUUUUUUUUUUUUUAAAAAAUUCGAUUUGUUUUUUAUUUUAUUUUUCUGAAAAAAAUAUUAAAAAAGUAGAUACAAAAAACAAAAAAACAAACCUAAUAUUAAAAAAAAUUAUCUCUCUCAUCUUCUCUCUCAUCUUCUCUCUCGCUUCUCUCUCGUUUCUCUCUAACCUAGAUCUUUUUUUUUCUGCUGCAUUUCUUGAUUCCGGCAGUUAGCGGCGGUGGACCACUCCUUUCUUGCCUCCGUCGAUCACAAGAAUCGUCCGAUGGCACCAGUGCACCUCUCACUUCCCUUUAGAUGGCAAUUUUGUCCUUAUCUUUGAGCAUUGUGCUUCCCUUGAGUCUCUAGAUCCUUCCGCCUUCUACCACUAGACCGAAGACCUUCCUCUAGUUCUCCUCCAUUACUAUGAAGUCGCAGCAAGGCUCAAUCGCUUGGAUCCCUUGACAGUGUCCUUCACCAAGGGUUACAAAUCGAGUGACGACACAGCUGUGAGACCACAACUCUUAAGCGGCAUUCUCGCCGCAUCGCACACAACCGCAGUGGAUAGACGUUGUUUCAGUGGAAUGGUGGUUUUGAGGAGGUUGUCGGCGGCGUAAUUUUUUUUGUAAAACCCGUAACCCUAAUUUUUGUUUUGUUUCAGGUAAGUUUGAUAAAUAUAUUUGAAAAAACGAUAUUGUAUUUUUUAGUUGUAAAGUUCAUAACGUGUGAUGGUAGAUUUAUUUGAAAAACGGUAUGUAGUUUGGUAGAUUAUUAGUUAUUUGAUGGUAGAUAUAUUUACAAAACGAUAUGUAGUUUGGUAUAUCUAUUAGUUAUUUGAUGGUAAAUUUAUUUAAAAAACAAUGUGGUUUGGUAUAUUUAUUAGUCAUCUGACGGUAGACUUAUUUGAAAAACAAUGUGAUUUGGUAGAUUUAUUAGUCAUUUGAUGGUAACUUAUUUGAAAAACGAUAUGUGGUUUGGUAGUUUUAUCAGUUAUUUGAUGGUAGAUUUAUCAGUUAUAUAUAUUUGAAUUUUAUAUUUGAAUGAUGGCAUUUGUUUGUUCUUCUCUGACAGGUUAUGGGAUUUGUGAUGGCGAACGAGUCUCUGAUGGGUUAUGUUCUACUAUGAAUAUUAGAUUUGCAUUUGGUAGAUUUGUUUUGAAAUGAUGGUAGAUUUAUUAUUGAAUUGAUGGUAUAUCUAUAUUUGAAUUUGUACAAAUGAUAAUUAGAUUUUAGAUGAUGAUAUCUUUGUUUUCAAAUUAUAUUUGGCGCAAAAGAUUGACUCAAACAUUUCAUCUUUUUACCACUUUUCUUUACUUUCACUAUGGUUUAUAUCCUAAGUUAAUGAAAUUUUAAACAAAACACAUGAUUAAAGUCAUUUCACAUUGUGAUGUUCAAAAGUUUAUGUAAAUAUAAUUAAAUAUAACAAAAUAUUCACAAAUAAAAAUUAAAAGAUCAUAAGUUAAGAGAUAGUCAUUACAGACAAAAACGAUAAGGACAUAAGAUAAAUGUUUAAGUGAACUAGUAGGACAUAUAUGUUCAAGGUUAAUAUGUGAUAACACCGUAUUUUGACCACUUUUAUGGAUCGUUUUGAAAUACUUUUUCUAUGUUUUUAAUUGCUUUUAAGUACUUUUAUCACGUUUUUCUAGUAUUUUUAGUUCCAAGACUCUUUUCAGGUAACUUAGGGAAAAACUUAACAAAAUGGAUAGAAAACCAGAUUUCAGCUCAAAGUCAAACCGUCAGAAGUUCACCCCUGAUUGAAGGCCUUCUCACCGUCUGUUCCAGCUCAAAUUUGGAGACCUUAAAGAUGGAAGUAUCAACUUUCCAGCACACUUUACAGCUUGACAAUCCAACGGUUCAAUCAAAAGAUACGCGAAGAGCAAGAUGUCCCGUAAACCAGCCAGCAAGCAACUCCACCCGUGGCCAAUAAGCCAUUUCCCGCGGUCAGAAGCAUCCCGACCGCGGCAAACCACUCAUUCCCCGCGGUCACAGCACUCCCAACCGCAGCAAGCCAACUCCGAGCCCAAAAGCCCAUUUUUGAAGCCCACAAUGAUUCCCUCAUUUGGAGAAACCCUAAGUGACGUCCAGAGCACUAUAAAUACAUGUUUUAGGAACCCUAAUCGAAAAAAAAAGAGACCACCGAAUUUUUACUUCAUAGUUUUAUUGUUUUUGCUUUAGCUUUUAGGGAGAGAGAGAUUUGUUCUCUUGAACCCUUGUUCUUUCUUUUUUAAUUUCGGUUUCUAUUCUACUUAUUAAUACUAUGUUUUUGAUUUCGUUCAUUAUGUCUGAGUAGUUUUAUUGUUGGGAUUAAGGGAUUUUAGAUGGGGAUUUAUAUGUUCGAUGAGGAUUCCAUGAGCUUUUGAGCCGAAUCUUAGAACUUAUUCUUCUGAAUUCGUUUUUACUGCAUGAGAGUAGCGUCAUGAACUACAAUCUGAUCCAGAUGCUUUGUGACACGAAAGUGUUCAUCAGGUAUCAGAUCUAGUUUGGGAGAGCAAAACAAACAUAGGAGUGGAAACCUACCUAUGGGCGAUUUGUCAAUGCUGACGAGUCUUAAACAUAAUGCAUCUCUUCUUUUCCAGGGCCAUAGUGGAAACCUACUGGUCAGGGUUGAGAGAGAUAGUUGUCUAUGAUCACGACAGUGGCGUAUUCAUAUGUCCGUGACUCCAGUUCGAAAAGUUUAAGCUAAGAUCUUAGCAAUUUUACUCUCUAGCAAUGUUUUGAAUCGUUCGUACCCCUGAGAAAACUUCCCUGAACCCCAACGCCUUCUUUCCUAUUGAUUUACACCGUUUUUAUUUCAAGCUUUAGUUCAAUAUUGUCUUUCCUUUUUAGUAGAUUUUCAUUUAAGCAAUUAGAAUAUCCGUUUUUCUCAUUUUUAUUCAUUUUCGUUAAGUUUAGUUAUUAGGUCAUUUAAUUCCCGUAUUUUCUUUUAAGAUUUCGUUUUUACAUUUUAAACACACCACCAAACCCCCACAAAACCGUUUUGGUUCUAGACUUCCUUACUUUAUACUUAUUUCAAAGGCUUUUUGCAGGAAAAGAUCCUCUUUCCCCGUGGAUUCGAUCCCAAAGUACUACAAUCGAUCAGCUGUGCACUUGCGGCUAUUGAUUUCAUUUAGGUUAAAACUUGACAACCCUCACGACAACACCACAUCAAGUUUUUGGCGCUGUUGCCGGGGAAAGCACGCGUUUUCUUUUCUGCAACCCCGAGAAAGGUUGGUAAAUCGACUCUAAAACCCCUUUUUCUGCAAUUUUCCAUUUUUCGGUUUUUUUGUUUCCAUUUCAGAAGAUAUGGAUCCUAUAAAUCGAAAUAUACACUAUGAGGAAGGUUUAUAUAACACUCCUCAAGCCACCAGACACAGAACGUUCCAGAAGGAGCCCUGCGCAUCUCCAAUGGCCAACCCUGAACAACCCGCUCGUCGUUUGCCUCACCAAGAUGAAAACGUCCAACUCAUUCACUGAUUGAAAACACUAGAAGUGGCGGUCUUGCACCUACUCGACGUUCAAGCGAGAUCUAGAUCCACAAUCCACGAGAAAAUUGACGACUUGUCAAUGCGCUUUAACAGAAAGCUUGAAGAUCUUUCAGCUCAAGUCAAGACCAUCGAAACUCAACUAAACAAGGGUGCUGAAACCAUUAAGGAGAGGAUAGAAGCAAUCGAAGGACGAGUUGGAGAAAACGAAGUUCGCAUUCGCAAAGCCAGUGGGAACAUCCGCACCUUAGAGAUCAAACUUGAUGAAGCAGAAGAGACUAUUAACGACCAUAACAACCAAACCUAUUCCUACAUGGAAGAGAUUUAGGAUGGAGUACACAAGGUUCAAGACAAAACAGAGGAAAUAGACUCAACCGUGGACAAAGUAGUCUAUGCCCUCGAUGAAAUCGAAGAGAAGGUUGAAAAGCUUAUGCAAGGAUGUGAAACAAACGGUUCGACGCUUCUCAUCGAAGAUCUUACCUUAAAAAAGGAGGAAACGGAGCUAGAAUGUGCAGAAAUCAGUUUAGAUGGCAAAAGAGCAGACGAAACAAAGGAAACAACUCGGAGCCUUCUUCUCGCGGUCAGAACUCUCGUGACCGCGGCCAACAAGCCUCCAGCCGCGGUCGUGAGCCUCCUGACCGCGGCAAAACCCUCCCCACCCGCGGUCGUGAAACCUCUACCCGCUGCAAAUGCUCCGUCAGAUACCUUUCAGCCCUUUUCCACUCCUACAGGUCAAUGCUUAUUUGAUACAUCUGCUAGGAUGGUCAAAGCCCCUCUACAUGAGCAAACGGUGUAUGCUAUCAGCUCCAAAACAUCUCAAGAAGAAAAUGAGGUACUCCCUUGCAACAUAGUUUUAGCAUAUGAGGAUGAAUAUGAAGGGCACUACCUCGAAGAUGAAGACUAUCGUCUGUUCAUAGAAGGAGGGAAUCCAGACAAAAUGGUGGAAUUAGGAGCACCAAUCUCCAGAGAAAGGCUCAUUGAAUUCAACAAGUUUGUGAAAUCGAUCCCUCUUUACACAGGUUUCGAUGAUAUAUGGCAUCUUGGUUGUUUGCAAGUUUUCUUUAGGUACAGCAAGGAGACAAAGGAGGAUAUCAGAACCUAUUUUGGGAGGGCUAGACGUCUGACUUUUCCCAGAACAUCACCUGAUGCUGCAAUCUAUUCAAUUCACCUCAAAAAGCCGGAAGACUGCAGCCACUACACCAACAAAAUCAGCAAGGAAAAGCUCGAUGAAUUCAAUGAUGUGGUUCGAAAUUUGCCUGAAGAAAUCACGUUUGCCAGAGCUUGCAAGGACUUUAUGAUAGGCCACUACUUCUGUGAGAGCAAAGAAUCAAUCCCUGAGAUAGAAGACUUGUUCAAUCAUGCCAGAAGAGGUAAACCUGUUCGAACACUUCAUAAAAUAGAAGGUGUAGGUCAGUUUCUUAUCUCUUGUUCUAUUAGAGGAGAAAUGUUUAAAAACGUGCUAUGUGAUUCUGGAGCUUGUGUUAACAUGAUGUCCAAGGCAAUUGAUUUGAGACUUGGUAUUAAACACCUGCGCAGGACUAGAGCAAAGAUUAGUCUAGCUGAUGAUUCCAAUGCAACACCUCAAGGAAUAGCUCAUGAAAUUCCUUUGAGAAUAGGAGAUUACAUAGUGCCUGUCGACUUCUACAUUGUCGAAACGAGAGAUGCAACAUAUCCAGUGAUUCUCGGAUGGUCUUUUCUAGCAACUUUCGGAGCUAUAAUGGACUGGCCAAACCGGAGGAUUUCAUUUGCUAAUAUCGACAAAGAUGUCUUCACAGAAGCUGUUCCAUACAACAGCAAAGCAGGAAAACGUUCUGCAACAGAAGAGUUUGAAGAAGAACUUUGGAGUGACGAAGAACCUGCUAGGCAAAGCAAGGAGAUGUCGAAAAAGACUUGUCUCAGGACAAGGUCUUCUUCAUUGGAAUAAGUCACGUCCAACACCAAAAGUCGAGCUAAACGACUUAAAACAGAAGCGCUUAAUGGGAGGCAACCCAUUUAGGUAUUGUUUUCUUUAGGAUUUUUCUUUCUUUUUCUUUUGAUCUUUUUCUUUUUCUUAAUUUCAGGUGUUUCUUAUAAAACAAAAAAACCAAAAAAUCAAAAAACCCGAAAAAAACCAAAAAGAAGGAUGGUACCUGACUGCUCGGCCCAGCAGGAACCAAGGAGAAGCAGGAAGAGGCCGCGAAAUAAGCCUCCGCGGUCGCAGACGUUCUGACCGCGGGAAACUACUCAUCGACCGCGGUCGCGUGAUCCUGACCGCGGCCAAACACUUGGUUGCCGCGGUCGCGCGACCCCUGUCCGCGGCACUUGGUCGUUGACAUCAAACCCAACCCCAAACCACCCACUUCACCCCAUUCCACCUCACCAAUCACCCUCCACCUCAUUCAUCACCCUCCACCACCUUCAUCACCCCCUAAUCACCUUCCCAAACCUCUUCGAAUGAAUCCGGUUCAUCUCCACCAGCAUCCCGGAUCCAGGUAAGUUCUCUUUGUCCUUACCAAUUCGAUUAUCUAUGCAUUUUUCUCAUCCAAUCUCGACUUGUUUCACACUGAGGACAGUGUGAUUUAAGUCUGGGGGAGGAUUUCAUCCUUUUCUAACCACUUUUCUUUCAUGAGUCUUGCAUUAUCUACACUUUUUGCAUUUUCCUUAAAGUUUUUCAAAAUCGGUUUUCAAAACAAAAUACGUUUUAAAGGGAAUGGUGAACAUAAAUCAAUGAUAGUUGACUGUGUGCUUUAGACUAUUCCUAGUGACAUGCUCAUUCAUGAUUUAGGACUAGACUAGGCGGUAGCUAAGCACAUUUGAAACGAAGUACCCCAGAGGAAUUUGAAUGAUUUCGAUUUAGAUGAAGGGAUACACUAGCUCUGUUUUAUUUGGACUUAAUUUGGACUCAAUUUUCUCAUUGAAGCUUUAGACCAGGGAAACGAAUCAUACAUUCAGGACUCCUUUAUCCUUUUACCACUCUCAGUUGAUCCUGAAUGGCUAGUUCAUCUUUAGCUAGUUCCCCACCUUAACCAAUCCUCUUUCAAACCACAUGCACUCUUGUUUUCUAUUGUCUUACAUGCAGAUAAGUGCAAAAACGUUGGAGAGAAAGAGGAACGACGCAGUUUUCAGUCACCAAGGAUAGAGACCUGCGAUUUGCCGGAAAAGUUUCCGGAAGGAUCCAACACAAGAGGAAGCUCAGUUUGCCUUAGAAAAAUCUCAAAUUUUGGUACAAUCUCGUCCUCUAGUCUCUCUCUCUUUAAAAGGCAUUUCCUAUUCUAAAAAAAAAAAAAAAAAAAAUCCAAAAAUAAGAAAAGAAAGGAAAUAAAAGCCUUAGAGAGUCUAGAGAGCUCGAAUUUUAAGUCCCAAGGCAACUGGAGUUUGAUUUUAUGGAGUUUUGGAGAUCGUUUUCUGAUUCCUGGAAAGAAUCUAAGUCUGGGGGAACAGCUGUUUACAACAAAGGAGGAAGGAUUAUGCAACAACAUUUGGCAAGAAGAAGUGACUGAAAAACUGUGGUCAUCAACAGGUCCUUAUCUCUCUUGCGGUUUUGCAUAUUAUCUUGCAUCCUCCAGAUCUUCAGGUAACCCGAAACACUUUAACUCCACCACUUAAACAGUCCUUUAAUGCCAAACGCCGUCUACCCUGGAUAAUGUCUUUAAUGAGAAAUCACUAUUGAACUUAAUGAAUGUAGAGAGCUAGUUGACUGGAAUCAAGAUUUAGAUUUUUUAAGUUUUGCAUGACGGAAAAAGUGGACUAGUAUCUUUUGUGUCUUGGUGAGAAUUUUCUAGACUAAGUUGUGGAUUGAUGCACUAUCUUUGGUUCUAGUUUAGGAGUUAAUGUCUCUGAGAAUUGUGAAUUUCCUAUUUUUGUUUUCACCUAACCAGUUUAGACUUUUGCUUUGCUUGAGGACAAACAAAGGUUUAAGUCUGGGGGAGUUGAUAACACCGUAUUUUGACCACUUUUAUGGAUCGUUUUGAAAUACUUUUUCUAUGUUUUUAAUUGCUUUUAAGUACUUUUAUCACGUUUUUCUAGUAUUUUUAGUUCCAAGACUCUUUUCAGGUAACUUAGGGAAAAACUUAACAAAAUGGAAAGAAAACCAGAUUUCAGCUCAGAGUCAAACCGUCAGAAGUUCACCCCUAAUUGAAGGCCUUCUCACCGUCUGAUCCAGCUCAAAUUUGGAGACCUUAAAGAUGGAAGUAUCAGCUUUCCAGCACACUUUACAGCUUAGCAAUCUAACCGUUCAAUCAAAAGAUACGCGAAGAGCAAAAUGUCCUGUAAACCAGCCGGCAAGCAACUCCACCUGCGGCCAACAGGCCAUUUCCCGCGGUCAGAAGCAUCCCGACUGCGGCAAACCACUCAUUCCCCGCGGUCACAGCACUCCCGACCGCGGCAAGCCAACUCCGAGCCCAAAAGCCCAUUUCUGAAGCCCACAAUGAUUUCCUCAUUUGGAGAAACCCUAAGUGACGUCCAGAGCACUAUAAAUACAUGUUUUAGGAACCCUACUCGAAAAAAUAGAGACUACCGAAUUUUUACUUCAUACUUUUAUUGUUUUUGCUUUAGCUUUUGGGAGAGAGAGAUUUGUUCUCUUACCCUUGUUCUUUCUUUUUCAAUUUCGGUUUCUAUUCUACUUAUUAAUACUAUGUUUUUGAUUUCGUUCAUUAUGUAUGAGUAGUUCAAUUGUUAGGAUUAAGGGAUUUUCGAUGGGGAUUUAUAUGUUCGAUGAGGAUUCCAUGAGCUUUUGAGCCGAAUCUUAGAACUUUUUCUUCUGAAUUCGUUUUUACUGCAUGAGAGUAGCGUCAUGAACUACAAUCUGAUCCAGAUGCUUGGUGACACAAAAGUGUUCAUCAGGUAUCAGAUCUAGUUUGGGAGAGCAAAACAAACAUAGGAGUGGAAACCUACCUAUGGGCGAUUUGUCAAUGCUGACGAGUCUUAAACAUAAUGCAUCUCUUCUUUUCCAGGGCCAGAGUGGAAACCUACUGGUCAGGGUUGAGAUAGUUGUCUAUGAUCACGACAGUGGCGUAUUCAUACGUCCGUGACUCCAGUUCGAAAAGUUUAAGCUAAGAUCUUAUCAAUUUUACUCUCUAGCAAUGUUUUGAAUCGUUCGUACCCCUGAGAAAACUUCCCUGAACCCCAACGCCUUCUUUCCUAUUGAUUUACACCGUUUUUAUUUCAAGCUUUAGUUCAAUAUUGUCUUUCCUUUUUAGUAGAUUUUCAUUUAAGCAUUUAGAAUAUCCGUUUUUCUCAUUUUUAUUCAUUUUCGUUAAGUUUAGUUAUUAAUUCAUUUAAUUCCCAUAUUUUCUUUUAAGAUUUCAUUUUUACAUUUUAAACACACCACCAAACCCCCACAAAACCGUUUUGGUUCUAGAUUUCCUUACUUUAUACUUAUUUCAAAGGCUUUUUGCAGGAAAAUAUCCUCCUUCCCUGUGGAUUCGAUCCCUAAGUACUACAAUCGAUCAGCUGUGCACUUGCGGCUAUUGAUUUCAUUUAGGGUAAAACUUGACAACCCUCAAGACAACACCACAUCAAGUUGUGAGAUAACACCGGAUUCUGACCAUUUUUAUGGAUCACUUUUAUAUCUUUUACAGGUGUUUUUACUCCAUUUUCAAAGGUUUUCAAAGGAUUUCUAUGUUUCCGGAUUUUAAAAGACUUUUCAGGUAAUUUGGGAUAAAGAGGCACAAAAUGGAACAAAAAGACUCUUUUGAAUAAAUGCAGAUCGUCAGAACUCUCAUGGAGAGACGAAGACCUUUUCACCGUCUGAUCACCCUCAAAAUUGGACAACUUAUAGGAGAAUCAACCAGCUUUCAAAUGUACUUGGUUUGGAGACAUUCCAACGGUUGGAUCUCAAGAUAUUCUAUUAGCCCCGGAGCCACUUGAAGUCGGCCAGCAAGUCACGCGACCGCGGUGAUCAACCUAUAUCCCGCGGUCAGAAGCUUCCCGACCGCGGCCAACCAGCCAAUCCCCGCGGUCACAACACUCCCGACCGCGGCAAUCAAUCUCCGAAUUAAAGCCCAUGUAUCUGAAGCCCAAAGUCAUUCUCAGCCUCAAUUCCGGAACCCUAGAGACCAUGGAGUAUUGGAGACUAUAAAUACAUGUCAUUUAGGUCGUUUUUAGGGAGAGCCAUUCAUACUUUACAGAAACCCUUUUUCUUUAGCCGUUUAUAUGAGAUUUUUGUAGAAGAUUGUUCAAGUCCGAGUUCUUCAAUAGAGAAGCUUUCUUUAUCUCUUUUCUUUACUGUUUUUCAUUACUUUUAUUAAAACCAAUGAUGAUGUCGACCUCAGCCAUGUCUGAGUAGAUCCCGAGUUGGGCUUAGGGUUCCCGGAAGGGGCUCUCAUAAUCGAUUAAGACAUCUAGGUUUAUAGAUCUGGGAUUUCGACCUGUUCUCUUUUUAUUCUUGUUCUUAUUGCAUGUAUGCUUGAUUGAUCACCUAGUAUCUGAUCUAGAUAGUUAGUGUUGCAAAAGUUUUCAUUAAGUAUCAGCCCUAAAAUGAAACAGGCGAUUUUUCCGUAGGACUGGAAACCUACCUGCGGCGAGAUCGUGAGUAUUGACGAGUCUUGUGCAGCUCUUGCGUUCUCUCCCUUCUAGGGCCAGAGUGGAAACCUACUGGUCAGGGUUGCGAGAAACAGUUGGUUAUGAUCACGACAGUGACGUAGUCAUACUGCCGUACUCUAGCUCUAGAACCCAUAUAUCGAUAUCCGUCAAUCCCAAUCUAUUUACCCUAGUGUUAAAACCGAUUAUGAUCCCUUAGAGUCCCUAAAAGCUCAGCGUUUUUAGCCAUAGUUUACAAUUCCAUCGAUUUUUAUUUGCUUAUUUAGGCCUGCAUUUCAAUUUCCUUAGUUUGUUAUUUACUUACUUUACUAGUAUUUCAUUCGAUAUUUUACUUGCCUUAUUAGUCUUUCAUUCGAUAUUUUACUUGUUCUAUUUGCCUUUCAUUCGAUUUUUUUACUUGCUUUUUAGGAUAGAUUUAUUUGCUUUCUUUUGUUUUAGUUUAAUACAUCAAACCAACCAACCUUUAAAAACCAAUCUAGUCUAGACAUAAAGUUAAAAACCGUAGAAGAAUACCAGGCACACAAAUCUCUGUGGAUUUGAUCCCUAAAUACUAUAACUGAUUAGCUGUGCACUUGCGGCUUUCAUUUGUUUUGUUAAGGGUAAAACUUGUUCCCUCACGCAGUUGACACGACAUCAAGUUUUUGGCGCCGUUGCCGGGGAUUUGUUUCGCUGCCUUUUGCUAUUUUUCUUGUUUUAACUUCUGUUAUAGACACUUGAUCUCUAGUUCUUUCUUAAAGUUUUGCUGAAUUAUCUUUCCCUUCUUUUGUUUUUCUCUGAAUUGCAUGAAUACCAGGCGCAUACCUGUAGAAAACAUUCCAAUUCUAGACGAGAUAGACAGACACGAAAGACAACUUCGAAGACUUAGACGAACACAAAGAAUGGCCAACGACAACCAGCCUGGAGAUCCUAUUAAUCGAACUUUAAAUAUGGACCAAGACGGGUCCGAACAUGGGGAAAAUGAAGAGAAUGAUCACAGUGGAGGUGAUCAUGCUCGACAAGAUGGAGAGGAAGAUGAGUUUCCUCCAAGAAACCACCAGAACCGAGAGAGAGAAGGACGUGAAGACCUUGAUCCACCCAUCAAUGCAGCCGAUGGUGACCACCCAGCAAUGCAGCCAAAUGAACGCAUUCACCGCCCCAUUCCGCCAGCAAAUCAACACCGAAGACAAGCCAGGAACCAUCGCAUAGCUGAUUUUGAUGGACCUACUCAAAAUUUUCAGAAUCGAUCUGCAAUUCAAGUACCAUUUCCAAACCGGAAUGAGUUUGAAGUCAAGCCUCAAAUCAUCUCAUUGGUGAAGCAAAACCAGUUCCAUGGAGUUCCUUCUGAACACCCAAUGGACCAUAUCGAGCUCUUUGAAGAAAUUUGCAGCAUGAUGAGAACAAAUCAAAUUCCACCAGACUAUUUAAAGUGUAAGUUGUUCCUUUUUUCAUUAGCAGAUAAAGCUCACCGUUGGUUGAAAUCUUUGCCUGCAGGAUCGAUUACCAAUUGGGAAGAAUGCAGAAAUGCUUUCCUAAACCACUUCUACACUAAGUCAAGGUCGAAUCAGUUGAGAACAAAGAUCUCAAACUUUCAACAAGGGCCAACUGAAUCUUUCUAUGAAGCCUGGGAGCGUUUUAAGGAGUAUGAACGUGAUUGCCCUCACCAUGGAUUUCAUGGAUCAAGCCUGCUGAGCACAUUUUACCGAGGUUUGCAACCAAAAUAUAAACUUUCACUUGAUACAGCUAGCAAUGGAGAUUUUGGACAAAAGAUGAUAACCCAAGGAAGAGCUCUCAUCGAAAAUUUGGCUCAAGCCAAUAGCAAUGACUGUCCUGAAUAUGAUCGAUCAAUGAAGCAAGCCGGAACAGACAACAAGGAGAUAACCGAGUUGAAGAACAUGGUGAGCCAGCUUCUGAAGAGUAACAAUCGCCCAAUCCAUGCUUGUGAGACCAACAAUGGCGCAGAAGAUGAAGGACCUAGUGAUAUCGAUCACAUUAAUCAAGCCUUUCAAGAGGAAGAUGUGAACUAUGUAGGAGCACUGGUGCCAUAUCAAAAUCGCUCCAAUAAUAGCUUCAACAACAACUUCCGGAAUGCAAAUUACAACAAUCUCUCUUACCGCAAUCCAAAUGUGGAGAAUCCUCAAGACCAGUACUACCCACCUCAGCAAAAAUCCUUUCAAAACAAGUUUCAAGGUGGAAACGUUGGAGGAAUAGUACCAUAUCAACCACGACAGCCAUUUAACUACCAAGGUACGGGUUUUAACAAUCAAUUUGUACGACAGCAGGGAGUCACGACGAACCAGCUAGCUUCACAAAUCGGUAGACUUGAACAGUCAAUCCAACAGCUCGUUAUGACGAACGAAAAAGCAUCUAAAGACGUGAACGUGAAAGUGUACUGCAUGUACAAUGAUCUGAAUGGUAAGUUUGAAUCUUUAUCUUCGCACGUAAAAAAGUUAGAUGUGCAAGUCGCCCAAACAGCCGACUCUAUGAAGAGGCAAAGUGGAGUACUUCCAGGAAGAGUUGAAGAUAACCCUAAGAAGUUUUGCAACGCCAUAACCACAUUGCCCGAAGAAGAGGCCGGAACCAAUGGAAAGAAAGAAGAAACCCCAAUCUUUGUACCACUGUACAAGGAUAUCAAUCCCAAGAAGCCACCGUUUAAGGUACCUGAACGAUCACCGUUUUAAAGGCUUACCAAAGCCGAUGAUCCAGGACGUUUUGUUUUCCAGUGUUUCAUUUCAGGAAUCAAGUUUACAGACUGCUUGUGUGAUUCCGGAGCCAAUGUCAACAUCAUGUCUAAGACGUUUGCCGAAAAAUUGGGCACUAAAACCUUAAAGACAUCGACGGUUAAGGUUAUUUUUGGAGAUUCAUCUCAAAAAGAUACCAAAGGGGCAAUUCAUGAUCUACAAGUUCUAGUGGGAGACAAAAUCGUUCCAGCAGAUUUCCAAGUCCUGGAAAUGGAUAAAGACAAGGAGAGGCCACUCAUUUUCGGGAGACCAUUCCUAGCUACAGUAGGAGCAGUAAUCGAUCACGCAAAACGACAUGUUGUUUUCCUCAAUGUGGAUCGAAAAAAGUACUAUCCGACUAUCUUAGACGAUUUUCCAAGCAAAGGAAACAUACCAAAAGAGAAAGAGAAGGAGAAGCCGAAAGCUUUUGCAAAGAUCAAGAUCAUCAUUCCACCAGAUGCAACAGAAACUAGUGAGGACUAAAUCCAGGAGCUGAUCGAAAACACAAAAAGGGUUUUAAACAAUAUUAAAGUUCGAAAGAAGAGUAAAGGAAAGAAGACGGCUCCUCAAGGAGAAGAAGUAAAACCUCCAGCGACCGGAAGUGAUAAAGGCACAUCAAGUGGAGUGCCAUUCAAAUCAGCCUGAUUCCUCAUGCUUACGUCGAGCUAAACGACUUAAAACAAAAGCGCUUAAUGGGAGGCAACCCAUUUAGGUACUCUUUCUUUUAGUUUUCUUUUCCUUUUUUUUUACAAUUUAUACUUUCUUUUUCUUUUUAAGUUUUAGGUAUUUUAUAAAACAAAAACACAAAAAAAAUCAGAAAAUUAAGAAAACCAAGAAGAAAAAGGUAGGUUUUUAGCUGCUCGGCCCGGCAAAGACGAGAAGGUUGGACAAAGGCCGCAUGAGGAAGAGCCGCGGUCGCGACUGACUGACCUGCGGCCAAGGGAGCAUCGACCGCGGCACCGUGAAUGUGACCGCGGCCGAGCACUCGACCACCGCGGUCGCGCGUCUCCUGACCGCGGCCGUUGGUCGUUGAGGUGAUUCCGCGGAUUUCUGCCGCUUUUCGGUGUUGCCUGGUGUUUGCCUGGUGAUUCCUGGUGUUGCCUGGUGUAUUCUCGGUGUUGCCUGGUGUUUGCCUGGUAAUUCCCGGUGUUGCCUGGUGUUUUCCUGGUGUUGCCUGGUGUUUACCUGGUGUUUACCUGGUGUUACCUGGUGAUUCCCGGUGAUUCCCGGUGAUUCCCGAAAUGUUCCCGGUAAAAUCCGAAAAGCUCCUCCGUAAGUUUUAAACUUUCCUAAUGUGCAAACAAGAAAGGUAAGUUCCCGUAAACUUAAAAAUUUCUAGAAAUUUUCCGUUUUUGCUACAAAAACGCUUUUUAAAGAAAAGAAACAAACUUUUUGGAUCAAAACUCCUUCUUCUCUUCUCUUCCAAAAGAUUUGGAGAUUUAGGAGAUAGAAUACAUUUUUCAAUUCUUAAGCUUUUUAAAAGAUUUUUGGCUCAAACCUCACUCUUUUUCAAAGCUGAUUCCAAUUCUGCAAUCAAAUCUCUCUUUCCAGCAAGGUAUGAACCUCAAACUCGCCAUUUUUAAUUGAUUUCAUAACUUAGGGUUUUUUUAAAAAUCCCAAAUCUCUGUUUAUUGAUGGUAGAAAUAGAUUAAGAAUGAUAGAUUAUCCAUUUAGGUUAUCUAAAAAUUGAUUUUAGCACCUAGCUUAAGAGGAAUUGAGAUUUUUGAAAUUUGGAUUCUACAUGCUUCAUAAAAAUCGAAUUUGGAACAGCAAAAUUGAUGAGUUUGAUUAAGUCUUGUGUGAUUAAUGAUUAGUAUUGUGUGAGCCAAAACUCAAACAACCAGAAAUUUGUUUAAGGAAAACUAAGGGAUCGGAAACUUCUAGGGUUUAUCGCCAAAAACAGUAAGAUCGAAAGAAAGUUUUUCUUGCUGUAAAAGUGUUUAGCUCUUAUUGCUUAGGGUUGCAAAAGUUACAGAAUGAAUUGUAUACAUCGUCUAUUUAUACUAACUCUCUGAACCGCCUAGCCGAGAAUCUCGGGAGAGAUUUUCGGAAUAUUUCCUUAUCGCCUCGUGCGGCUCACCGCCUUUGUAUUUCGCCUAGGAUUUUUAUGGGCUUCGUCUCCCAAGGCCACGGUUUGGCCCAUCAUUCUCCUUUGCCACGGCUCGGCCAUCUAAUUUCUUCACGGCUCGGCCCACUUGCCAUUUCGGUCGAGACAUGAUCUGGUCCACCUCACCGAGGCGCGGCUCGGCCCAAGCAUGUUGGAAUGGGGCUCGGCCCAUUUCUUACGAUACGGCUCUCCCUACUGGUCUAUCGUCACGGCUCUCCCACUUGGUGAUCGCGGCUCUCCCGCUUGUCUUGGUGAGAACGGCUCUCCCACUUGUCUUGGUGAGAACGGCUCUCCCACUUGUCUUGGUGAGAACGGCUCUCCCAUUUGGUGACCACGGCUCUCCCACUUAUCUUUCUUCCAUACUUAGUCAUUUUGAGAUGGUUUUAUCUGCGUGGGGUGAAAACCGACCCCAACAGUUAGCCCCACUGCUCGUCAGUUUCGGAGGCGAGAGUAACGAGGUCCAUUACUCCUGACCGUAGGAUAAACCAUCGAGUCAAGCUGUUAUGACAUAGGCCCAGAUGAGGUGUUUUGGGAAUGAAGACGCCGAGGUGUUUCCAAGGAGUGCCGAGGGUGCCGAGGUGUUUCGAAAGGGUACCGAAGAUGCCGAGGCAAGUUAAGGACGAGGCGACCUCGUUUGGUAAUAAUGGGCCGAUGCGAUUUCGUUUAGUAAUGAUGAGCCGUGACGAGGCGAUUUGAGAAGGUUAUACCGAGCCGAAUAAAUGGCGAGGCGUUUCGAGAGAAAGUUUGUGCCGAGCCGUUUCGUUAAUGACAAGGCGUUUCGAGAGAAAAUUCGUGCCGAGCCGUUUCGUUAACGACGAGGCGUUUUGAGAGAAAGUAAAUGCUGAGCCGUUUCGUUAACGACGAGGCAUUUCGAGAGAAAAUUCGUGCCGAGCCGUUUCGUUAACGACUAGGCGUUUCGAGAGAGAGUAAAUGCCGAGCCGUUUCGUUAACGACGAGGCGUUUCAAGAGAGAGUAAAUGCCGAGCCGUUUCGUUAACGACGAGGCGUUUCGAGAGAGAGUAAAUGCCGAGCCGUUUCGUUAACGACGAGGCGUUUCAAGAGAGAGUAAAUGCCGAGCUGUUUCGUUAACGACGAGGCGUUUACUUUGGUAAGAUAUCGGCUGAAAAAUUGGGCAUCACAACUGUUGGUCUUCCGAGAGAAAAUUCAUGAUCUGUUGGCGCGUGUGACCGACGCAGUUCGGUCUAGCCGUUCCACUGCGGAUCCCACGCGCUGUUUGGACGGUUUCCCGAGGUUUACGCGGAAUUCACGCGCUUCGGUUUUCCUAUAAAUGGGUGAGCUCCUUCAUUCUUCCUCAUUAUCUUCAGACUCACUUUUUUUACUAAAGGUAGCUCUCCCUUCUCUCUUCUUUCUCUCUCUAGUUUAUUUAUUUUCCCGCUAGGGUUUCCGAGGUCUCCGCCGUUCCAGAUCUUUUUCCGGCAGAGGCUCGCCGAGUCGUGCUGUAAUUCUUGUACAAGUCGUAAGUUAUGUCGAGCCACUCCGACGAUUCGUUGGAUUCACUCUUUCACUACGAGCCGAGCCGUGUAGAUGCCGAGGCGAGAGGUACAACAGAAUCCUCCGAGGCAUCCGUUUCGCCGAGCCCUUCCAAUCGUUCAUCUGACGAGGCGUCAAAUCAUGCAAAACCGUCAGAUGUCGACUCUACAGAUGAUGAGCCAUCGGUUUCGACGAGCCGUCCCCAGGAUCCCAUUCCUGAUGAAGGUAUCAACUGCGCCGCAGUCUAACCCGAGGAGGAGGCAUUUCCCUUUGACCUAUUCGAGGCGAAGCGUGAGUUGGAACGUCUCAUAGCGUCUCGAGGCGCUUCCACAUCUGGGCGAGGGCCACGAGUUAAAAGACAAAAGCCUGACCCGCCUGGCUCUACGCUUUGCUCCCUUGAGUCGCUCUAGGCGUUGAGGCAUCGCUUCAGGAUAUCCGAGGCGGUGGAGUUCAUCGUUCCAGAGAAGAGCGACCGAGCCGACAAGCCUCCAGAGAAUCACUUCACUCUGUACGAGGCGUUCUUCGAGCUUUGCUUUCUCUGGUUCCCAAUCCCCGGAGUGAUCCUUGAAUAUCUCUGGAAACACGGGAUCUCGAUUGGGCAAAUCAUGCCGAGGGGAUUACGGCGUAUGAUUGGCAUCUUAGUUCGUAGCUCCGAAUGCGGACUCGAUAUCGAGCUGAAUCACCUGCUGGACUUGCUGGAAAUCAGGAAAGCCCCGAAGGGAAAUAGAUUCUAUAUUUCCAACAAGGCGAAACGACGGAUCAUAGGCGGUUUUCCCAGCAAGGAUCAGUUUUGGACUGAACGCUUUUUCUACGUCUUGGUGAACGAGGCGUCGGUCGGCGAGGAUUACGUUCAAAGAACCAAGACCGCUUGGGGAUCACUUGGUAGCCGACCCGAAGCUCUGCCUCGGCUCGGAACUGCUUUUGGUAUCCUCUUCCUUUUCUGAAUUUUUUUCUUUUUUGCUUUGUUUUGCAGUUCGGUGCUUUCUUCCCCCGAUUCCCGACGACCUUUUUACUGUUCAAGACUCUCUUUCGGCGCGGAAGGUUAAUUGGAGAAAGAACUUCACCCUCGAAAGAGUAGAAAGAGCGCGAGCCAUCCUUGCCGGAGUCCCCGUCAGCUCUUCGUCCUCAAGUUCUUCAAGACAUACCCGGGAGAAGAUAGUAAUAAUCGCUCUCAGAGAAAGGAAGAGGCGCGAGGAAGAGGAGGCCGCUAGAUGAGCUGCCGAGGCGGCUCGCGCGCAUACCGAGGCAGUUCCAGCGCAAGCCGAGGCGGUUUCAGCGCAAGCCGAGACCAUCCCUCAACCCGACCCGCCGAGCCAGGAAGGGGAUGUAAUGGUCCAAGCCGCAGAAGGAGACACUGCCGAGGCGGCUGAUAAAGAUGCAGCGCCCGAGGUGGAACCGGGCGAAAUUAUCCCCGAGGUGUCCGGGGACGGCUCGGCGGCGCGGAGUAAGACUCCUUCGCACACCGCCAUCCUGGCCCUCCCGAAGUCGACGAGGCCACCGACUUCGGUUGUUCAGAAGCAUGACUCUAGCCGAAAACGUUCGGCUACUGACAAGGGGAAGGGCGUCGCCGUUCAGAAGGACGAGCCGUCCAAGAAGAGGCGGAAACCGACGCCCGGGGACCCGCCGCGCAUAAGUUGGUCGUUGACGACCCCAACGCCUCUGCCGUCAUGUUCUCGCGUGUAAAUAACGCGAACACGAGUCUUCCUCCUCUGGAGAAGCUGAGGAGGCCGAGGUCAUACGGCACGAUGGAACAGCACGGUACCAAGGUACGUUCUAUUUUCUUUCCUUUAUUUUUGCAAAUUUUACGAGGUGUUUAACGCACGUCUGUUCUCUGCAGUUUGUCGCGGCCAUUAACGACCUGAUGGCCGAGUAUGAGGCGGACCUGUCUAAGGUCGAAUGUCGUUUGGACGAGGCCCGAAAUGAAACCGUGGCGUCAAAGGUGAAGCUGGAAGAGGCGCAAAACGAAGCCGCGGCCGCGAAGGGGAAACUCACCGAGGCGAUGACCCGAGUGUCGAGGUUGGAAGAGGAGAAGAUAGUUCUCCGCGCUGACGUCGACAAAGUUUCCGCCUUGGUGAUUCGCCUGGAGGAAGCAAGGAGAGCUAAAAGCGCCGAGGUGGCGAUGCAAGAGGCGUAUCGAAGCCAAGGACGCUCUGUUUGAUGCCAAGGUCAAGCGGGCAAAAAAGGAGGCGAGGCGAGAGCUUACGGCUAAGUUUCAGGAACGCCUCGCCAAGGUAGAGGAAGAUUUGGUCAAGCUCGAGAAGGCCAAAAAUGAUGAGAACGAUCUGGGGCAGAUCAAGGGCAAUCUUGCGAUGAUUGCCGACCUGAAGAAGCCGGACACCCCGACGCUUGAUGACGAGGAGGCGAAGCUGAAAAGUUGGGAGAGUGAGUAUGCCAACGACGAGGCGUACGAGCGUAUUGCUUCCGAGAUUCAAGGCGAGCUGUUUUACUCUCCCGUAUCGCUGGACUCGGUAGACACCAGCAUUGGCAACGAGCCGCUUGAAGAGACAGCGGCCAACCUGGGUGUCGUUGAUCCGACCAGAUCGAACGCGGGGACACCAGCCCUCUCGAACCUCCUUGCCGAGCGCGAGACGCAAUCCGUGGCUUGAUACUCUCUGCUUUCCCUCACCCUUUAUUGCACAUGUUCUUCUUUUUGUUUUUGUACUUAAGUUUUUUCAUGAUUCACUUUUCGAACUCGUUAUGUAAUUGGUGCCUGGAUGGCUUUAUCCACUUGACUUUUAUUUUUGCUUUAUGGAUAUAUUUUAUUUUCCUUAGCCAUUUUCGGAUUUACUUGUCUAACAAUCCAUGAAAAUGUUUACGAAAACUGUUGGCUUAGAAAAAUUGUCAAGGAUGAAAACUGUGUGUCGAGAAUGAUUUGAUUGCUUCCUUAGCCGGGCUUUUCGAAAUUGAUAGAAAUACGGGCUAAGGGGUGAAUUGUGUUAAGGAUCUCGUUUGGAUUCUUAAUCCCGAGCUGGGAGUUUAGGUGAUAAUGUCGAGGCAAAUUUCCACUGGCAAUGCCGAGCCGUAUUUAACGACGAGGCGUUUUCGCUGUGUAAGGUGCCGAGCCGUGUAAACGGCGAGGCGUUUUCUCUAAGCGUGGUACCGAGCCGUGUACACGACGAGGCAUUUUUUCUGUGCAUGGUGCCGAGCCAUAAGAACGACGAGGCGUUUUCUCUUUGCGUGGUGCCGAACCGUAAGAACGACGAGGCGUUUCGUUUUUUGUUCAGCCAAGAAUGAUUUGGUAGUCUCAUUGAAUCUUACUAUGGACCGGCGUUUCCGAGAGGAUGAAUAUGUUUGUCCGGGUUUUAAGAGUUUACUUCGGUUUUAGAGAAAGCGAUGUAGUCUCGACUUACAUUCUCGUGUGCGAUAGUAAACCGUGGCGACCUGAUACGUUUUUGGUCUGAUAUUUGUAUAGCGCUUAAUUUUUAUCCGUAGAGGAUGUAACUUGCACCCUCGUCCUAGGAAAGGUGGUAAAGUUCGUUUAGAGAACUUUGUAUUUGUUGCCCCGUUAUGGCCAGCAACGAGACGAGGCGUUCGGAGGCUUAGUUUGCCGAUCUGAAACUGAGGACCGAUUAAGGUCUGAGGUAAUCAAGUCAUGAUAUCGUGCCGAAGUGGUAUGAUUACUCUCCGAAGUGAUGAGUGAUAAAAUUUUAAAAAUCCGAGCUUGUUAAAAUAAGUUGCUGAUUUAGAAAAAAUGAGAAACUAGCCGAAGCGAUAAUGAACGAACUAGAAAUCCAAGGUAAACGUGCAAUAAGUAGAUGAUUAAAAACGAACUGAGAAUGUGCCGAAGUGGCGAUGUUCCUAAGUGAGCAAGUUAAAAUUGUAGAGUUAAAGAAGGUAUGUGUAUAAGUACCCACUCCCCCCCCCUUUUUAGGAAGGGGGACAGCUGAACCCGUCCGAGGACGGGCUGCCUACGUACCCUUUGAAGGGAUCAAGCCGUCCCGUAGUUCAUGCUUGCCAUGCUGUACCUUUAAUGAUAAUACUUUUUUAGAUGCAUUGCGUUCCAUGAUCUUGGAAUCGCUUCGUCAGCUAGUGUCGCGAGUUCGUAGACUCCUGGACGAACCACUUUUGUGACCUUGUAAGGACCUUCCCAAUUUGCUCCGAGCUUUCCUGCGUUCUUCUCGGCAGUGUUUUGGAAGACCUUUCGGAGGACGAGCUCCCCUGCUUUGAAUCUUCGACUACGAACGUUUUUGUUGUAGUAUCGCGCCGUUGCUUGUUGAUAGUUCUGGAUCCGAAUUAAGGCUUGGUCGCGCUUUUCGUUGAUUAGGUCGAGCUCAUCUAGCAUCAUUAAGUGGUUCAAGCCCUCCUGUCCUGGUAGAAGUCUUCGUCGAAUACCUGGGAAAUCCACCUCGGGGGGAAUUACGCACUCCGAUCCGUAGACCAAAGCGAAUGGAGUUUCCCCGGUGGCUCGGCGCGGAGUUGUCCGAUGAGACCAAAGGACUCCUUCGAGUUCGUCUGCCCACCGUCCCUUCUUGGCGUCGAGCCUCUUUUUCAGACAGUCGAGGAUCAUCUUGUUGGCUGCUUCGGCUUGUCCAAUCCCUUGAGGGUAUCUUGGCGUAGAUUUGCUGAGGCGGAUUUUCCACUUCUCGCAGAAGGCUUCGAAGCGUGUUGAGAUGAACUGGGAUCCGUUGUCGGUGACUAUCUCGUAGGGGACCCCGUGUCGGCAGAUGAUAUUUUUCCAGACAAAGUGUUCGACUUGAACAUCCUUUAUGCUUGCGUAGGAAUCGGCUUCGACCCACUUGGAGAAGUAAUCCGUGAGGACGAGCAGAAAACGAUUCUGCUUUGAGCAAUGUAGAGGUCCGACGAUGUCCAUCCACCAUCUCAUGAACGGAUAGGGUGAUGAAAUUGACGCAACUCGGUAGGUUGAUGAAUUGUUGGAGCGUGCCGCUGACACUUCUCGCACUUCGCCUUAAAUUUCUCGUAGUCCUUGACCAUCGUGGGGCAGAAGUAGCCGUGCCGUUUUAUCUUGAUAGCGAGCGACCUUCUGCUGGAAUGGUUCCCGCACGCGCCGCUGUGCACCUUGUGCAUGAUCUUUCUUGCCUCCGGUCCUUCGACGCAUGUCAUGAAAGGCCCUGAAAAUCUCCAUUUAAACACCUCGCCACGACGAGGACAUACCGUGCGACCUGAGCUUUUAGUUUGCGGGCUUCCCAUUUGUCGGUUGGCACCUCUCCAUCGGCGAUAUACACUCGGAUAGCUCCGAGCUAUUCUUUGUCGCAGCCGUACUCCGGCUCGGUCGGUGAGGCGUCUUCAUCCAUAGGAAUGGCUUCGUCGUCCUCUGGUUCUUGUUCAGGAGGAUUUAUCAGCCGAACUCCUUCCACCUCUUUGAUGCUAGGACGUUCGAUGAAUUCGACUGGGAUCGUCCGUCGGAGGUCUGGGUCUGAGGUCGAAGCGAGUGCUGCCAAGGCGUCGGCCGAGGUGUUUUCCCCUCGGGGAAUGCGCGUGAGUUCGUACUCGUCAAACUUUUGCACCAACUCUCGGACCACCUUGAGGUAAGCUCCCAUUCGUCCAUCCUUCGCCUCGUAUUCUCCGUUGAACUGACAUGCUACGAGCUGUGAAUCGCAAAAGGUUCUUAUCUUUCGAACUCCGAUUCCCUACGCUAGUCGUAUGCCGGCGAUCAGUGCUUCGUAUUCCGCUUCGUUGUUCGAGGCGUGGAAGUUUAGGUGAAAAGACUGCUCCAAUAUCUCUCCGGUGGGAGAGGUGAGGCGAAUUCCUAUACCCGAGCCGUGUUUAGACGACGAGCCAUCGACGUGCAGCGUCCACACUUCGUCUAGAGUCGGCUCGUUUGUUUCUUCGGCGGGAAGUUCAAUGAGGAAAUCUGCGAGCACCUGUGACUUUGCAGACGACCUGUUCCGAUACUCGAUGUCGUAUUCGCUUAGCUCUAUGGCCCACUUGGCGAGCCGACCGGAUUGGCUAGGGCUGUGAAGGAUCGAGCGCAGCGGAAGCGUAGCGAGCACAACAAUCGAAUGUUAUUGAAAGUACGGGCGCAGUUUGCGAGCCGAGACUACGAUGGCUAGGGCGACCUUCUCGAUCUGGGGGUAGCGGGUCUCGGCGUCGGUUAGUGUCUAGCUGAUGUAGAAAAUGGGUUUUUGCUCGGAUCGUUCUUCUCUGAUAAGCACUCCGCUUACGGCUGUAGCAGACACUGCGACGUAGAGGAAGAGCGGCUCUCCUUCGACUGGUUUUGCUAAGAUUGGUGGGCUCGCCAGAUAAUUCUUCAGUUCCUGGAAAGCCGUCUCGCAUCGUUCGUCCCACUCAAAUUUCUUGUUUCCUCGGAGGGUGUCGUAGAAGGGCAGGCAUUUGUCUGUAGAACGGGAAAUAAACCUGUUUAGCGCGGCGACUCUACCUGUGAGCCUUUGCACUUCGCGCUUCGUUCUUGGAGAGGGCAUCUCAAUUAACGUCUUGAUCUGCUUGGGGGUUGCUUCUAUGCCUCGGUGAGUUACCAGAUAGCCGAGGAAUUCUCCCGAGGUGACCACAAACCUGCACUUUGCCGGGUUUAGUUUCAUGUUGUGCUUGUUCAAUUGUUCGAAGCAUUCCCAUAGAUGCGCGACGUGGUCUUCCUCCUUGAGUGAUUUGACUAACAUGUCGUCGAUGUAUACUUCCAUGGUUUUUCCGAGCUGAGCCGCGAACAUUUUAUUGACGAGCCGUUGAUACGUUACUCCUGCGUUCUUGAGCCCGAACGGCAUGACUUUGUAGCAGUAUAUCCCUCGAUCAGUUAUGAAUGCCUUUUUUUCUCGAUCAUCAGGAUGCAUCAGGAUCUGAUUGUAGCCGGAGAACGCGUCCAUAAAUGUUAACAGUCUAUUCCCUGCAGUGGCUUCGACGAGCCGGUCGAUGUGUGGCAAGGGAAAGCUGUCUUUUGGGCACGCCUUGUUGAGGUCGGUGAAAUCCACACAUACUCGCCACUUGCCGUUCUUCUUCUUCACGACCACCGGAUUUGCGAGCCAAUCCGGAUAUUUGGCCUCGGCGAUUGAUCCUACUUUGAGUAACCUUUCAACUUCGUCGUUAACUGCUUUAGCUCGUUCGGGGCCGAGCUUCCUUCUUUUCUGCUUGACUGGCUUAAAGGUCGGAUCCACAUUCAGCUCGUGACAGGUUACGUCAAUGCUUAUGCCUGGCAUAUCUUCUGCUGUCCAGGCAAAAGUGUUGAUGUUCUCCUUGAGGAGGGAAAGGAGUUCGCUUCUCAGAGGCUCUUCUAGUUUUAUUCCAAUUUCGAUGCAUCGCUCCGGACGCGCCUCGUCUAUGCACACCGAGUCCACUGCAUCGCAUACCGGCUCGGCGCGUGUUUCGCGGUUCUCCGUGAUCUGUAAUUGCUAUAAGAGUUUCGAGAGCUCGUUUGCGGGCUCUCGGUCUGUCUUCAUCUUUUUGCGGUCUAUAUCUGCUCGUGCGUCAGUGACGGGGUUCCUCAGCUUGUGCUCGGCUAAGCAGCACAUUCUUGACUCCUUCUGAUUCCCCCAUAUCGUUUUGACACCCGAUGGAGUUGGGAAUUUGAGACAGAGAUGAUAGGUGGAUGGUACCGCCCUCAUCCCGUUGAUCCAUGGAGUUCCCAUGAUCACAUUGUAGAUUGCUGGGUGAUCAGUGACGCAGAAUUCGACGAUCUUAGUGACUCCGCCAGCUACCACAGGAAGCCUGAUCGUUCCCAUAGUCAUCGUCGUUUCUCCUGAAAAUCUGGUUAGAGGUUGGGGAUUGCUUCCACCUCGGAGAGGUCGAUUCCCAUUUUUCUGAGUGUUUCUCUGAAGAUGACGUUCACUGAGCUUCUAGUAUCGAUGAGCACCCUUGCCACAUCAUGAUCCAUGAUCGUUAACUCGAUCACCAACGGAUCGUUGUGAGGUCGAUCAAUUCCUGCCGCUUCCUCCUCGGCGAAGGAGAUCACUGUGUUUGGGAUGUCGGUUGGUUUUAUCCAAUUCUCCUUUGCUUCGGCUCGGCGCUGAUAGGCUUUGAUGGAGGACACGGUAUCAUGGUAGUAUUGAGAUCCACCCAUGAUCAUAUUGAUCCUUUGCCUCGGCACGGGUCGCUCUUCGGGUUCACCUCUCCUGUCGCGCUUGGAGUUAUCGCCUCUUCGCGCUGCUCGGCUCGGCUCUCUCUUGUUGUUCGUUAGGGACGAGGUCUUUGAGGUUGACCGCGUUUUGGAGCUCUCCCGCUGCCAUCUUAGGCACGAGUUUUGCUCCUAGAGUUCGGCACUGUGCCGUUGAGUGCCCGUAGGUCUGGUGAUACUCACAGAAAGCCUUCUCGUCGUAGUUGGCGGAUUUCCUCACCCAAGUGUUGUUGCGCGGCUCUCCUCUUCCGCGUCCGGUGCCUACCUGGUAGUUAUGGGCACCUCCGCUUCUAGGUUCAUCCGAGCUCUGCGUUGUUGCGUUGUUUGAUGGGUUGCCCUUCCUCGCGGGGCGCGGCAAAAUUGAGCUUCGGAUUGCUGCUUUCGUCGCUUCGUACCGCUCGUCCAAGUUUUUCAUUUCCUCCUCGUUUACGACGAAGUCUGAUGAUCGGUGCAGAGCGUCUUGAAUUGUUUGCGGCGUGUUGAGAGCCAUCUCCCGUUGGAACUCGGAUUUGUACCACAAAGAUUGUUUCAGAGCCUCGAGCGCAGCCUUGUCGCUUAUCCCUUCUAUUUUGGAUACGAGUGCCUUGAAUCUUGCCAUGUAAUCCCGAAGCGGCUCGUUCAGUCCUUGGGAUAGUGUCCACAGAUCGGCAUCAGAUGUUCCUCUGUCCAUAAACAUCGAGUAUUGUUUCUGGAACAAGGCGGAGAGCUGUUGAAAAUUGCCGAUUGAAUUUCGUUCCUGCCUCGAAAACCACUCGAGUGCGGCUCCCUUGAGAUGCUCCACGAAGAGCAGGCAGUAUCCGGCAUCUACUUUGCGCUCGGUGAGUUUAGCGGCGUUCUUUGUGAAGGCUCGUCCCAUUGCUAUCCGAAACGCUGUGAUGUGUGCUUUCGGGUCGGUUGUUCCUUCGUAGAACGGGAUUCUCACCUUCCCCGGCUCGGGAAUCCUGGCCUCCGUGAUUCUUGCAGUGAAUGGAGUUCUCUGAGUUUCUUCAAGCAUUCGGUCGAUUUCGGGCGCUGCGCUUGUCACGUUGUGCACUUGGGAUUUCAUGGCGCGUAUUUCAGCUACUGUCCGAGCUAUCGAGGCUCGCAGCUCUUUGAGUUCGAGAGUUUGUGUGUGAAUCAUUCCCUUUGAUUGGGGGAGUCGCUCCCGCUCCUCUCUCCUCGGCUCGUCUUCGCGCUCUGCCUGUUCGAUCCAUUGGCGAUUUUCUUCCUCCUCGGUUGGAUUGUCGCUGCGGGUCGGGUCGGAAACUUCGUCAGUUCGGAUGCCGUUUAGUGCCGAGGCGAGGUCUUCUUGACUUAUUCGCCGAGCCGAGCCGGUUUGUUGCGGAUUCGUGGUUCAGUCGUUAUGCUGGGCGUCUACGUCGAUCGCAUGGUUUUCUUCUUCGCCGGCUCGCCGCCUUGAGUUUCGGCGGAGAGGGGGCGGCUCGGUCAUGUUGACUCUGGUUGCUGCGGGGGGUCUUUUCGUCGAGGAGACGAAACAUUGGAGGAGCCGAGGGGUUUCUUGCGCCACUCCCUGAGGCUUCUGCAGGUGUCGAGAAAUCGAAGCGUCUCCGGAUUCCAUCCAUCGGGUCGGGAAUUCCGGCUCUCCAAGUUUGGUGCAGUCGCUCAGCCGCCAUCGCGUCGAGCCUUUCCGUAAUCGCCUCGUUUCUUUUAUCCUGUUCGUCGAUUUUCUUCAUCAACGCAGCCAUCAUGUUUGCAUCUCCUCCUGGGUUUUGAUCGUUGCUGUCGUUGUGCCCGAUGCCGGAGCGUCCUUCUCCGUGCCGUUACCGGUGUUGUUGUUGUUGUUGUCGUCGGGGGUGUUGCUCGCCAUGUUCUUCGGAUCUUAAAGUCUUGUCGAUUUAGAGUAAGAAAGUUUCGAUUCCCCACAGACGGCGCCAAAUUGUGUGAGCCAAAACUCGCACAACCAGAAAUUUGUUUAAGGAAAACUAAGGGAUCGGAAACUUCUAGGGUUUCGCCAAAAACAGUAAGAUCGAAAGAAAGUUUUUCUUGCUGUAAAAGUGUUUAGCUCAUAUUGCUUAGGGUUGCAAAAGUUACAGAAUGAAUUGUAUACAUCGUCUAUUUUUACUAACUCUCUGAACCGCCUAGCCGAGAAUCUCGGGAGAGAUUUUCGGAAUAUUUCCUUAUCGCCUCGUGCGGCUCACCGCCUUUGUAUUUCGCCUAGGGUUUUUAUGGGCUUCGUCUCCCAAGGCCACGGUUCGGCCCAUCAUUCUCCUUUGCCACGGCUCGGCCCAUCUAACUUCUUCACGGCUCGGCCCACUUGCCAUUUCGGUCGAGACAUGAUCUGGUCCACCUCACCGAGGCGCGGCUCGACCCAAGCAUGUUGGAAUGGGGCUCGGCCCAAAUCUUACGAUACGGCUCUCCCUACUGGUCUAUCUUCACGGCUCUCCCACUUGGUGAUCGCGGCUCUCCCGCUUGUCUUGGUGAGAACGGCUCUCCCACUUGUCUUGGUGAGAACGGCUCUCCCACUUGUCUUGGUGAGAACGGCUCUCCCAUUUGGUGACCACGGCUCUCCCACUUAUCUUUCUUCCAUACUUAGUCAUUUUGAGAUGGUUUUAUCUGCAUGGGGUGAAAACCGACCCCAACAAGUAUUGGGUAAUCUUUAGAAUUUACAUGGAAAUUGCUUAUAAAAACCAAUUUUUAGAAGAUUUCUAUGUUGAGAACAUCAAAAAUCCGAAUCUGGUCAUGAACUACUUGAUUUCUCUGAUUUAUUAUCGAUUUUGUUUGCUCAUGGUUUUAAUUAAUCUCUUUAUGCUAGUAUUAGUAUAACAGAUCUUAAUGUGUUAAAAUCAGCAUCCAAAUUCACUCUUUUUCCAAGAACUAUUUCGUUUUGCAGAAAAAUGGACCAAAACAGAUCCCGAAGGAGCCGUCGCACUGGUGGCAGCUCCGAGGACAUUCCCGAUGAUGCUACUCUAGGAGAGUACAUGCUGAACCAAACCAGACCGAGAAGGAGAAACUAUGUGAUGAGAUUGCUCCAUCACUCAAGAGAAACACAAGCAGCUCCCGAGCCACCACAGAUUCUAUACAUUGGGAGGGAGACAAACCCGAGAGUGGACUAUGCAAGACGUUUCAAGAAGCUGAACAUCAAACCCACGCCUUGCAUAGAUUAUCAUACACUCGAGAUGCUUGGAAUCAGAGAAGAUGUGAUCUGGUACAUCAAUGCACUUAAGCUGAGACCCUACAUGGAGCUGAACCUUCCGACUUAUCCUGAGCUAGUCCGUGAAUUCUUAGCGACUAUUACACUACACCACACGAAGAGGAGGAACCCCAGAGCAUCAGAUGGCAUCUUGUCAUUCUCUAUCCGCGGACAGCCUUACUCUCUCACCAUUUCUGAGGUUUGUGAAGCUCUUAAGCUUCCAUACACUGAUGGCAUUUACCUUGAAGAUGAACCUGAUCUUAACCUGUGGAGAGAGAUGGGUCAUGGAGUCUAUGAUAGUGGGAGAUCGAAGUCAGCCCUUCUUACUCAUCCAGCAGUGAGAGUUGUGCACAAGCUAUUAGCACACACGAUCUUCUCUAGAGCAAACAUGGGAGGUGUUUUAAAGACUGAGCUCAUUACACAUCAGAUUCCGUUUAUGGACGACCCACGACUUGCUUGCUUUGCCUGGAUCAUAGCGCAGAAUACGGUAAACGUGAAGCAUGACUUACAUGGUUGCGAGGACGCUACUCCAGCUUUCAGGAGUGCUAUUACAGCGAUACUACAGGCUGUAGGAUUCGAUUUCUCAUCUGAUGAGCCACUUCCCGAUGUCUGGUAUGAUCUACUUUAUCUCUCUCGCGAUCACACUAUCUCUCGUGCCGCUUUCGAUCCAGACAGGUUUGGUUACAAGUAUUGCACUGGCACUGAGGAGCACCGAGUCAGUUUGCCUUCGGUAUCUAUCCCGAGAUUGUGUAACGGAGGACGUCCGCGAUGGACUCCGGAACCUGAUGAUUUUCUGCCUUCUGUACCUCGUCUACCAUUCACCAUUGGCCAAUACAUAGUGGCCAAGGUGAAGCGUGAUGCAGCUGCGGCCCGUGCCCAUUUUCAGCCAUCUGUUUUGACCGGCCACACCUCAUCAUCUACAUCAUCUCACACUCAUUCCGAUCUGGAGCGCAGAGUUGAGAGACAGGGACGACGCUUUGAGCGCGUUGUCACCUUCUUACAGGAGCAGCACCAGUUUGCAGACGACACAUCGGAGGAUGAGUGAUUGAUCAGCACUUCACUACCAUCACGGUUCUAUCAUCAAUUUCUUUUCUUUUAUCUUAUUUUAUUUCUCUUUUAUUCACCAUCUUCUCACCAACUUUUUCACACUGGGGACAGUGUGAUUUAAGUCUGCGGGAGGAUGUCUAUCCGUACUAAUCAUUUUCUUGCUUUUCUUUUUAAAUUCCAAGUACUUUUUAAAUUUUAAUAUGUAACCUAUUCGACAUUAAGUAUUUUUCAGGAAUGUUUGACGCAAAACUAUGAUGAUUUAGACCUGCACGCUUCUACACUAUGCAUGAUUGCUCAUUUGUGGUUAGCACUAGACUAGGCGGUAGCUAGAGUACUUGCACUACGAACUCCCACCAGAGGACUUCUAUUCAUGGAGAUUCUUUCUGACAGGAUAUACUAGCUCAUUUUAUUUGGACUUAAUAUUGAUAUCUAAUUUUUUCAUCAUUGAUUUUAGGCAGGCAUCGACAUACACAUCUAGGACGUCUUCUACCCUCACUUUUACCACUCUUUGUCGUCCUAGAUGACCUGUUUAUCUUUAUCUGGUACCAUACCCUAAACCCAAAACCCUUGUUUUCAAUCCUCAUGCAUUCUUUCUUUAGUUUAUAUCAGCAGAUAUGUGCAAAAACGUCGGAGAGAAGAGGAGCGACACAGUUUUCAGUCACUCACAAAGGAGACUGAAUGGAAUUGGGAAGGAAGAGUAUCAGAAAAAUCAUGAAGCUUUACAAGACAGAUAUUGACUGGUAAUUUCGUGCUCUCUAAGACUCUAUAUCUAAAGGUGUUCCCUUUCUCCCACAAAAAAAAAAAAAAAAAAAAAAAACGUGAAAAAAGAAAGGGAAACAAAAAGCCUAAUGAGUCUUAGAUUGUCAAAAAUUUGUGGAGCAAUAAGCAACCACUAAUCGUUUAAUUUUGAAAGAUUUACAUAAAUCUAAGUCUGGGGGAGUUAGGAGAGAACCUGAGGAAGAAGACCAGGAAUCUAUGGCACGAAGAAAGUGACUGAAAACUGUGGAUACCAACAGCUUAACUCUCUCUUGCGGUUUUGCAUAAUAUCAUGCAUCCUCCAGAUUUUCAAGUAACCCGUAAACACUUUAAACCUUACCCCUAGAAUAACCUUUUUAACACCUAGCCUAGAUUGCCUUGCCUAGACUUUCUUUGAUGAGAACCACCGAGAUUUUUAAUGAAUGUUAAGAGCUAGUUGACUGGAAGUUAGAUCCUAGUGCAUAGAUUUUCGCAUGAUGGAUUAACGGACUAGUUAUGCCUGUAUUGCUAGUGAGUAUUUUCUAGGCUAUUCCCGAUUGAUGCAUACUGAUUGAUAUUGGUCUAGAAGUUUGGUCUCUGAGAUUUUGUUUAGUUCCUGCGUUUUCAAACCUCUCACCGAGAUUUAGCCUUUGUUUUGUUUGAGGACAAACAAAAGACUAAGUCUGGGGGAGUUGAUAACACCGGAUUUUGACCAUUUUUAUGGAUCACUUUCAUAUCUUUUACCGGUGUUUUUACUCCAUUUUCAAAGAUUUUCAAAGGAUUUCUAUGUUUCCGGAUUUGAAAAGACUUUUCAGGUAAUUUGGGAUAAAGAGGCACAAAAUGAAACAAAAACUCUUUUGAAUAAAUGCAGACCGUCAGAACUCUCAUGGAGAGACGACGACCUUCUCACCGUCUGAUCACCUUCAAAACUGGACAACUUAUAGAAGAAUCAACCAGCUUUCAAAUGCACUUGGUUUGGAGACAUUCUAACGGUUGGAUCUCAAGAUAUUCCAUUAGCCCCGGAGCCACUCGAACUCGGCCAGAAAGUCACGCGACCGCGGUGAUCAACCUAUUUCCCGCGGUCAGAAGCUUCCCGACCGCGGCCAACCAGCCAAUCCCCGCGGUCACAACACUCCCGACCACGGCAAUCAAUCUCCGAAUUAAAGCCCAUGUAUCUGAAGCCCAAAGUCAUUCUCAGCCUCAAUUCCGGAACCCUAGAGACCAUGGAGUAUUGGAGACUAUAAAUACAUGUCAUUUAGGUCGUUUUUAGGGAGAGUCAUUCAUACUUUACAGAAACCCUUUUCCUUUAGCCGUUUUUAUGAGAUUUUUGUAGAAGAUUGUUCAAGUCCGAGUUCUUCAAUAGAGAAGCUUUCUUUAUCUCUUUUUUUUACUGUUUUUCAUUACUUUUAUUAAAACCAAUGAUGAUGUCGACCUCCGCCAUGUCUGAGUAGAUCCCGAGUUGGGCUUAGGGUUCCCGAAAGGGGCUCUCAUAAUCGAUUAAGACAUCUAGGUUUAUAGAUCUGGGAUUUCGACAUGUUCUCUGUUUAUUCUUGUUCUUAUUGCAUGUAUGCUUGAUUGAUCACCUAGUAUCUGAUCUAGAUAGUUAGUGUUGCGAAAGUUUUCAUUAAGUAUCAGCCCUAGAAUGAAACAGGCAAUUUUUUCGUAGGAGUGGAAACCUACCUGCGGCGAGAUCGUGAGUAUUGACGAGUCUUGUGCAGCUCUUGCGUUCUCUCCCUUCCAGGGCUAGAGUGGAAACCUACUGGUCUGGGUUGCGAGAAACAGUUGGUUAUGAUCACGACAAUGACGUAGUCAUACCGCCGUACUCUAGCUCUAGAACCCAUAUAUCGAUAUCCGUCAAUCCCAAUCUAUUUACCCUAGUGUUAAAACCGAUUAUGAUCCCUUAGAGUCCCCAAAAGCUCAGCGUUUUUAGCCAUAGUUUACAAUUCCAUCGAUUUUUAUUUGCUUAUUUAGGCCUGCAUUUCAAUUUCCUUAGUUUGUUAUUUACUUACUUUACUAGUAUUUCAUUCGAUAGUUUACUUGCCUUAUUAGUCUUUCAUUCGAUAUUUUACUUGUUCUAUUUGCCUUUCAUUCGAUUUCUUUACUUGCUUUUUAGGAUAGAUUUAUUUGCUUUCUUUUGUUUUAGUUUAAUACAUCAAACCAACCAACCUUUAAAAACCAAUCUAGUGUAGACAUAAAGUUAAAAACCGUAGAAGAAUACUAGGCACACAAAUCUAUGUGGAUUCGAUCCCUAAAUACUACAACUGAUUAGCUGUGCACUUGCGGCUUUCAUUUGUUUUGUUAAGGGUAAAACUUGAGAGAAAAGGUAUAUCAUCGAAAAAAAAUUCAUGCAAGAAAAUUUUGACCAUUAUUUGUGGUGUCUAUACCAUAAAAACCAAUAAUCAUCUAUGAUCGGAUCAGAAUUUACCGGCGUAAUCUCAGCAAACCCAUGCAAAAAAACGUCAAUAGUAACAAAACCAACUCAAAUAUAACCAUGAAACAAGUCUACCAUACAUAUGGAAUCUGUUUAACAUACAACACCCCAAAACAAGUCUACCACACCUUUGGUUUUUUUGUAGAUUGCUGAAUACCUUUAGGACAAAUAAGUAAUUUCAAUUGAAUAAGUCAAAUGUCUACCGAAAACAAUGUAACUAAGUCUACCACAAGCAAUGUAAAUAACUCUACCAUAAGAAAAACUCUACCUUCAAGCAUCAAAUAUGUCUACCAGAUUGAGGUUAUCUGAGUAAACACCAAAGUUAUUUAAUCUACCACAUGAAGCUCAAUAGAAGUCUACCAUACGUGCAAUAACUUUACCAAUUGAUUGAAAAUCUACUACAAUAACAAAAAAAAUCUACCACCAUUUUAUAAGUCUACCUCAUGUAACAAUAAAUUUACUACUCAACGGAAUGAAAUCACCAAAUUUUUACUUGAUUUAAAUCUUCCACAUUACUUAUAAAUCUACCACAAGAGCGAUAAAUCUACUCACAUGAUAUAACUCUACCAAUUUCAUAACUAAUCUACCUCAAUAGGGAUAAAUCUACCACCACGUUAUCUUAAAUUUUGGUGAAUAAAUCUGCCACCAAAAGAAAUAAGUCUACCAAUUCGAGUAUUAAAUCUACCCCCAUUGUCAACAAAUCUACCAACAAAAUCAACUAUGCGAGAGAGUCAACGAAUUCCUUAACAAGUCUACCAACACUUUAACAAGUGUGGCAUACAUGACAACAAAUCUACCGAAACUUAACAAAUCUAUCGUGUCAUUGUCAAAACUCUACCAAAAAAAGUAUAUCAACAUUUUACAAAUCUACCAAUUCUCGAAUAAAUCUACCAUCGUCCUAACAAAUAUGCCAUCUAAAAAAUUGUGUUGACCAACAUCUGAUAAGUCUACCAUCAAAGACCGGUAGGCUUAUCAUUUUUCAAGCGCAUCUUUUUGCCUACAUGGCACAAAAAAGUAAUGGCAUUUUUUUAAUUAGGUUUUUUUCAUCAAAGGCGAAAAUGAUGUUUUCGGUAUGCUAUGUUAUUUUUGUAAUAAAAAUAAAAGUAUGUCAAGCAAACAAUAAACAUACAUUUAAAGGUUUGUAUAGUAAUCCUUCCUUGUUUUAAUUCUUUUGAAAAACAGUUUAUAACAUCAAAAUAUGUUGUACAUUUUUAAAACCCUUAUGUCCGCGCAAAGCGCGGACCAACACCUAGUUAUAAUUUAAAAUCCAGCUAAGUUAUCUACAUACUAUAAUUCAUAAUUCACUAUUAAAAAAAUCAAAAUUCAUCCAUAUUAACCAUAAAUCUUACAAUUUUUAAACACACGAUAACAAAUUGGUAUUUUAUAAUUCUAUAAAUUAAGAAUCUUGUAUAGAUUUUAUUCAUAAUUCAUUUUUUAUAUACUUUUUUUUUGUCAUCAGCCUAAGUACCUAAAACGGUUCGGCUAUCCAAACCGGUGGUACCGAGUUUACAUAAAUGACGUCUUGAGGGUAGACACGAGCACUUCUUGCUAGGUUGUCCGCCUUCGAGUUUUUUGCGCGUGGGAUAUGUGAUAUAAGGAAGAAACUGAACUUGUCCUUCAUUUUCCUAAUCUCCUCCAAAUGUAGAUCAAAAGCUGGCCAUUCUUUGGGUGUAGACACCAUCUUCACCAACUCCAAACAGUCUGUUGCAAAAGCUACUUCCAUCUUCUGGUUUUCGAGCAUACAGUGCAUAGCCCAUAUGAGGGCUUCUAUUUCUGCAUGCAGAGGUGUAAGACUUUGUCUUACAUUUUGUGCUCCCAUUAUUCUUUCCGUAGCAUCUUCUUUAAAGAAGUACCAUCCUAAUCCCGUUAAAAGAUAUGUAUCUUUCCAAGAGCCAUCAGUAUAACACCACCAGCCUUCGUAGGCCAUAGGUGUUUACAAGUUCAGAGAAGUGCAAAGAUCGGUAGGAAUUGAAUCCUGUUCAGACCUUUGAGCCUCUUCCCACAAUGUUGCUUCUUUUUCCGCUAUUUUCAAUGUAAUCUGUGGAUCUAUAUCAUUAUUCGAAUACACUUUCUCAUUCCGUGCCUUCCAAAUAUACCAUGCGAUCCAUGGGAAUUUUGUGUUAUUCAACUCUUUUGGAAGUCGCCAAAAGAGAUGAUCAAAAUUCGAAUAAACCGAUGGUCCUGGGAAAAUCCCAAGAGGUGUUGGUAUCCGGGAUAAUGCCGAAGUUUGCAAAGCAGGAGGACAUUCAAAGAGCACAUGGUUAAUUGUUUUUUCAUCUGCUCCACACCGUGUACAUUGUGUGUCACAUUGUAUUCCACGGGUGCUUAAUCUAGCCGACACUGGAUGGCACCAAGAUAUUGCUUGCCAGAUAAAAUGUCUUAACUUCGACACACUUUUCAAUUUCCAAGCAUAUGCUUGUAAAGCCUUUAUGUCUGGGCCAAAGAUCUCCUCUGUUAUUUCUUUAGAUAAAUAACGCUCAGUUUUGUACCCUGAUUUUACAGUAUAUCGUCCGGAUUCUGUGAAAUGCCAUCCCAUUGGGUCUGGCCUAUAGGUUCUACUAAUGGGAAGUCCACGAAUAAUUUCCACAUCCGCUGGGUCAAUAAUUGCUGUUAUCAAACCCAUGUUUCACGAGUUUGUCACUGGGUCAAUCAGGUGAUUAACCAUAAGAUUCGGAUAAUAAUUGAAACCCUUACAAGUGGCUGAUCUCGGGCGAGUAGAAGGUAUCCACGGAUCAUUCCAGACAGAAAUGGAGCAUCCUGAACCUACCCUUUUAAUUAGCCCUUUAUUAACCAGAGAUCUAGCCGAUAUUAUACUUCGCCAUCCAUAAGACGGUGAGUAGGAUCUCACUGGGUCCAAAGGACUUGGAUUCCGAAAGUAUCGUCCUUUAAAGACCUGCGCAAAUAAGGAAUUUGGUCUAUCAAUCUGCGAAAGUAUCUUCAUUUUUUAUAUACUUUGUAUUUACUAAUCUUUUCUUUUAAUUUUUUCUAUUUUUUGAAUUUACAUUUAAAAAGGUAUAAUUAUUUUUCUAUUCUUAUUUGAAAUAAAUAAUUAAAAUAAGAAAUUUUAUCUCAUUUCAUUGACACAUGAGUCAAUCAUAAAUAACUGUGAUAUAUGACACAAUAUAGUGAGUUAUAAAAAUAUAAUGUCUUAUACAUAUAGAAUUUUAUUUUUGGUUUACUUUUGUUAUUUCUAUUUUGUAGUUUCUAUUUUCAUCUACUUUAGUUUUUUCUAAUUUAGUAAUUUACAUUUAAAAAUGUAGAAUUCCUUUUGUUUAGAAAAAAAAUAUAAUUUAACAUAUAAGAUUUUAUAUUAUUUUAUUGACAUAUGUUACGAUCAUAGUUAAGCGUGAUACAUGACACAAUAUGGUGAAUUAUAAAAAUCCUAUGUGCCAGUGUCACGUUGAGAGCACUGAACUUUCUUUUUUUUUUUUCACUGAAUAUUACGUAUAUUAAUAAUCGAUGAGCUUACAAGCAGACAAUACAAAACAUGAUCAAAAGCAAUCAAACACUCAUAUAGAACAUGAGUAUUACAACAAGGUAAUACUACUUUCAGAAACAAAAAUCUCUUCUAACCACUGAGGAUAGCCCGAGGCUAUAUAUGAUUGUCGACGAUCAUCUUUAGUCACACUUCUAGCAAUGAGGAAAGCACCUUGAUUUGUAACUCUUUCCUCAAGCGUAAGCUUCCAAUCCAAAAAAAUUUCCAAACCAUUCAAGAUCUCAGACGAAUAGAAUUUGAAAGAAGGCCAGGCUGGUGGCCGAUGAACCGCUCCUAUUAAAUCUGAAUCUUCCGAAGCAAAGACCAUUUUGGUGAUACCUAAGCUAUUCAAACUUUCAAUUGCCCAGAUCCAACUUUUGAAACUAGCAUCAAUGUGGCUGGAUACAGAACAGAAAGAUCUUCUACUGUGUAAAAGGACUGAUCCAAAAGAGUUCCUAAGAACCCAUGCAGCACCACCACAUCCUUUCUUUUUAUCCCAGGAAGAACCGAUAUUACAUUUCAACCAAGGUCUAGAGGGAGGAAGCCAAACCUUCGGGGGUUGAAUCACCUCCAUCUUUUUUUUAAUAGCUUCCUUUUCAUCCAACUCUUGAGCGUGAAACCAUUGGUUCACAUCUUCUUUAAUCUUGCCCAUAGUAUCAGAAACUCGGAAGCUCAUUCCUUCAAAAAUGAAGAUGUUGAGAUUCUUCCAGAGUAUCCAUAAGAUCCACGGGAUUGAUCUUCUGAUUUCCAAAGGCACUGAUAACUUUUUACCCACCAUCAAUAAAUGGAACAUGUUCUGAUAGAUGGAGUUUGAUUCAUAUCCAUUUUCAGGACUGGGUACAUUCGAAGAGGCCCAAACCUGUCUAGCAAUUGUACAUUUGAAUAGCACAUGAUUUAUGGAUUCACCUUCAAGCCCACAGAUUUGACAUCUCGAAUCAAUCUUCAUACCUCUCGAUGCAAUUUUGUCUGCAACAGGAAUGGCACCACUAAUUGCUUUCCAAAGAAAGUUUUUGAUUUUAGUGGUUGUAUUGAGCGCCCAGAUUUGGAGUUUGAUUGCAUUCAAAGACGGUUGCAUCAGAGCUUCCUUGAGGGCUUCAGAUGGAUUACUUUGAGAAGCAAACCAAUACCCUGAUUUAACAGAAUAUUCGCCACUUUUGGUAUGUUCCCAGCAGAAAAAAAUCCAAUGAAGAAACCACCGGGUUAGUUCUUAAGAUUAGACCAACGUCUCUUUGGAAGAAAUGCUCAUCGAGUUUAUCCCUAUCCCAGCUUUUGGAUAUCGGAUCAAUGAGGUCAAUAACUCUCAAAUCCAAAUUAAAGAUGAUGUUCUUUAUGAAGGGAGCUCUCAUAACCCCAUCACAAAGCCAUCGAUUAGUCCAUACACUAAGCGAAGCUCCAUUGCCAACCAUCUGUCUAAGACCUUUUUCUAAAAGAGAUCUUCCAUGAAGAAUGCUUCUCCAAGCAAAAGAGGGUCUAACUCCAGUAUCUGCGAGAAGGAAGGAGGAAGAAACAAAGUAUCGGCUCUUUAAGAACAAAGCAAGGAGACAAUCCUUAUCUUGUAGAAUUCUCCAAGCUUGUUUGGCUAAAAGAGCUUGGUUGAAGAUUUGAAUGUCUUUAAAACCGAUCCCUCCUUGAGCUUUAGGAAUGCACAAUUUAUCCCAUCCAAUCCAAUGCAUUUUCCUUUUGUUCUCGACAGUGUCCCACCAGAAAUCAGCCAUCGCAGAAGAUAACUUAUUACAGAUAGUUACUGGCAAUUUAAAACAGGUCAUGGAGAAAACUGGCAUCGCCAUCGCAACAGAGUUGAGUAACACUUCUUUUCCACCUUGAUAUAGAAGCUUUGAAUACCAUCCAGACAUUCUUCCUUUCAUUUUGUCGUGGAUGUAAGACAACAUAUCCACUUUAGAUCCACUAAAACAUUCUGGAAGACCCAAAUAAGUGCCCGCUCCACCUUCAUUGAUAAUACCCAAUUUGGUUUGAAUGAUUUCCUUCAUAUCCAUAUUCACGUUAGCACCAAAAGUGAUGGAGGAUUUAUCAAGGUUGAUGAUCUGACCAGUAACUCUUCCAUAAAGAGAAGAAUGGAUUGGAGGGUUGUGCACUGUUCUUCAUCCGCUUUAAUCAUAAAAAGACUGUCAUCUGCGAAUAACAAAUGGUGAAUGGCUGGACCAUCGGGAGAGAAUUGAAUCCCAUUAAUCAAGCCAGAUCGUUCAGCACAGUUGAGCAGAUAUGUCAAUCCUUCAGUACACAAAACAAAAAGGAAAGGUGAUAAGGGAUCACCUUGCCUUAUUCCUCUCUCAGGAAUGAUCAAACCAAAAGGCUGUCCAUUAAUCAGAACUGUAUAAGAAACCGAGGAGACACAGAACAUAAUCAUCUGGACCCAUUUUUGAUGAAAACCGAGAGCCAAAAGGAGCGCUUGAAGAUAGGACCACUCAACACGGUCGUAAGCUUUUGACAUGUCGGUCUUCACCGCCAUGAACUCCGUCGAAAUCCUAUCAUGAGUUCUCAAACCAUGGAUAGCUUCAUGAGCUAUUAUAAUGUUAUCUGAGAUAAGUCUUUCUUCAACAAAGGCAGAUUGAUUAGGAGAGACAAUCUCAGACAGAAAGGGUUUCAUUCAGGACACCAUGAUUUUGGAAAUCACUUUGUAGAGAACAGAACAGAGACUAAUUGGCCGUAGGUCACUCAUGUGAGGAGAGUUGACCUUUUUUUGGGAUAAGACAAAGAUUAGUGAAGUUCCAUUCUUUAGGGAAAACACCCGAUUCAAAGAACUUGAGAACUUCCAUCGUGACAAGAUCACCAACAAUAUCCCAAUAGUUCUGAAAGAAAAGACCAGUCAUACCGUCUGGGCCAGGAGCACUAGAGGCUUUGAUCGAGAAAACAGCUCUUUUCACUUCUUCUUUAGAAACCAUACUGAUAAGACUGUCGUUCAUUCUAGAGUUGACUCUCGGCAUGAAAUCGGAGAAGAAUUCUAUCUGAUUUGAAGGAGCAGAUGAUGAGAAAAGAGUCUGGAAAUAGCUAGUCGCCACUUCACCCUUUGAAGCUUCAGAUCGAUGCAUGAUUCCAUUUAUAUCCAUAAGCUUAUCAAUACAAUUCCUUGACCUAUCAGACUUGACAGAAGCAUGGAAAAACUUGGAGUUUUUGUCACCAAGAUUCAGCCAUUUAUCUCUACUUUUCUGUUGCCAAAAACUUUCUUCUUCCUUGUAAGCCUCCACCAGACUUUUUUGAGAUUGAAGAGACGACAUGAAGAAGGAGAUGACGAGGAUUGUUCAAACUCCAGAUCAUCUUCAAUAGUUUUUAUUUUGAUCUGAGAAUUAGCAUCGUUGACUUUCUUCCAUUGACUGAGAGCUUUCCUGCAACUUCUUAAUCUCGAAGAGACACUAAGAUUAUGAGAGGAUGAGGGACCAAACCAAGCCGACUUUAUGGCUUCUUUGACAAAAGGUUUGUGGAGUAAUCUUUUUUCAAAUCUAAACGAACCCCGAUAAGACUCUUGAGAAGAGAAGAGAUGAACCAGGACCGGACGAUGAUCGGAUCCUCUUUUAGCCAAAAAAGCUUGAUUAGAAGCAGGGAAGAAAGAAGACCAGACUUUGUUGCCGAAACAUCUGUCAAGCUUACACUGAAUCCACAAGGUGCGUCUUCUGCCACCCCAGGUAAAGCUAUUCCCUGUACUUGGAAGUUCUCUCAUAUCACAAUCUUUCAACAUGUUGGAAAAAGUAAGGAAAGAAGAAUCACUCCUUCUUGGACCACCAUUUUUUUCCUCAUUGUUGAGAAUUUCAUUAAAGUCUCCAAGCAUACACCAUCCAGUUUUUCUUUGAAUCCCAAUACGAGUCAGCCUUUCCCACACUAGGUGUCUCAAACUCGCAUUUGGGUUUCCAUACACACACGUAACAAAGAAACUGCUUGAACCAAACUGUACAUACAUGUCCAGCACAUUCUUAUCUACAUACUUGAGAUCGAUAUCAACACCUUUUUUCCAGAAAAGAGCCAAACCCACCGGAUCAACCGUAUAUACAUGCUCAUAACCCAACCAAACUUGAAUAUCUACAAUGAUAUUUUUACAGUUUAUCGUUUCCAUAAGGAACAAGAUCUCAGGGAAGUGUUUUUUACGCAUCUCCAUGAGUCUGGGAAUCGUCAGAUCUUGAGGCCGCCCCAAUCCCUGGCAAUUCCAGCUUGAUAUGCUCAUAAAUCAGUGGACAGUUCCUCAUUUGGGACCAUCUCAUGUGUUUUUGACCUUGCGGCUUUGGAAACACUCUCCAGUUCACUAUCAGCUUUCCUUUUCUCCACUGAACCCUCUAAAGAACCCUUCUUUUUCUCCACAUCUUCGGCAAAAGAAUUCUCCAAUUUUCCUUUUAACUUCCUUCGAGAUUUUGGAGGCCUCUUUCUUGGUUUUGGUUUUUUCAUAGCAGUCCCGGAAGGACCAGCAACAGAGUGCCCGAUCCUAUAACCCGUUGAACUGUUGUGAAAAGGGACCGACUCAUCACCAAAAUCUGGGGAAGUAGAAUCGGUUUGAAGAGGAUUGGAGCCAUAAUUUCUCCUAGAGCUAGCAUCCGCUUGAAUUGCAGCAGACAUAAGCUUUUGACCUCGAGGCAUGAUCACUUCAGUUUUUGUAGUCGAGUCCUCAGAAUCAUAGCCAAAGACUGGACCUUUCCCUUUGUUGAGAUCACGAGUGAUAAUUGGAACAGGUUCUAGACGAAGCACCAUUUUCUGCGUGAUUAAAUUCUUUUCUGCCUCACAAACAGAAUUCUUCACACGAUCUUCUCUAACCUUACGAUCAUCACCAUUAGCAAUUAACAAAUAUUGUCUCAUGCCUUCUAGAACCUCAGCUGCAAUUCUUGGACGACCUGUUAAGGGAUUCAAGCCAACCUGGUUCUCACCAAGAACGCCAAAAAGAGGGUCAGAUUCCAACAGGACAGGCUUGGGGAUCUGUUUUUGGGGAGCAUGUCCAAGUCUUCUUUCAGCCGCCAAAGCUUGACGUUUCAUGAUCAAAAUAGGGCACACCUCACGCGCGUGAGUUAACCUUUGACAAGAAUAGCAUCUCUUCUGAAUUCUUUCAUAGAACUAGUGAACUGUGGUUGAGCCUCCCUUAGGCAGAUUGAUCACUUUCGACUGUCUAAGAGGUUUAGACACAUCAAAUUUAACUUUCACUCUCACAAACUCUUUGUUCUGCGCUUUAGUAGGAUCAAAUGCAAUUUCAGUAACAAGACCAACAAGAUCUCCUAAAGCAGUAAUCGCCUCCUCAGUGUAAUGAUUAAUAGGAAUGUUUCUGAUUUGCACCCAGAUCGGAACAAACUGCAGAGAUUCACUUGAAGGCUGCUCUUCCCAACGCUCUGUAGCAAGAGCCCAUUCAUUGAAAGUAUGGACACCUUUGUCCAAGAUUUCAUUUAGGUCAUGUUCAUACUUGAAGAAAAACUGGAAACGCUCUCUUGAUAGAGCCACACCUCUGACUCUAUCAUACUUUUGCCAUUUUCUAGGCAAAUCCAAAAUCAGGUUAGCCAUCUUUUGACAUUCUGGAUUAAGAAGACGACCUAUCAGGCUGAACUCAUUUUUAUCACUUGAACAGUAAGCUGGGGUAUCAGGAAGAUCGAAUGGAACUUCUUCUUCCUCUAGAGACAUGGCCAUCAGCGCCUUAUCCAUAGCAGAAGACAUGGUAACCGAAAAUAACUCUGAACCACAACCACAGGUAGAAAAUCUGAACGGCCCAAAGAAGAUAGACCACCCAAAGCAAGGAAACCACGAGAUGAAAACUUAAGCAGGAGAUGAGACGAAAUUUUUCUAGACCCAGCAAAUGAAGAACACGGAUGAACCCUAUAUUUCUUUAUAGAUCUGAAAAAAAGUGUUUGAAAAGGUGAAAAGCGGGAUGAAUAGUCAAAAGGGAAAGAAGUUUUUCCACACAAAAGCUCUAUUCUCGAAGAGAUGAGAUACUCUUACACAGAAAGAGAGUCCUAAGCCCAAAAAAGGGAAACAGAUAUUUUUUCUACUAUCUUCAUCUUCUAUCUGCACCACUUGAGAGCACUGAACUUUCUAUAAUAAGAUUCUAUUUUAAAAAAACUAUUAAAUGUGUAGAAGAAAACACCACCAAAUGAGAAGUUUUGACGAUGGGACUUGGGAGGUAAGAAAAGCAUAUAAGAGUCUCCAAGUGUCUGGUUAUACUUUUUUUUGCGAUCCAGUUUAUUCUUUUGUCCAACCUCAAGGGUAGAUGUUAAUUUGAUUUAAUUUUGUAUUGGGUCAGUUCAAUUAAUUUGUAUUUAAUAAAAUUCUAACUGAAUUUAAAUGAAGUUAAUUCGUGGUUUUUCUUCAGUUUGAUCUAUUUUUGGUUAAAAAUAAUAAAAAAGUCAAUAUGAAAAUAAGUCAUAACAAAAUAAAAGAGAAAAAAGAAAAAUUUUUUGGCACUUAUUUUAAAUUAUUGCGAUUUAAUAGAUACGACACAUUUAGUUAAGACAUAUAUGUCUAGGACACAAAAGAAAUAUUGAAAUGUUGUAGUGACUUCAUAACACUACUACAAAUAGAUAAAAUACUGGGAUGGUGUAUUGACUUGGCAAUACUGUUACAAAUCUCAGAUAUAUUCUAAAAGAUAUAGUGGAAUGGUGUGGUGACUUCAUAACACUACUACAGAUAAAUAAAAUACUGGGAUGGUGUACUGACUUGAAAACACUGUUACAAAUCUUAGAUAAAUUCUAAAAGAUAUAGUGGGAUGAUAUAUCAAUUUGUGACACUACUGUGUACAUCCUACCCAAGAUCCAGAAAUUCAUUGGGUUGACUCGGUUUAUUCCAGGUUGAUCUAGUUUGCCUCCUUUUCCUAUUUCAGCGUUUUAAACCUAAUUUUUUAAGUUAAGUUUAGUACUAACUUUGUCUCUCUUUCUUUUUUAAGGUUUUACUUAAAAGUUUGAUGCUAUCAUAACUUAAACACAGAGAGAUUAUAUACACACUUUAUUCUCAUAGUUUCACUUCUUUUUAUCAUUCCCCUUUAAUACAGUAAAGGCACUUAAAUCAAUAUAAAUUAAAGACACUAUUGUACUAUGUAAUCACUCAUUUUAUUUCACUCAUAAAAAGAAUUACAAAAUUAAUACAUCUUAGGAACUGAUGAUGAUCGACCUAUCAAAACCCAAUUGUAAAGAAAAUAUCUAUCUAGCAACUAAUGAGCAGACUAUUAAAUUCAUCAACUAAAUAAGAAAAGUAAAAUAACUAUUAAUCUUCUCUCUUCUAACAGCUUUCUCUGAUUAUGCAGUCUACGUCAGCAGUGAUCACUCCCUGGUAGCAGUUAAUUGGUCUUCAUCUUCCAGCUCAUGAUCUUCUUCUUAGGCACAUAGCUCUUGAGGUAUUAUAAAUACCCACAUCGAAAACAAGAAGCUUUUCUUCAAUCUUAAGUGUGAAAAUUGCUUGAUCAUAGGUGCAGCUCUCUCCCAUGUCCUCUCAUUAUCUAGAAGACCUGUCCAACUAAUUGAUGUUUCCAAAUGAUUAGCAAGAUCAGAGUGAGUAACUAAAACUGAUACCGGUUCAAUAAUGAGUUCAUCAUCAACUGAGAAGGACUGUGGAAGUGCAGAAACAUGAUGAUCUGUUCCUAAGACUUUUUCACUAUCAAGUAGACCGCCGAUGCAAAAGUUAAAUACCAUGAUAUAACCUUUAAAAAUUUUAGUACCACAAUAAUCACUUUUUGUUGAAACCUUACAAUGCAAAAUCAUAAAGUGACAAAUAGGUACUUGAACCUUUUUUUUUUCAUCCAAUACCAAACUUGUUUUUUCAUCAUGAUUCACCUUCUCUAACAUGUACAAAUAAGAAUACAACACCUUAAAACUUUAUUUUUUAGUACAACGCACUUCAUUAACAUCUUUUUUUCCUCUCAAUGUGGUAGAUUAAGAAUGCUGAUCUAGUAACUAAAUAAGAAUGCCCUGUCAACUAAAUCUUGCCAUGCCUGCUUAGUUCGAAAUUUUUGACAUAAUUCUCAUGCAUCACGUGGAAGUUCAACAUAUCCAGGCAUACACAAGAUAACCAGACUGUUAUCUACACCAUUAUCCACACUAUUAUCCACAUUGUCACGUGAUAUAUUUGUAACACAUCUAUCAACAACAUUCUUGAUCAAUUCAUGAUGUUGUUCUGUUGUUUUGUCAUCUUCUUAAAGAGUAACAAAACCAUCAUUAACUCUAGAAUUAUUUCUUCCACCUGAAAACAGAUCGCCAAAAUUCACACCAAAUAAAAUUUCUCAUUCUACUCUUAGAAGUUGCUUGCCCAACUUAAUGUUUUCCAAAUCUUUGGUGACCUCUACAUGCAAAACACUUCUACAUAGUUCCUUAUUCAUGGAGAUAAACAUAAACGUCCUCAUUAUUGAAAAUAUAUUAUUGUCUGUGAGGUUUCACUACCAAUGGAAUUAAAGUCACUUUCAGCUUUGUCUAAGAUAUAUAUAUGAUGUCGUAAAUGAUAUACUAUACAUGUGAUCUUCUAUUGAAAUCCAUCAAUUCUAUGAUCUUUGAAUAAUAUCCUUCAUAAUCAAAUAUAUGUUUGUGAAACUAUAGCUUAUUGUCUUAGGAAGAAUAGAAACUACUUUAGCACGUGUUAUCUUGAAUCAAUAAUAUUAUUUGUACCAAUUAUAACACUUCUCUAAGUAAUAUCAACUGUUACAGUUGUUUUUCUGCAAAUUAGGUGACUUCGGGCCACUGAUAUGUUCAUAAUUUGCAUCAUUUAGGUUGCACAAAUCAUUCCAAAUCAUGUUUUAUUUCAUGUAUUUUAGGUCCCUAGGGUUUGUUUUAGAACUUAGGAGAUGCAUUAGGUCCCAAUGAGUCUUUGCAUGUUUUGAGUGUCUAUCAGGUGAUUAUGGAGCUGAAAAGAUGAAUCCAGGAGGUGGAAUGGUGAGCAGAGCUUGAAAAAGUGGAAAACUUGAGUCUAUGGAGGUUAUCGGCCAUUCUCGCUGGCCAGGAAGGUUUUACCGGCCAUUUUCAUGUACUGCGGGAAGCUUUACCGGCCAUUUUCACGUACCGCGAAUUAAGUAUAUCGGCCAAAAUCUCCGGGUGCGAACGAGUCUCAGAAAUCACCUGUCCGGGGAGCCUUCCGGUCCGAUUCAGAUGGCGGGUCCUUCAUAGAAGUUGGAGAGCAUUGAAGCACGGUCUCAUAGCAAUUGGAAUCGUAGAAUUCGGACGCGUGAGCAGAGAGAUAAGCUCGUCGGAAGAAACCCCUGUCUCGCAGGUAUUCCGGACCGAGCAGAUCAGUUCUGAAGGAUGCGAAGGACGGUGCACUUCCAGGCCGAUUCAGCUUCCGGGUCCUUCAUGAGAAUCAGAGACAUUUGAGUUUUCUUUCCAGAACGUCCAAGAGCAUUCAAUUCGGAUCUAUGAGAAGGAAGAUACGGCCUCCGGAAUGGACACAUGUCUAGACGCCUCUCUCUGGUCGUAUACAUGCACUGCAAAGAUGUGCCCUCCAGGAAGCCUUCCACCUCCCAAGCACUGAAACUUCCUUCACAAAAGUUGGAGAUAAAUGAGUCCUCUGUCUUCUGCAACCGAAAUCAUUCAAUUCGGACAAGUAUCACAGGAGUUACACUCUCCGGAAUGCGAAGUGAUCUAAGCUGCUCUGGAUGCUGCGAGAUGGUCUUGCGACUUGGUUAACCCGCAGGCCUGAAGAUGAACACCUGAAUGCUGAUGCUGCGAGUUGAAAUGUGCGGGUAAACUAUCACUGGAAGAGGUCUGGAGCUCCCGAGCAAGAGAAAUGCUAAGUCCACAAUCGUGCGACUUAGGCAUGCGAGUCAUCCGCGCCUGGAUCUAUGCCGCACGAUCACUCGGAAUUCACUCCGACUCGAGCCUGCGACCUAAGUGCAAUAGAGACCAACCCGCACAGUUUCUACAUCCCCCAGAAACCGGCUCAGCCCUGCGAGUUGGAGAGGAAGGAGACCAUGCCGCAGAAACACUCGCAAUUUACUCCUAGAUAGGCGUGCGGCUCCGACAAGGUGAUUCAAGCCUCACAAGACAAGUCUUCAUCUACUGCGACUUAGGUGUGCGGCCUGGGACAUACUGAACCGACCCGCAGCUUUUCCCACUUUAUCCAUUAAAGCCGGGUCAGGACCCGGUUUGUUCCGGGCUGACCCGGUUCGUUUUUAAGAAGGUAUAAAUACUUUUUAGGGUUUUUUGGGGGAGAACUAAGUUUUAUUCCCUUUGUCUCUUGCCUUUUUGGUGAAAAGACUCCAUUAAGAAGAGAAAUAUCUUUAUUUGAGUGUUUAAUCAAGAGAGUUUAAGGAGAUCUGGGUGUUUAAAGCUGUUUUCUUUUGAAUCUAUCAUCUCCAUCUCCAUUUCUCAUCAUUAAUCAUGCUAAUCUACUCAACUUGCAAAAGUUUAAGAGAGAUUAGUAUGAUUAGUGAGUAGUCACCUUAAUGAGGUUCUAGAUGUGUAGGUUAGGGUGCUAAAGUGUUAGAUUAGGAGUGCUUAGGGCUAGAUUCAUUGAUUCAUCUCUCUAAACAGCUGUUCUCUAUGCUAAAUCCUUGAUAAUCACUUGAGAUCUAGAUUCUGGGAAUUUCAUGCACCAAAAGUGUUUGAUGAAAUUCCUGAAAGAGUUGUGUUAGAGGUUUAAGUAAUUUUUCAUCAUGGGAAUGAUUUGUUAAAUGCUUGAAUGAUCAUUAAGAGCUGUUUGUUAAUGCAUAUUGAUUCAUGUUUCACAAAUGGGAAUUUGGUUUGAAAAUGGAUUAGUAUAGGGGUUAAUACCUUCAUGAGAGGAUUAACCUAGAUUAGAGUUCUUAAUCAUUUGAAUCAUGUCUCAUCAUUGUCAUUAGCAUUUCUAGUUUAACACCAAGGCACCCUAACCAACUAUCAUGUCUAGAAUCUCAUGCCUCCAUCAUAUCAUAUUCACAUCAUUUGUCAUUGUCAUUUGUCUUUAAACCUGUUUAUGUUUAUAGUUGUCUCUAGAUUAAUCAAAACCUAUUCUUGUUUGCUUGAAUUAAGAACUUGAUCAUAUAGCUUAGUGUCUAACACCACAUCUGGAUUGAUAAACCUCUUUGUACUACAUUGACAAGGGGAUUGAUAGCCCUGAGACCCUUAAAAGUCAUAUCUAUCAAUUGGCGCCGUUGCCAAAUUGUGGUUUGAUUAGCAUUAAGCUCUGAUCUGUUCUUGAGAUCAAGUGCUUACUUUCUUGUUUUUACUGAUUCCUUUCAAGUUCUGUUUGUGAUUUCAGGUGUAUGAACACCAGGUCCAGAUCAAGAAGCUGCGGUCCUCCUUUUCCUCUAAACGACAACAUCAACCUUCUGGUACCAAGGAGGAGAAGAGACAGACGUGGUAGACAACUUGAUCAGACUGAGAUGGCCGACCAAGGAGAUCACGGGGUAGAUAUAGAACAACCAGUUCAGGAGCAACAGGCUCAAGGUCAGGGAGCUGGUAUUGGAAUUGGUCAGGGGUUUCACCAAGGCAAUGUUCAGCAGGAACAGGUGCACCACCAACAAGCCUAUGUCCACCAGGGACAAGCUCAGGCUCAUCAACAGAGGCAUCAGGCCAAUGUUCAACAAAGACACCAGGUGCACCACCAACCCCACCCUUUCCAACCACAACAAAGAAGAUAUGAGCAACCCCAAAUAUAUGUUGGCGAGAAUGACAGGGCCAAUGCUCAUCAGUAUGGGGCUGGUAUUCAGGCACCACCUGUGCAGAACAACAACUUUGAAGUGAAAGCAUCAUUGCUGAAUAUGGUCCAGAACUCAAAGUUCCAUGGGUUAGCAAUGGAAGAUCCCUUGGAACACUUGGACCAGUUUGAUAAGGUGUGUGAUCUGACCAAGAUUAAUGGAGUUUCAGAAGACAGCUUUAAGCUAAGACUAUUCCCAUUCAGUCUUGGUGACAAAGCUCAUCAAUGGGAGAAGAAUCUUCCAAGAGGCUCCAUUCAAACCUGGGAGCAAUGCAAGCAAGCCUUCUUAUCUAAGUUCUUCUCCACCUCAAGAACUGCAAAACUGAGAAACCAAAUCUCUAGCUUCACUCAGCACAGCAAUGAAAGUUUUGGUGAAGCAUAUGAGAGAUUCAGGAGCUACACAAACCAAUGCCCACACCAUGGGUUUAGUGAGGCUUCUCUUCUCAGCACACUGUAUAGGGGAGCUCUUCCCAAGAUUAGAAACCAGCUGGAUACUGCUUCCAAUGGGAACUUUCUGGGUAAAGAGAUUCAUGCUGCUUUAGAGCUAGUGGAGAACUUAGCAUUGAGCAAUGAUACUUAUGGUGAAGACUAUGACAGAUCAAAUAGGUAUGAAGGUUCAAGCUCAGAACAGAGGCUCACCAGAGAAGUUAAGGAGUUGAGGAGUGAAUUGGACAAGCUGAAAUUCACCACUCAGAAGCCAAUGCAUUUUGUUGGAGAGUAUGAGGAACCUUCUCAAAUUUUUGAGAACAUAAGUGAAGAAGGUCUUACCCAAGAGGAGCUCAACUACAUUGGGAAUCAGAGGUUCCAAAGAUAUCAGUAUGGUAAUGCCAAUCCAAACCUCUCUUACAGGAACACCAAUGUAGCUAACCCACAAGACCAGGUCUAUCCCAAUUCUCAAGCUCCAAAGAACUUUGUUCCCAAGCACAACUUUCAAGGGUCAUUCCAACCCAAGAAUCAAUUUGGUCAGAAUCAGAGUUUUGGUCAGCAACAGCAACCAUUUCAGGGCACUGGUUACACUUCACAGCAGCCAAAGGCACCACCAGGGUUUGGUCCACCACAGUUCCAACAGCAGGCGCCGGUUCAACAACAGUUUCAGCCACCAAUGGUUCAACAGCAGCCACAGAUGGGUACAGAUAUGGUUGGUAUUCUGCAACAACUACUUCAGGGUCAACAGACUAUGCAGCAGGAAAUCAAGGAACUGAAGCAAAACCAGGCAUCAAGCUCAAGGAACCAAGGUCACCUACCUGGAAAACCAGAACCCAACCCCAAGGAAUAUGCCAAGGCCAUAACACUGAGGAGUGGCAAGGAGUUACCUGGUAUUGAGAACAACAAUGUGAUCAUUGAGGACAAUGAUCAACCUGAGGGGGAGGCAGCCUUAAAGGAUGAUCAAGUUGCUGAGAAACCAAGGUCAGAAAAGGGUAAAGAGGUAGCAAAGGAACCAGAACCAGAGAAGAAGUAUGUGCCACCACCUCCAUACCAACCCAAGCUCCCAUUUCCAGGGAGAUUUAAGAAGCAACUAGUGGACAAGGCAAGAGCUGUAUUUGAGAAGGCACUCAAAGAGACACCACUCACAAUGCCUCUCAUUGAUGCAUUCUUAAUGAUGCCAAAGAUGGGGAAGUUUUUGAAGGAUGCUAUUCUGAACAAGACAAAAGAGCUUCAAGGCAUGGUAGUACUAAGUCAUGAAUGCAGUGCUAUCAUUCAAAGGAAGUCCAUUCCAAGGAAGUUAACUGAUCCAGGGAGCUUCACACUCCCCUGUGCCAUUGGACCUCUUCUAUUCUCUGGAUGUCUUUGUGAUUUAGGAGCAUCAGUCAGCUUGAUGCCAUUCUCCAUAGCACAGAAGCUGGGCUUUAGAGUUUUCAAACCUUCAAAGAUUUCUCUUAUCCUUGCAGAUAGAUCAGUUAGAUUGCCUGUUGGUAUGUUGGAAGAUCUACCUGUCAAGAUAGGUGGUUUUGAGGUUCCAACAGAUUUUGUUGUGCUGGAGAUGGAUGAAGAGCCAGUAGAUCCUCUUAUCUUGGGCAGACCAUUCUUAGCCACUGCAGGAGCUAUUAUUGAUGUGAGAGGUGGGAUAAUAGAGCUUCAACUUGGGUCUGAAAAGCUCAAGUUUGAUGUGAAUGAGAUGAUGAAGAAGCCCACCAUUGAAGGUCAAUGUUUCUAUGUAGAGACAAUGGAUCAGUUGGCUGAUGAGUUGCUUGAGGAGCUGAACACAGAGGAUCCUCUUCAAGCUACUCUGACUCAAGAACAAGGAGACAAUGGGCUCUUGGCUGAAGCAAGUGAAGGGUAUAAGCUGUAUCUGGACAAUGCAAGAGAGCUGGGUCCUGAAACAAGGUUUGUGGAGCUGGAACAGAAUGGCACUGAGGUUUUUGCAAUCCAAGAAUCAGUCACCAGCCAAAGCAGCUUGGACCAGGACUGGAAUGAGGCUGAUGCACCCUCUGUUGAGCUCAAACCUCUACCAACAGGGCUCAGGUAUGCUUUCUUAGGACUAAACUCCACAUAUCCUGUCAUCAUCAAUGAUAGCCUAUUAGAGGACCAAGAGAGUGCAUUGCUGAAUGAAAUAAGAAAGUUCAGGAGAGCCAUAGGGUAUUCUUUGGCUGAUAUUAGAGGGAUCUCUCCUGACAUCUGCACCCAUAGGAUCCACCUAGAGGACCAAUCUAUGUCCUCUAUUGAGCACCAACGUAGACUUAACCCCAACCUUAGGGAAGUGGUUAAGAAGGAGAUACUAAAGCUUCUUGAGGCAGGGAUAAUUUACCCAAUCUCUGACUCAAGAUGGGUAUCUCCUGUUCAUGUUGUGCCCAAGAAAGGUGGGAUCACGGUGGUGAAAAACGAUAAGGAUGAACUCAUAGCUCAAAGAACCAUAACUGGCCACCGCAUGUGCAUUGACUAUAGGAAAUUGAAUUCUGCUUCUAGAAAAGAUCAUUUUCCUUUACCAUUCAUUGAUCAAAUGCUUGAGAGGUUAGCUAAUCAUCCUUAUUUUUGUUUUCUCGAUGGGUACUCUGGAUUUUUCCAAAUUCCCAUAGAUCCAAGAGAUCAAGAGAAAACAACAUUCACAUGCCCUUAUGGCACUUAUGCUUAUAGGAGAAUGCCUUUCGGUUUAUGUAAUGCACCGGCUACUUUUCAAAGGUGUAUGAUGCACAUUUUCUCUGACAUUAUUGAAGAGAAAGUUGAGGUGUUCAUGGAUGACUUUAGUGUCUAUGGCUCCUCCUUCUCGGAUUGUCUCUCUAAUUUGACACAGGUGUUGGAGAGAUGUGAGCAACACAGCUUGGUGCUGAACUGGGAGAAGUGUCAUUUCAUGGUGCAAGAAGGGAUAGUUCUUGGGCACAAGAUCUCUGAAAAGGGCAUUGAGGUUGAUAAGGCAAAGGUGGAGGUUAUGGUGAAUCUGCAAACCCCCACUUCAGUUAAAGGGAUAAGGAGCUUCCUGGGUCAUGCAGGGUUUUAUAGAAGAUUCAUAAAGGACUUCUCAAGGAUUGCCAGGCCCUUAACAAGACUGUUGUGCAAGGAGGUGGAUUUCAUCUUUGAUGUUGAAUGUGAAGAAGCCUUUAAGUUGAUCAAGGAGGCAUUGGUUAGUGCACCAAUAGUUCAGGCACCAGACUGGUCCCUACCUUUUGAGGUCAUGACAGAUGCUUCUGACUUUGCUGUUGGAGCAGUACUUGGACAAAAGAAAGACAAGAAGUUGCAUGUGAUCUACUAUGCCAGUAGAACACUUGACUCUGCCCAAGAGAAGUAUGCUACAACUGAAAAGGAAAUGCUGGCAAUAGUUUUUGCCUUUGAUAAGUUCAGAAGCUACCUGGUGGGAUCAAAGGUCAUUGUGUAUACUGAUCAUGCAGCCCUCAGGUACUUGAUGACCAAGAAAGAUGCCAAACCAAGGCUGUUGAGAUGGGUUCUAUUGCUCCAAGAGUUUGAUAUGGAGGUGCUUGAUAAAAAGGGGAUUGAGAAUGGUGCUGCAGACCAUCUCUCAAGGCUGAGGAUUGAAGAAAAAGUCCCCAUAGAUGAUGCUUUGCCUGAAGAGUCUCUGAUGGUGCUCCAUUCAUACUUGGAGUUUGAGGAAGUAGAGAGCAUUCAAGAAAGGAGGAUGCCUUGGUUUGCAGAUAUAGUGAACUAUCUUGCAUGUGGGGUGGAGCCCCCUGAAUUGGAUGCUUACAAGAGAAAAAAAUUCUUCAGAGAUGUCCAGAGAUACUAUUGGGAUGAGCCCUACCUCUAUGUUCUGAACAAGGAUCAGUUAUACAGAAGAUGUCUUGCUGAAGAGGAGAUGCAACCUGUGUUGCAGGAAUGUCAUGGUUCUGCUUUUGGAGGUCACAUGGGGGCAUUCAAAACUGUAGCAAAGGUUCUUCAAAGUGGGUUCUGGUGGCCUACAAUGUUCAAAGAUGCCCAAUUGGUGGUUUCAGCUUGUGAUGCCUGUCAGAGGCAUGGAAAUAUAUCUAAAAGAAGUGAGAUGCCUCAGAACCCCAUUCUAGAAGUGGAGAUCUUUGAUUGUUGGGGGAUUGACUUUAUGGGACCUUUUAUUUCAUCCUUUGGAAAUCAAUACAUACUUGUUGCUGUGGACUAUGUGUCCAAAUGGGUUGAGGCCAUUGCUUCCCCUACCAAUGACUCCAAGGUUGUAGUCAAGCUGUUUAAGAGCAUCAUAUUUCCAAGGUUUGGAGUUCCAAGGGUUGUCAUUUCUGAUGGAGGAUCCCACUUUUUGAACAAGACUCUGGAAGGUUUAUUGAGAAAGCAUGGAGUUAAACACAAGAUAGCUACUCCAUAUCAUCCCCAAACUAGUGGCCAAGUGGAGGUAUCUAAUAGACAAAUCAAGGCCAUUCUGGAAAGGACUGUCAGCUCAACCAGAAAAGAUUGGAGCAAAAGGCUGGAUGAUGCAUUAUGGGCUUACAGGACUGCCUUUAAAACUCCAAUUGGAACAUCACCAUUCAGUCUGCUAUAUGGGAAGAGCUGCCACCUUCCUGUGGAGUUGGAGUACAAAGCUAUGUGGGCUGUGAAGUUUCUAAACUUUGAUAUCAAAACAGCUCAGGAGAAAAGAAUCAUGCAACUCCAUGAGCUUGAGGAGAUUAGGCUUGAGGCUUUUGAAAGCUCAAAGAUCUAUAAGGAGAAGACCAAAGUCCUGCAUGACCAAAAGAUUUUAAAGAGAGAGUUCAAGUGUGGUGAUUUGGUCUUGCUUUUCAACUCCAGACUUAAGUUGUUUCCAGGAAAGCUUAAGUCUAGGUGGUCUGGACCUUUCAAAGUUCUUGAAGUGAGGCCUUAUGGUGCCAUUGUCUUGGAAGGAAAAAAUGGUCAGGAAUUUGUGGUGAAUGGACAGAGAGUCAAGCAUUACUUAGUUUCACAAGGGAAAGAGGAAGCUACAUCAGUUCCUCUCUGAUCACCAGCUGUUAACCAGUUCUCAAAGUCAAACUUAGAGACUUUAAACAAAGUGCUCUUGGGGAGACACCCCAAGCUUAUCUUUNNNNNNNNNNNNNNNNNNNNNNNNNNNNNNNNNNNNNNNNNNNNNNNNNNNNNNNNNNNNNNNNNNNNNNNNNNNNNNNNNNNNNNNNNNNNNNNNNNNNCGAGUUUGCAACUAUCUCUCACUUUUCUCUCCAUGUUUUCACCAUAUCUCUCUCAUUCUCCACCAAAAUUGUUGAUUCAAAGUGCUCUGAGCUCGUUUUGAGUUGCUAACAUCAUCCUGAUUGCAUUUCGAACUUGUUGCAUCUUAAUCCCAAGGUAUUUCGCCCUGUUGAAACUCAUCUCUUUCCAUGUUCUUCAAUGGUGAUUUUUUUUUUUUUUUUGAACUUUAAAGUGUGGAAUCGAUUUUGAUAGGUUGUUUUAGACCUUGGGAUUAUUUUUAUAAAUGCUAGGGUGCUAGAUAGUCUUGGAAAACAGAGCACUUUGUUUGUAAUUACCUGUUCUUGAAUUUUGAAAAUUGUUGCAACAAUUUUUUUCAAAAUUUUGAGACUUUUGUGAGGUUCAUCCUUGUACUAACAAUAUUUUUGAGAAUCUCUUGGCAGAUGACUGAAAGAACCAACUCUUUGGCCAAGAAGAAGGGCCCUGCAUCAAAAGGCAAAGGUUUGGUCUCAGGAACUUCAAAGCCAAGAAACAAAGGUCAGGGUGCAAAGAAUACUACAAAGCAAGGAAAGUGUGAUCCAGCGCCAAAAAGGACAAGGCCUGAAGGAAGAGCUUUGGUGGUUGCUUCUGGUUCCAAGAAAAAGGGGAAACAGUUGGCUGUGGUAUCUGAGAGUGAACAGACUGAAAGUGACUCCGGCAGCUCAGCUGGUGGUUCCCAAGGCACCAAUGAAGAGGGAUCAAAGAAGUUCAAGAAAACUGAACCAGAAACACCUGAUUAUCUGGCUAAGUUUCAGCAGAUAGAGAUCCAGCAAGGGAGAUUCCCUGAUUUGGACUUUCUGAAGAAGAUUGGCCUCUAUGAAGAUGUCAAGACUUUGCUUGGGAACAUGGGUGUUGAGUCACUUUUGGAGAUGAGAGAAAUCGCUUAUGAGCAAGAGUCCCAAGAGUUCUUGGCCUCCUUUGAAGCUUUCAUUUACUACCCAAGGGAUUCAAGAAUCAUUCAAGGAGAUGGGCUUGGACAUGUGGAGUUUACUGUGAAAGGGAAGGAAUAUUCAGUGUCAUUCAGAGAAUUGAGUAAGAUCUUUGAGUUUUCAACACCUAGAAAUGAAUUUCUCUCCAACUCGGUCAAUCUCAGAAAAGAUGAGAUCCAACUUCUAUGGAGAUCAAUUGCUUCUGGGAAGUACACAGCUGGAACAGCUAAGGCCUCUUGGAUAAGGAAUCCAGUUCUGAGAUAUGUACACAAGGUUCUCUCUCACAGCUUCUACUUCAAGAUUGAUGUUGGAAGAGUUCACAAAGGAGAUCUGCUGCUUCUGGGUGUAGGGCUGAGGCCGCUGAUGCCAACACAUGAAGAUGGGGAACCCUAUGUAGGGUAUGAAUACCCACUUUGCCUUGCAUCUCAAUUAGCAAGGUCUUUGAUGUUCUACAAAAAGUGCAUGUGGGAUUCUACAAACAAAGAUGCAAAGCUGACCCAUGGAUGGGUGGUAACAAAGAUCUUGAAAGCCAUGGGGUAUAGAUUCAAGGAGAACAAGGCAAAGUUUGAUCUGAUUAAUGAAGCACAUUUGUGUAGGAUUGGCUUUCUCCAAGGAAGAGUGGGUACCAAGGCAGUCUACAACUUCAAGACACUCAUCAGUGAGCCAGCCCAAGUUCUCCUACCCAAUCCCUCCAUCACCACAGUCCAAGUUAAAAGGAACAUUCACUUCUUCUUGCUGAAGGAAGAGCUGUACAAUGUCCAAACUGAUCCACCAAUCCUCACAUACAGGCAAGCUUGCAGAGAAGAAGCCUCCAAGGGAAAGAAAGCAACCGCUGAAGAUGCUACCACAAGUGCAGCUGGUGCUCACGAUGCUGAUCUGCCUCCACCUCAAAAACGUUUUGGUGGAAACAGAUAUCACUUUGAUGAUUACAACUGGGAGGAACCAGGCACUUCAGGGUUCAGAGCUCAACAGAAGAUUGGUAUUCUCCAACAAUGGUGCAAGUACCAAGACAAAACCAUCCACAAGAUGGCCAAGUGCAUCAAGGAGAUGAAGAAGAGGAUCAAGAAGCUUGAAAACCCUUGCAAAGGUGGGGCUCCAGCACCAGUUUCACCAAGAAACAGAGAGGAAGUUGGGGAGAGUUCCAUGAACUGCACAGCCUUGGUCGCAUAUGGAACCACUUGGGUAGAUCUUGACGACGGGAGUGAUGAAGCCAGCCACCAUUCUUGGGAAACACCGUCAGGCCACACAUCGAACCCCUCCUACUCAUUGGGGUCUGAUUUCAACAGCCACUAGGUAACACUCAAAACCUUGUAAAUAGCAUGUAGACUUUUUUUUUUCCUUUUGCAUUUUGCUUGUUUGCUUUGGUUUCACUUCUUUCUCAUACUUUUAUAACACAAGGGACUGUGUUAUUUAAGUGUGGGGGAGGAGUUUCAUCCUUUACUAACCAUGUUUUCUAUUUUCUCAUUUUACACUUUGAGUCUUGAGUCACAUUCUAGUUGCAUAGUCAUCUAAGUGCAUAUAAAAACCAAAAAAAAAAAAAUGGAAAAAUCUGAAAAAUUUUCACAAAAAAAUGAUCAUGUAGUUGCAUUCUCAUUUUUAAGAUUGAGUCUAGAUUGCAUUUGCAUAUAGGUUGCAUCUUGCAAGGAGUAAUGAUAGGUUUUCUAGAGAGUACAUCACUUUGAGAACUUGAAUUGAAUAUGCUUGUGAAUCUUUUUCUAUGCUUGCAAAGUCUGAAAUGAUUUGAAUCUGAGAAGCAAGUUUGAAUUGAACUCAACUCUAAUUAAGUGGAAACCUUGAACUUGACCUGAAAAUAUCUUGUGAUGCAUUGUUUGAAAAAGCUUGUGGAUACCAAUAUACAUACUUGAGCUAGAACCACUGUUUUUACCACUCUUUUCCUUAGCUCAAGUAGCUGAAUCCACAUCAUGGAUCAGUUCCCACACCUUGAACCCAUCCUUCUUUUAAGCCAAUGUUUGUGUGUGAAUUGAAAGGCCACCUUGGAUCAAACUUAGCAGAAAGUGUUAGGUUUAGAGCGACAAGGGCAGGUCUCAUUGAGUGCUGUGUUCCAACAUCAAGGAACUGAGAGUUUUGGCGAGGAAUAAGUGUGGGGGAAAAGACUUUUUGGUGAGUGGAAAAAGGUGAGAUGAGUGGAAAGAGAGAGUGAAAAUAACUAGGGGAAUGAAAGAAAAAGAAGUCAGUCUUGGUGUUUUGAGAAAGUGAGCUCUGGUUUGUUGAAAAGAAAAAUCUAGCCUCUAAGUGAAAAAGAAAGAAAAGAAGCCAAAAGCUCAAAUGUUUUGAUAAGAAAGAAAGAAGAGGCUAGAAGUUGUAAAAGAAAAAGAGCUGUGUAAAGUUUGAGUUCCAAGACUUGAGAGUGAAAGUGAAGAACAAAUCCCCUAGUGAGAGAAAAAUGAGUGUGAAAAGUGAGGUCUUUGAGCAAGAGAGGAAGCUUUGAGUAGAGGGUGGGGAGUGAUGAGUCUUUGCCCUUGUAUGCAUAGGUUGCUUUUUACCUUUAGCAUUCUGCCAAAGUUUGAUCAUUCAUAGAGAGAUCCCUUUGCUGCAUUUAACCCACUUGAACACUGAUGAGAUCAUUUUAAUCUCAUAGCCUCUCCCUAGCCAAGCCAGCUUGUUUAAACCUUGCAUCAUGAGAUCCACCUGAUAAAAGCUUAAUGAAUGUGAAAGAGUUGAGAGAGAGAAGAACUUGUGGAGAUUCCUUGCUGAGUUGACAUAUAUCUGAGUAUGGCUUUGCAUUGCAUAAUUGAGCAUGAACUUGAAUUCUCAUUGUGAUCACUUCUCUCAAAAAGAAAAUGUGAACUCCCAUUGCAUACAACCUCUUUCUCUCAUUUGCUCUUUUUGCUUGAGGACAAGCAAAGGACAAGUGUGGGGGAGUUGAUAUGUUCAUAAUUUGCAUCAUUUAGGUUGCAUAAAUCAUUCCAAAUCAUGUUUUAUUUCAUGUAUUUUAGGUCCCUAGGGUUUGUUUUAGAACUUAGGAGAUGCAUUAGGUCCCAAUGAGUCUUUGCAUGUUUUGAGUGUCUAUCAGGUGAUUAUGGAGCUGAAAAGAUGAAUCCAGGAGGUGGAAUGGUGAGCAGAGCUUGAAAAAGUGGAAAACUUGAGUCUAUGGAGGUUAUCGGCCAUUCUCGCUGGCCAGGAAGGUUUUACCGGCCAUUUUCAUGUACUGCGGGAAGCUUUACCGGCCAUUUUCACGUACCGCGAAUUAAGUAUAUCGGCCAAAAUCUCCGGGUGCGAACGAGUCUCAGAAAUCACCUGUCCGGGGAGCCUUCCGGUCCGAUUCAGAUGGCGGGUCCUUCAUAGAAGUUGGAGAGCAUUGAAGCACGGUCUCAUAGCAAUUGGAAUCGUAGAAUUCGGACGCGUGAGCAGAGAGAUAAGCUCGUCGGAAGAAACCCCUGUCUCGCAGGUAUUCCGGACCGAGCAGAUCAGUUCUGAAGGAUGCGAAGGACGGUGCACUUCCAGGCCGAUUCAGCUUCCGGGUCCUUCAUGAGAAUCAGAGACAUUUGAGUUUUCUUUCCAGAACGUCCAAGAGCAUUCAAUUCGGAUCUAUGAGCAGGAAGAUACGGCCUCCGGAAUGGACACAUGUCUAGACGCCUCUCUCUGGUCGUAUACAUGCACUGCAAAGAUGUGCCCUCCAGGAAGCCUUCCACCUCCCAAGCACUGAAACUUCCUUCACAAAAGUUGGAGAUAAAUGAGUCCUCUGUCUUCUGCAACCGAAAUCAUUCAAUUCGGACAAGUAUCACAGGAGUUACACUCUCCGGAAUGCGAAGUGAUCUAAGCUGCUCUGGAUGCUGCGAGAUGGUCUUGCGACUUGGUUAACCCGCAGGCCUGAAGAUGAACACCUGAAUGCUGAUGCUGCGAGUUGAAAUGUGCGGGUAAACUAUCACUGGAAGAGGUCUGGAGCUCCCGAGCAAGAGAAAUGCUAAGUCCACAAUCGUGCGACUUAGGCAUGCGAGUCAUCCGCGCCUGGAUCUAUGCCGCACGAUCACUCGGAAUUCACUCCGACUUGAGCCUGCGACCUAAGUGCAAUAGAGACCAACCCGCACAGUUUCUACAUCCCCCAGAAACCGGCUCAGCCCUGCGAGUUGGAGAGGAAGGAGACCAUGCCGCAGAAACACUCGCAAUUUACUCCUAGAUAGGCGUGCGGCUCCGACAAGGUGAUUCAAGCCUCACAAGACAAGUCUUCAUCUACUGCGACUUAGGUGUGCGGCCUGGGACAUACUGAACCGACCCGCAGCUUUUCCCACUUUAUCCAUUAAAGCCGGGUCAGGACCCGGUUUGUUCCGGGCUGACCCGGUUCGUUUUUAAGAAGGUAUAAAUACUUUUUAGGGUUUUUUGGGGGAGAACUAAGUUUUAUUCCCUUUGUCUCUUGCCUUUUUGGUGAAAAGACUCCAUUAAGAAGAGAAAUAUCUUUAUUUGAGUGUUUAAUCAAGAGAGUUUAAGGAGAUCUGGGUGUUUAAAGCUGUUUUCUUUUGAAUCUAUCAUCUCCAUCUCCAUUUCUCAUCAUUAAUCAUGCUAAUCUACUCAACUUGCAAAAGUUUAAGAGAGAUUAGUAUGAUUAGUGAGUAGUCACCUUAAUGAGGUUCUAGAUGUGUAGGUUAGGGUGCUAAAGUGUUAGAUUAGGAGUGCUUAGGGCUAGAUUCAUUGAUUCAUCUCUCUAAACAGCUGUUCUCUAUGCUAAAUCCUUGAUAAUCACUUGAGAUCUAGAUUCUGGGAAUUUCAUGCACCAAAAGUGUUUGAUGAAAUUCCUGAAAGAGUUGUGUUAGAGGUUUAAGUAAUUUUUCAUCAUGGGAAUGAUUUGUUAAAUGCUUGAAUGAUCAUUAAGAGCUGUUUGUUAAUGCAUAUUGAUUCAUGUUUCACAAAUGGGAAUUUGGUUUGAAAAUGGAUUAGUAUAGGGGUUAAUACCUUCAUGAGAGGAUUAACCUAGAUUAGAGUUCUUAAUCAUUUGAAUCAUGUCUCAUCAUUGUCAUUAGCAUUUCUAGUUUAACACCAAGGCACCCUAACCAACUAUCAUGUCUAGAAUCUCAUGCCUCCAUCAUAUCAUAUUCACAUCAUUUGUCAUUGUCAUUUGUCUUUAAACCUGUUUAUGUUUAUAGUUGUCUCUAGAUUAAUCAAAACCUAUUCUUGUUUGCUUGAAUUAAGAACUUGAUCAUAUAGCUUAGUGUCUAACACCACAUCUGGAUUGAUAAACCUCUUUGUACUACAUUGACAAGGGGAUUGAUAGCCCUGAGACCCUUAAAAGUCUUAUCUAUCAUCCAUCUAACAUUUUACUUUCGUUUUAUGAAUAAGUUCUCUUUCCCUUAGCUGUUUUAGGAUUUGAUGUACUUAAUCGAUCAAGAAAACAUGGUCACCAUUCCAAUGUUCAUUAAUUACCAACAUCAAAAGAAUAAUAUUGCAAAUCUAAUUGAAAUCUUCAAAAUGUGAAUACAAAAUGGUUUCUACAUAAAAAUAUAAGGCCGGAAUAAUAUGAUAUACCUUUACAUAAUCAUUAAAUGGUUUUUUUAAAUUACGUGUUUUCUUUCGAGAUUAUUGCUCCCUUGCCAACAUCAAUGAUGACGUUUAUUCCACGUCAAAUAUGACAUGGCAAAGGCGCUAGCUCUGCACAAUUUCAUUGGAUGCUAAUGCUGAUGUGUAAUUUUUGUCCAAGUUUUUCUGAUUUAAAAAAACAAAAAAAAAGUGAAAAUCAUAAACGGAUAAACAUGCGGAUCUUUAUACCCGAUCUAGCCCAAUUAUCUGUAUUUUAAAAACAUCCUUUGGCCCAAUAAUUCAUACAUUCCCAUUUUUAAAAUUUUUGAAAUUAUGGUUUUUAAAAACUUUCCGCGUAAGAAAAUAGAAAUUUUUCCCAAAAUGGAAGAUUACAUUAACUAUUAGCAAGAUUUACCGGAGUUAAUGUAACAAUAUAUACAGAAAUUUUAAUAUUUCAAAAAGAAACACGAAUUUAUCUUACAUUUUAAUACUAUACGUCAAUUUUGGCAAUUAAAUCAAUUUGAAUAUAUUGAUUCUCAAAUAUUUCCGCAACAAUAUCUACUUCUACGCACAUUCCGAAUAUCCAUAUUCUUCAUUUCAUUCUUUUUUUUCAAAAUAAUUUAAAUCCCGCCUAACAUCAAUUUUAAAAAGUUCUCAUUGACUUCCUCUCCCUAUAUACCUAUCCUAAACCCUAAAACUCUACAAUUCUCAUUCACAAAAAUGGCUUUAGUCCGCAAACGUUCGGCUGCUCUAGUUCCAUUUGCCAAAUUAGGUCAAUCAAGUGAAAUUCAGAAAAUUAGAGCUAUUAUAUUUUUACUUUGGAAAGUCAAGAACAGGCAGUCUGGCUUUGUUAUAUAUAGAAAUGAUAUUGGUUGACAAAGAAGUUUGUAUGCGAUCUUAUGCAUUUUGUUUAUUGUUAUUUUAAUCAAUCUAUAGAUUAUAUAGUAAUACUAUUUGUGUGAUUCACAGGGCACUAGGAUUCACGCUACGUUGAUGAAGAAUUGAUCGCAAAAGAUAAAUGCAUCCUUAUAGAAGGAAAAUCACUUUCUAUUAAUUGCUUCAUCAUUAAAGAAUACUAUAGUGAUUUUAGGACUACUCCAUUACCAUACAAGAUUGCUUUGUGCAGAACAACCCGUGCUAAGGAGAUCAAUGAUUUUCCAUCAGACUUGCCAGAGAAAUAUUUUUCUGAUUUCAAGUCAAUCAAGGAAGACAAACUCGACAAAAACGUCCUAAUCGGUAUGUCAUCAUCGCGAUAUUGAAAAUUAUAUUCUAAUGUACAUAUUUAUCAUUGUAUACAAAUAUUUUGUCUUCAAGAUGUCAUUGGACAAAUUGUCACCAUUGGGAGUAUGGAAGUUAUAAAAACUAAAGUAAAAAGUGGGAUCAGCGAGAAAUUGAUGAUAACACUCCGGGACACCAAGUAAGUAGUUAUGAUAUCAUACCAAAAUAAACAUAACAAUAUUUUAACAAUGGAACGCUAAUAUGUUUAUUGCUGAAGUGAUGUCCAACUGAAAUGUACACUAUGGGGACAAUAUGCAAAAGCAACUGUUGAGUACACUGACAAGCAUAUGGCUGUUAUUGUUGUGUGUGUAAUGCGAUUUUUCUGUAUAAAAGAGUACAAAGGUUAGAUCACUAUAUCCCCUAUUCAUAUAUACACAGUUUUGUAGAGAUUGGUAUUGGAUUAGAUUGUUAAUUAUUCUUAUUUUAUGUUUUUCGAGUAUAGGUGACAAUUCAAUAUCAAACGCUUUCAACUCCACCAAAAUUUUGUUUGAUCCUGACGUCAAGAUCGUGAAAGACUUCAGAGAAAAGUAUGUUAUGUGACAAUUUUAAUAUCAUUUUAACAUUGUUUUAUUUAUAUAGUUAUUGUUUACAGUUUUGUAGGUUGCUAAAAAACAAUCAAAUGAUUGUGCAUGCUGAACAGAGUUAUUCGACUUCUUGGGGUGGUGCUAUUGACUACCGUGAAUAAUUUUUAGGUGUGAAAAAUAGGAGGCGGACGAUAGCUGGAAUUCGUGAUAAAAAAGUGGCAUGAGCUAUAUUUUAUUCAUGGUACAAAUAUAUUUAUAUUUCACUAUAUACAUAUUAAUGGUUUUGUUAUAACCUGGCAAGAUUUUAACAUGCGUAAUGGUCAAAGACGUUGACACUUCAAAGCUGUGGUAUUAUUGGGCAUGCAAACCUUGCAUCAUCAAAGUUUUAGAGCAUGACAUUAUGUCUGAUGAUGAAGAUUACGAUAAGAGGAUUCCUCUUUUCAGUUGCAAAAAUUGUGGAUAUAUCUAUUCAUAUGAUACCAUCGUCGCAAGGUAAUACAAUGAUUUGUCCCAUAAAGUCAAGAAAACAUUACUUAUUUCAUUAAGACUUUCUUUGGUAUGAUAUAUAGCAGAUAUAGCAGAAUUAUUUCAUGUAGACUUUCUCUGAUUGACUGGCUAAAUGUUCGCCUUAUUUUAUUACAUUGAUUUGUCCCAUCAUACAUUUAUUCCAACAUUACAUUACAUGUUUAUUCAUGUAACGUUUAAAUAACUCACUCUUCUGUUUCCUUUCAAACUAUGUAGGUACUAUAUUGUAUUAUUUGUAACUGAUGAUUCAGACGUCGAUGUCCGCUUCCUGAUGUUUGAUGACACUGCUCAAAGAUUGUUGGGUCAUUCAGCUGAGUCUAUAAUGGAACAAAAUGAUGAGGUUAUUCGUUAAAUAAUUGUAUACAUUAUGCAUUAUUUACAUUUUCUGAAAUAAUAUUAAUCCAUUAUAUAUAAUGAUGCGCAGGAUUUACCAAGAGGGCUCCCUGAUGGCUUGACAAAGCUCCUAACCAUGAGGAUGCUUUUCAAAAUAACAGUUUCAGAAGAGCAUACAAAAGGAAGCCAGUCUCCGUAUGUAGUAGAAUGGUCUCAAGAUGUCGAAAUUAUGACUGAGUGGGAUUCUCGAUCAGUGGUAAUAUAUAGGAUAAAUUUUACAAACUUCUCAAGCUCGCUUAUCUGAUCGUUUAGUUAAAUUAAGACGUCAACAAUGUUUUAUAUUUUCAGCAACCGUUGAUGCUUACGAGUUCUGACGAACUUGAGAAUCCAUCGUCUGGAUCUUUACUCAUUCCUUCAUCUAAGAAGCUAAUUAAGAGUCCUGACUAUUUUGAUGAAGGUGAAAGAUCUGUUAACAAAAAGCGACCGAAGCAAGAGAUCCCGAUGAAGUUAUGAAGAAGCAAAAAAUCGUAAUGAACUUAUUGCAGAAAUGCAUUGCUGGUGAUUGAUUAUUGAUUUUGAUCUUUAUAACAAAUUUGUCCAAUGGAUGGAUAACGUUUGAACUCUCUUCGUUAUUUUUUGCGGUAUUUGUGGAAUUUUUUUGGCAUUUUUUAUUUAAUUGUGAAACUUGAAUGUUGCCCUAGAAUUUUUUUUCAUAAUUCAUUUUUUGAAACUUUAAUUUGUGAUUUAAAUUUUUUUGGUUCAACCAACUGUCAUAAAUUUACACGAGAGUUUCAAUUAAGACGACAUUAAAACCAUAACCGUUUUACUCCAUCACAUAGAAAACUAUUCAUUUCGUUAUUCUCUUUCAUCUUCAAUCUUAGCAAAAUAUUAAAACAAAGAAUGUCUCCUAGUGAAAGAGUUUCCGAUCUUCAGAAGAAAAACGGCGGAUAUCGUAUUUGUGUACAUAUACUAAGAGAUUAUUAUGAUUAUACUCUCUUCGAUCGACCUAAUUGGAUGUUAGUUCUUGCGGAUGAAUUUGUAAGUUUUGGAGGUUUGAAAAGAUUUACCAUAUAUAUGUUUUAGGAAUGUAUUUGUUAAUUAUUUAUCUUUGUAAACCGUGUAGGGCAAUCGCAUCCUGUCUACUAUUCAAUAUGAUAUAAUAGACAAAUUUGAGUAUGAAUUGGUUGAAGGAGAUUGGGUGGUUCUUGGUAAUUUUGAAGUUGCUGACAGAGUGAUUUGUCCAAGUAUAUCAUCAAACAACUAUCAUAUACAUUUCCUCGAGGAUACCAUUGUUGAGAAAACUGAUCUGAAGUCUUCCAGAGGAAUAUACUCUUUUUGUGCAUUCAUGAAUAUUUUAUAUAGAUUUAUUCAUAUAGAUAGAUAUCUUGCUAUCUUUCUUACAACUUUUUAUUUUAAAUCGUUUAUCUAAGGAACUUCAACAUGUAUUUAAAGGCAGUCCUUUAUUUUUGCAGUUGUUCUUCUCGGUGUUGUCACAUUUGUUCAGAAACUUCAGUUAUGAUCAGACACACCCACGCAACGUCCACUUAUUCGUUUUAAAAUUCAAGAUUUCAGGUCUGUUAUCCUCAAAACAUCUGUUAUGUGUAUAUUGUUUACAAAUUUUAAAGUAUAUUAAUAAUGUUCUAAAUUAUUUAAAUAUACAGUGGAGAAUCUUUGAAAUGUAUUGCUUGGGAUAACUUGGCAAGGAAAUUUGAAGAACUUUGGAGGAAUCGUGAAAGGUCUUCUAGGCAUAUUAUUGUAUUGUGAUUUUUCUCUUUCACUAGACGGAGAAGUAACUAACUACUUCAUUAUUUGAUAUUUUUAAUUAAUUACAAGUUUUACAUAUAUAUUUUUCCGUAUAUUGAGUAUGUCUAUGUAUUUAGAUGAAUGGAUAGUUGAAUUGGAAAGAUUCAUAUCUGAUAUUCUCGAGGAUCCUCCUAUCCCAGAAGUGGAAAGAGCAGGGUUGAGGUAUGUUUAUUCCAUCUUUGAUAUUGUAUUCUAUAUUUUAAUAUUUAUAAAUAUAUAUAUAUAUAUAUAUAUAUAUGUAUAAUGAUAAAAAAAAUCCUAAUAUUAUUUCAGGCUUGCAACUUCAAUUGAUUUUUCUCCGGUCCACGAUGAAUAUGAAGACCAGUCUAAGUAAAAGAGAUUAUUGUUUCCUAUUUCUUAUUUUUAUAGUGUUAAACUUGAAAAUCUAUAUUAUUCUGAUUGAAAAAAACUUAUCCAAUGACAAUAUAUAUAUAUUUUUUAAAAAACAAUUUAAUUGUGUUAGCAUUUUUUCGUGAAGCGUAUUCUAUUUGAUUUCAACAAAAAAAUAAUUAUGAUAUUCAAAAUUAGGAUGCUCCGUGAUAUGUGUCUGUAUUAAAAAAAUAGAGUAGGUAAAUUCUGGUAUUGUACUCUCAUUAAUUAUUUGUAAUUAAUGAAAUGAAGUAAUUAACUUAAUUAAAGAGAAGUAGUCAGUACAAUAUAUGACAUUUUUCUACCAUCUUUACAUAUUUUUCUACAUAUAAUUAAUCAAUAUAAAAGUCAAAUAUACCUAUGAAUUGAAUGUAACAAAUUUGGUUUGUUCGUAAGUCACUUAGUGCAAUAAAUGUCAAAGGUUGCAAUUUAUUCUAAUUUUACAAAACAACACAACUUUUCAGACCCUAUACUUGCUUUGCUAUACAUAUAAAGGACCAAAGUAAAAAAAUGUCUGGCCAUCUUAACUAAAAAAAACCUAAAGUCCCAGAAAACAACCACUUUCCUCAAACAUGCCUCGCUAUUGUACCCUUGAGUAUCUUUCUCCCACAAAAUCUGACUCCAGAAUUCUUAUAAAAGUUCUACGAGUUUGGGAACACUUCAACUACUGUAAUCAACGCCAGGAAUUGCAUCUUAUCCUCGGUGACGAAAAUGUAAGUUCAUCUUUUUGAAGUUUUUUUAUUCUGUUGCAUGUUAUGAACAUUUAAACACAUGAAUUUAGGGUUACAAAAUAGAGGCAUGGAUAGAUCAGGAUCUUAACUUUUCACUUGGUCCAAAGUUUAAAGAAGGAGAAUGGAAUUAUGUCAAAUUCUUCAACGUUGUCAAUGCGUUCGGAUCUUUCAGAAAUACUAUAAACUACCACAUCAUCAACAGGAACGCCGAUACUAUUGUAAACAAGACCUUUCAAGUCAAUCCUAAGCAUAUGAUGGAUUUUAUGCCAUUUGAUGCCAUUAUCUGAGGGAAUUUCUCUACUGAGUACUCUAUCGGUUAGGCUUCUCACUUUUAUUCAAUUUAAGAAUUGUUAUAAAUAUUGUGUAAUGAAAAUUUUUCUUUGUAGACUUGAUCGGCGUAAUCAUCUAUGUUGAUGAUGAACUAAGUACUGAUAUUGAUGACCCAUACGAGAUGAUUUUUGGACCUUCUCACAAAUUGGACAUUCAAAUAAGAGACAUGAAGUAAGAUGUUUUAUAUUAUCAUCUAUAUAUGUAAAUGCCAAUAAUUUGUCUUAUGUUGUACAUAUGUAUUUUUGUUAAUGUUGUUGUAAUAUAAUUUGAUAUGGACAUCAAACUCAUUGGGAAGACUGCUCUGGAUUUCUAGAAGAAGUGAGAAAACAUAUGUACUUAUGAAACAGUCUUGAUUUUGCGCAUGUUUCGUCUGACCUAUGAUUCUGAAGGUUAGUAAUUAAAUAUUAUAAUCGAGUGGAAACAUUCAUUCCCACUUUGUUAAUAUGAUAAUUUGGCUUCUAACAUGUGUGCCCUUUAUAUUUUAAAAUCAUACAGGAAAAUAUCGCAUAAAGAAUGAUGGACACCAUUCUGAAAUACUUUUCAAUCCUCACAUAAAUGAGGUUUCUGAUUUUCUUGACUGGUAAUUUUUCUAAUUGGUAUUAAUAUAUAUAAUAUGUUUUAAGGUUUAUUUUAAUCUUUUUUACAAUAGUUAACUUGAAAUUAUUUAUGGUCAGGCUUCCUUUUAUUGAUAUCCAAGGAGAUCCGAGCUGGCCAUAAGUUUAAUCCCUCUUAUGUACCUAUAUUUUCUCGUAACUGUUAAACAUUCCCAUUAUGUAAUAUUUUCCCAUAAAACUGGGAUGGAGUUGAACAUAUUUUCGUAUAUUUGUAAUGAAAUAUUUAGUAUUUAUUUAUAGUAAUGUUUAAUUGCCAAUUAAUAUCAUUUUAUUUAUUGUUUAUAUAUAUUACAUGUAUAUAUGUAUAGUUUGGAUAUAGCAUAUACAAUCUAUAUAUAGAAUCCAUUUGAUUUUAGAAAGGUUACUUCCUUUAUAGACAUUUUCUUCCAUCGAAUAUUGUACAUUUCCAUAAUAAUAAGACAUUGUCAAAUUAUACUACUACAAUAUAGUAACGACCAUUUUUCAUAUUAUGCCAAUUUUAGUACCAUAACAAUUUAUGUAAGUAGACUUCGACAUUACAUUUAUUGCGAACCUUUAUAAAUUUCUUUAUUUAUAAUUAUGCCAAACGAUGCAACUAUAACGCUUUUUAGGCAAUUUCAUCUAAUGCUCACUAUUGAUCUUUUUUUUUUUGGUCGAUGCUCACUAUUGAUCUAUUAAAAACUUUACGUGUAAGAGUAAAUUGAAAUUAAUUCUGAUUGACGUUUUCAUUUCAGUGUUGAAAACUGACGUCAAGCUUUUCUCAUAACAUUUAGAGUUGAGUGUCAAAUAUUAUAUAAAUUAUCAAUGUUUUAAUGUUUGUGGAUUAUAAUUAAUGUAGCAGAUGAGCUUAUAAUCUUACGAAUCAAUUCACACAUAUGAGAAAGUGAUUUGGGAAAAUAAUUCAUUUUUAUUUGAAUCAAGAUAAUACAACUUAUUGUAGCAAAAAAGAGAGAUAAUUAAGGUACAAAAAAACAAAAACAAAAAAACAGAGAUAAUUUUAGCUAAACUCCAAAGUUUCUCCUUCCACGUUUAUUCUUAUGUGCCUAUAAGAUUCAAAAACAUAUAAUGUUGUUAACUUCAAACAUAUUAGUUAAACAAAUCAAUGUAUUAAUGGAAUAUUAACAGCUUACCCACUCCGAUGUAUCUAGGUAGCGAAUCUCUCUCUUAACGAAGCCGCAUUCUAUACAUUUCAAACCUAUCUCCAGAUCUAGAUGGAGAUCGUGUUUUCCUUUCUUGCAACGUUCAUUUGGAUCAUCAGUCGAUAUUUCUUCAUCAAGCUGCAGAUAUUACAUAGUGAUAUAAACAUACAAUAAUACAGAAAUCAUCAAUAAAACCGAAUAAUUUAAAGUUUAAAUUAUCUCAGAAAGAACCUCGAUGGCAUUCGCAGUUGAUUUGCUCAGAAAAUCAUUCAUCUCUUCCCACUUAUUAGUUUCCUCCAUCUCUGAUUCAGAAAUUGGAGGAGGUGAUGGUGGUUCUUCCACACCAAAUCUCAUGUUCGAUGGUGGUGGAUUAAUUCUCAGUAAUCCGUUUUCAUCAUAACGUUUUUCUUGGUGAUUCUCCAUUUUUGUCUAAUCUCUUAUCAGGCGUUUAGGGUUGCAGAGAAAAUUUAAGAAGUAUGUUUAUAAUCGAAGCAACUCUUAUUUUAUAUAGGAUAAGGUAGUUAAAAAAUAUUCAAUGUCACCAAAUUUCUAUGUUUUCUUAGGAAUACUGUUUCAACCAACCAGUUUAGCUUUUUAACUUUCGUUUUUGAUAUAUAGACAUAAUAUUUACACAAGUCUUCUGCGUCCAACUCACACAACUUAGCUGAAACAAAAAUAUUGAAAAGUUUGGAUUUUCCUCUUUACAGUUUGAUUUAAACCGCAAUAUAUGGUAACAUAAUAUUGUCUCUGAUAAUUUCGAACUAAUAUUCUUAUGAAGCAAUUAUGUAUAAAUUGAAUUAUCUAACCAUAUAUUCGAGAUUUUUAUAAAUAUUGUAUGAAGGAUAUUUAUAUAUUGUUGUUACUUUAUAAAACCAGAUGCAUAUUUCAAUCUUUAAUGUAUUUGUAUAUUCGUGUAUAUCCUAUUUAAUCCAUCUAUAUAUUCACAUCAUACUUUUGUGAACUGCAACUUCAUUUGUUACACUGAAUAAAAAAUCUCAAUAUUCUCCAUUUCUACUGCUAUGAACAGGAUAGGUAAACCUUAUGCGUCCAACUUUAAUCUAUUAAGAAUCCUUUUGAAUAACUAUAGACAUUUACCCUUUAUAUUUUAUUAUCAGACAUUAUUUGUUUCCUUUUAACUGUUUUAACAAAUUCUUUAUGAUUGUUUUCAGAAAUUAUUUAAUUUCAUCUACCAAGAACAAAUUCUUCCAAGCGAAACAAGGUCGACAAAGUAAUGAAAAAUACAAAAUUUAUUGCUUGGAUGGAGUGUAACAAGAUAUACGCAACUGCCAGAUUCCUACUCUACACUGAAUUAUCUCAUCAAUUUGUAUGGAAUGUCACAUUGCAUGAGUGGAGGUCACGGGUGAAGGGUUCAGGAAAUCCAACUAUUCUUCAACAGUAUUCAAUUUAUGAUGAGUAGAAUUUUUAUUUGGGUGUCUGUUGAAUAUCAUUAGAGGUCCUCGCAGUUAUGAAGAUAUCCGAACAUUUAAUGGUGUUGUAUACGACACCUUCAGAAAAGUUUGCUAUGCAAGGGGCUUAUUCCCGAUCAAUUAGAUUUAUAUAUCUUUCUUAAUUUUAGUUUUAAAACUGCAUGUUGAAUCUUUAUUUCAAUAAGUUACUUUCAUUUUGUUGUUUUUAAUCAUCUUCAUUUUUUACAGUACUUUUUAUGUUGAAUAUAUGAUAUACUAAGGUAAAUCAUCUACUAAAUACUACAUUUGCAACCGUGACAUAUUACAUGAUUAAUACAAGAGUCAACCAAUUAACAUUUUAUAAAAUAUAGCAUAACUUAUAAUUUAUAAUUUAUUGAAUAAACUAUUAUCAUUGUAAGUUUAAAGUAUUGUUGAUGCGGAUUAAUCGUAACUUAAUUGUUAAUAUGAUAAAUUAUACCUCAAAUUUUGGAAAUCUCUGAUAAAAUUAAACAACUUUUUAAAUUUCAAUUUAAACUGAACUACAUAAUAUAGACAAAUGCGAUUUUUUGUUAUUUUAGAUAAUUGCAAAAGAGAAAUAAUAAAUCUAACAAUCCUAGAAAUUAGGAAAAUCGUUGUAGUUCAAAUUAAAAAUUCCCAAUUAAAAGUUUUAUAUUUUUUACACAAUAUUGGAUCUCAUUCGAGGUAAAUAACAAUUUUUUACAUAAUUAGAGUUUUUUUCUUAAAAUUCCAUUCAAUAAUAAAAAAUCUACUAUAGCAAAAACUUAUUGAAAACGGUAUACAUUUCUGUUUACCUACUGAACAAAAUUACUUAUAUCUCACUCUACAAAAAGUACAUUGUCAAUACUCUAUCCACAAUUUGAUAUAAAGUAUUAACAGUAUACUUCAUGUUGAAAGUGAGCAUUCACAAGUAAUAUAAUUACAAUAACUCUGUGGCGACACAAUGAAUAAAAUUACUUCUUCUGAUGUGAUUCAUCACAGAUACACAAGAAAUAUUAUGUAGGAAAACAUGUAUUUUUAUUUCAUGUAAACAUAAUUUUUGUACGUCUGUGAGUGGAUCACAUCAGAAGAAUAAUUAUAGUAUGGGUUGUGUUUGAGUGAGUUAUUGUUUGCUUGGUUAAUUGAUCAAAAUUCUAUUCUGAUGUGUAUUUAUAGAAUUCUUAGAGCACGUCCAGUGGGGGUUCGUCCAUGGGUUCAUAACUCAUUUUAGAAUUAAAAAAAAUGUUUAAUGAGCUAUUUAUGAAGACUCGGUUCAUCCCAAAGAGUCUAAUGAACCUCAUUUGCUGACGUGGCAAUUUUUUAGUGGUUGAACCUUCAUUUUUCUUUUUCCACCUCUUCUCUUUCUUAAAAAAAAUCAUUUUUUCUUUUAUUUUGCAACUUCUCUCCUCUCUCUUGUUCAGAAUUUUAUUAAUUUAAUAUUUAGGAUGAACUUUAUGAAAAGUUCACCAAUGGACAUGGUCUUAAAGAGUGACUCCUCAUUUUUCUUCCCUGUGUUUCAUAUUCCCCAAAAGUCAUUGAUAAUUAAAACAUAUUAAACAACAUUUGACUGAUAUAUCACAAAUUCCGAAAGAAGAUAAAUUUCGAAAUAAAUGAAUACAUCUUCGCAUAUAAUCUAUAAAAUAUGUUCAUAAAUGUCACAUUUCGAUGCCUAACUUAAAAACAUAAAAUUAAUGUAUAUAUUCAUAAUUACAAGUAUUUUUUUAUCUACACUUUCUUCAUUAUACAUAACUAAUUAUAAUUACGUAGAAUUUAUAACUGCAAAUAUGAGCCAAUUUUAAGACACAAUCCAAUUCUUAUACUAAUAACAUACCAUUCGACCCAAAAUUAGUAACAUUGUAUCCACACACACUGUAAAUUAUCAAUAUUAUAAAAUUCGACCCAAUAAAUUUAACAAUAUACCUAAUAAAAUUAAAAUUUCAAAAAACGUUCAAGCCCGCACAUGUGUGCGGGCCAGUAUCCUAGUGCCUAGAAAAUACAAACAAGUGUGGGUAUAGAAACGUGAUACAUAGUGAUUAUGUUCCUUUCAUAUGGUGAUGUACUUAUAUUUCCUUUUAGUAUGCUCUAUAUUGCUAAGUGAAAACAGGGAGAUUGUGGAAUUUAGUUGCAUAUUUAUUUCCUUUUUAAGUGUCCAAUUGCCUUUUGAUUUCGUUUAUUUAUUGCGGGUAAAAACAACCAAAACCAUUCAGUUUUAGCUAGAUCUACUCUCGGAAAUAUUACAUGUAACAUUUGGUCCUUGUUGUUCGACCUAUCGUUCUACUACCAUGACAAAAUAAUUGUACACUUGCGGUUUAGUAAAUUGGUAUUUAAAAUUGACCGCACUUUUUCCAGGGACUAGCUGUUUCACCAUUGGGUUAAAGACUACAGUUGAACAUAUGACAAGUUUUUCUUGUUUCCCCUUUGACACAAAAUAUAUAUAUAUAUAUAUAUAUAUUUUGUUAUAUUUUUGUUACUUUGCUUAAUCGCUCCAAGUUUUCCCUAAUUGGCCUUUCAGCUGCAUGACUAUAAAUCCUUAUACCAUGAGGGUCUGACCUUUCACCGUUUGAAAGAUAAUAGAAAGGAGAGCGAUUAGCACGUUUGGAGAGAGAGACAAUAGAUAAUCAGAAACCAAAAUUGGAGAGUUCAAGUUUGAACAGUUUCUAAGUAACUUGGGUGCCAGUGUGAGUUUGAUGUCCCUGGAUGUGUCAAAAGGUCUUGGGAUAAUAGAUUUCAAGUCAUCAAAGAUCACUCUGGUUUUUGUUAAUCGCUCGGUUGGUUACCCAAUGGGUCUACUUGGGGAUCUACUAGUCAGGGUUGGAAACCGCUAUACUCCUAGAGCAUUCAUUUUGUCAUAGUUACAUAAAGAGCUACAUGAACAGAUGAAGGUGUAGCUGUAGUUGAAGCAGUUGCUGUACCAGAUGAAGUGAAGGAUGGAAUUCCACAAACAUGAAGUACGUGACAAGCGAAGCAUUUGGAAUGAGGAGCUGGACGAGUAGCUGAGCUGGACCAGUAGGAAUGGGAGUCUUGGAAAGAAAGCAAAGCUGGAUGGGAAUAAAGGAGCAGAUCAGGAAGAAUGGAAGAUUUUACUUAAACAUGUAAAAGUUUAAGGAAAUAGGAAAUAUGCACCAAGCGACAAAAAUGGAAGCUGUGGUGUAGGGUUUUCGGCGUGUAUAGCCGCUUAGUCUACUAGGUAUAAGUAGACGUGUUGAACCAUUGUAAAAGCUUAACACAACUACUAGAGAGCACUUAGCAUAAGGGUGAGAGAUUCGAGUAUUAGGGUCUGCAUCAAGGGUUAAGGGUUUUUCUAGGGGAGUUCUGAGAUCAAGUACAGCUCGAAGAACAGAGAGAGCUAGAGCGACAGAUCAAGGUGUGUCUUGAGUCUGUUCUAAAUCGUUUUACAAACUUGUAAGGUGUGUUAACAGAUUUACUAGUAAUAAAGUUCAGUUAAAGGAAAAACUUUGUGUUAAGUUGUGUUGUUGUUCUUGAACUAAGACUCUUGCAUUUACAAUUGGUAUCAGAGCGGUCAUCUGUAACUUGCAAACAGGUGAGGUCAUGCGGAGAUGGAGAAUUAUCAAGAACUUGUGAGCAGUUCAAACGUAAUUUUGAAUGCUGGAAACUACGGCUUCUGGAAAGCGAGGAUGCGUUCACUCAUAAUAGGAAUUGAUCCUUUGGUAUGGAAGUCGGUCCUGGUUAAGUGGGAAGAACCAAAGAAGAAGAACGAUGCUGGAUCUGAUGAGCCUAAAUCUGAAGAAGAAUGGACCGAGGAAGAAAGAAAAAGGUUCAAAUACAAUUCAAAGGCGUUGACGGCUAUUCACUGUAGCAUAUCAGCUGAGACCUUUAAACUAAUUCAGGGAUGUGAGACAGCCAAAGAAGCUUGGGACAUACUGCAGAUACAGUUUGAAGGAACGACAAAAGUGCAAAACUCGAAGAAGGACAUGUUGGCUUCACGAUUUGAGAACCUGUAGAUGGAAGAACAUGAAACCAUUGCCGACUUCAGCUCCGAGUUGAGUUCUCUGGCUCAAGAGGCUACAACUCUUGGGAAGCACUACAAAGACAAAAAACUGGUGAAGAAGUUCGUAAGGUGUCUUCCUUCAAGGUUCAUGGGGUACAAGUCAGCUCUGAGUGUGAACCAGGAUACUGAAUAUCUAAGCUUUGUAGAGAUUGUUGGGAUGCUACAGGCUCAUGAGAUGAAACUUGAUGGUGUGAAGAACCAGAAAGGAUUGGCGCUGUCAUCUGUUCUCGAGACCAAGUCAUCAGAGGAAGAAAAGUGUGAGGAUGCAUUAGGGCUACUGGUGAGGAGGUUUGACAAGGCUCUAAGACGAGCUGAGAAGUCAUAUGGUCAGAAAAAAGGUUGUACCUGCCAAACGAACAAAGGAAACCAGUGAAAGAAGGGGUGAUGUUCAAUGCUACGAGUGCAAAGGGGUCGGACACUUCAAGACUGAAUGUCCUACUAUUAAGAGAAGGUAGAUUCAGUGCUUCGGAUGCAAGUGUUUUGGUUAUACACAAUUGGAAUGUGUGAAUGAUCAAAACCGCAGGAAGGAAAGAUCCAUGCUGGCAGAAGAAGAUACUGAAAAUGACAGUGAUGAAGACACUGUGGAGGAAGUAAACAACUUUGUCUCAUUCAUUGGCAUUGCAGAAUUCGAUGAGAGUAUGGUUGCUUCAGAUGCUGAGUCAGAAGUUGGGGCUGAUGAUGAGCUGAGUGAAAGCUACAAAGAGGUUCGUGAGACUCUGAUCAAGAUUGGCAAGGAAAACACUGACUUAAAGAAAGAGAAUCUUUGAGUUGAAGCAAGAGUGGAGGAGCUGCAGAGAGAACUGAAAGCUGCUCAGAAACUGAGUCAAGAAAGUGUUGCGCUGAUAAAAGAGAAGCUGAACUUGGCAAAGAAGGCAGAGCAACUGGAGCAUGAUCUAAGUCAGGAGAAAGGGAUUUCCAACAACCUGAUGGGUGAGCUCAUUGAGCAACGUAAGAAGAUUCAUAUGUUUGCUGGAACUAAACAGCUUGAUCAGAUCUUGAGCCAUGAAAGGAGGUAUGAUGUGCGUAGAGGAUUGGGAUACGAUGCUUGAACCAUGGUAGAAACAGGUACUACAAAGUUUGUCUCAGGAGGUACAACUAAGCCACAAGAUCUGAUCAAGCUGAAAAGCUGUGGAUGAAGUCGGAAAGGUCAUCCUGCGAGGAAUCAGAUCUAGGAACAACUGUUAUAUAUGGGAUUCCUCUUGCAAAGAAGAAAAGUGCUUCACAGCACGUGAUGAUCUACAUCCGUGGCAUCAACGAUUGGGACACAUGAACAUCACGAAUCUUGCCAAUCUUGUCGACAAAGAAAUUGUCAGAGGAGUGCCUAAAGUCAAGGGAGUUGAUAACUCGGUGUGUGGACCUUGCACUCAAGGCAAGCAAGUUAAAGUGCAACACAAGAGAGUACCUGAUGUACAGUCAAAAGCAGUUCUUGAUCUAGUCCAUAUGGAUCUAAUGAGACCAGUACAAACCGAGAGUUUGGGUGGCAAGCGCUAUGUGUUCGUCCUUGUGGAUGACUUCUCUAGGUACACCUGGGUUAGGUUCCUUUGAGAAAAAUCUGAGACAGCUGAGAGCUUCAGAAUAUGGGCGCUGCAACUCUUGAAUCAGCGCGGUAGAAUAAAGAAUAUCCGGAGUAAUCGUGGCGGCGAGUUUCAGAAUGAAUUCAUGAAACUUUUCUGUGAAAGUCAUAGCAUUGCUCAUCAGUUCUCAGCACCUAGGACACCACAGCAGAACGGGGUUGUAGAAUGGAAUAACAGAACACUACAGGAGAUGGCACGAGCAAUGAUGCAUGGGAACCAAGUGUCAAAGAAGUUCUGGGCUGAAGCAGUCAAUACGGCUUGCUACAUCAUAAACCGAGUCUACGUCAGAAAGGGAACCAGUAAGACACCUUAUGACUAUGGAAAGGGAAAACCCCUAACUUGAGUUACUUUCAUGUCUUUGGUUGCAGGUGCUACAUCCUUAAUGACAAAUACUAUCUUGGGAAGUUUGACUCAAGAAGCGAUGAAGGGAUGUUUUUGGGAUACUCGGGAAAUAGCACUGCAUUCAGGGUCUUCAACAUCAGGUCAAAAGUACUGAUCGAGUCAGUGAACAUGGUGUUUGAUGACUAUGCUCGUACCAAGUGGGAAGGAACUGCUACUGGCAGUGACUCGGACGAAGAAGAAGAAAAUCAACCAGCAGCUCCCACUGGAGAAGGUGAUCAAGCAGUUGUGGUUCCAACAUCUGAUGUUCAGCAAGUUCACAGGAAUCACUCACCUUCGAAUCUCAUUGGUGAUGUGAAUGAAGGAAGAAGGACUUGUGGAGUUCAGUUGGACUUCAAAAAGAUGGUUGGGAAAUUCUCGGAGAUGGUUCUAUUUGCAUGCUUUGUCUCUGUCAUUGAACCCCGAGACGUGAGACAGGCACUUGGUGAUGAAUUCUGGAUCAUUGCCAUGGAACAAGAACUAGAGCAGUUCGUGCGUAAUUAUGUGUGGAAACUUGUCCCAAGACCCCUUGAAGGCAAUGUGGUGGGAACAAAGUGGAUCUUCAAGAACAAAAUCGAUGAGAAUGGGGUUGUGGUUCGCAACAAAGCAAGGCUAGUUGCACAAGGGUUUUCACAAGUCGAGGGAGUCAACUUCGAAGAGACGUUUACCCCUGUAGCAAGACUUGAAUCAAUCAGACUGUUCUUGGGGAUGGCCUGUAUCCUAAACUUUAGGGUAUAUCAGAUAGAUGUCAAAAGUGCAUUUCUUAAUGGAGUGCUCCAAGAAGAAGUGUAUGUGGAACAGCCAAAAGGGCUCAAAGAUGCUCAGUAUCCACAACAUGUGUACAAGUUGAAGAAGGCGCUUUAUGGCUUGAAGCAGGCUCCACGAGCGUGGUAUGAGAGACUCACUGGAUUUCUGGUUGAACAAGGAUAUGUUAGAGGAAGUGUUGACACGAUCUUGUUCAUCUAUGAGCAGAAUGGGCAGAUCAUAAUUGUGCAAAUCUACGUGGAUGACAUUAUCUUUGGAGGAACUGCUCAGUCACUUGUGGAUCGAUUUGUCACAAGCAUGACUCAAGAGUUUGAAAUGAGCAUGGUUGGUGAACUGCGGUACUUCCUGGGUUUGCAAAUAACUCAGUCUGAAGAUGGGGUCUUUAUCUCACAAAGCACCUAUGCGAAGAACUUACUUACAUGAUUCAAGCUUGAUCAGUGUAAGGAAGCUAAUACUCCAAUGAGUACUACAGCCAAGCUCACUUGGGAUUAAGAUGGAACAGAUGUUGACCCCACAGUUAUCUAGGGAUGAUUGGAAGCUUGUUGUAUCUCACAGCAAGUAGACCAGACUUUUCCCUAAGUGUGGGCAUCUGUGCUCGAUAUCAGGCGAAACCCAAGCAAUCACAUCUUGAAGCAGUGAAGAGAAUCAUCAAGUAUGUCAAAGGGACAGUCAAGUUGGGAAUCUGGUACUCCAAAAGAUCGAACAAGCACUUGGUGGGAUACUGUGACGCAGGAAGUGCAGAUGAUCGGAAAAGCACAAGUGGAGGUUGUUUCUUUCUUGGGAACUAUCUAAUCUCGUUGUAGAGUAAGAAAUAGAACUCUGUCUCACUGUCUACUGCAAAGGCCGAAUACAUUGCUAUGGGGAGCUGCUGCAGUCAACUGUUGUGGAUGAAGCAGAUGUCCGCAGACUAUGAGAUGGAUUCUGGGCCACUACUGGUUCACUGUGACAACAAAAAUGCUAUCAGUAUUUCAAGGAAUCUGGUGCAGCAUUCUAGGACCAAACACAUCAAUAUAAAGCACCACUUCAUUCGUGAGCUAGUGGAGGAGAUACAGGUAGUGAUAGAACACAUUGUCACUGAUUUGCAACUGGCUGAUUUAUUCACAAAACCCCUGGAUUUUAAUCGUUUUGUCACCUUAAGAAACUCGAUUGGGGUUUGUAGUAUGUGAUUUUUUGUGAAGUGUGCAGGACUGAUGCAAAAACUGACUCGAGGGGACACUCAAGGUUUAGAUUCAGUCUGGAGUCAUGGAUCUAGUGGAAAAGAGCUAUCUCAACAACCGUCGUACCUUAACGACAGUACAGGUUUCAUGGAGUAGAAGGGAAGCUGAGCUAGUUUCGGAGAAGUCAAGUGAUGAAACUAGCUCAUUGCACUCAAACCAGAAAGGGAGGAAUGAAUAAAUAAAAAAAAUUUAAAAAAAGGAGGGGCUGCUUGCAAUUAAAAUUAGUUGAUCCCCUCAAAAGGUAGAUCCUCCCCUGGUACUGAAAGCUUCCUUCACCCGUGAAUAAAGGUUGAAAACUAGAAAAUGGGUCGAUAAAGGUAGUUGGGUGUGAAAGCUAGCCCGUGAAUCAGGAUGGCCAGACUCUUAUGAAUCAUAACAAGCUGAAGGUGUCUCGUGAGUCAGAGGCUGUGUCUAGUUCCGGUGCACUUCAAAGAAAAUGGUAAAAAUAUGUACAAAGCAUUGUUUUCAAAGCCAGCGCAUAGGUGAUAGUUCAAUUGUCACUAUUUGUUCUCUAUCAUCGGCUUAUGUGUGAAAGUGUCCGUGAAUAUUGAUGGUCUAAUGCGUGCGUGUUUGAUUCAGUAUGUGUUCGAGUGCUUUUGUCACGUGUGAAACAGGAAAGUGGGCAGGGAAUUUCGAGGCCUUGAUGAGUUUGUGAAAACAUCUGUGAGAUGGGCUUGUUGCGAGAGAACAGCCCACAAAAGACAAUGGAAAUUGAAAAGACGUGGGAAAAUAGAAAGUGGGGGAGUUAUUUACGGGGAGUGGGGAUCCGAAAAAUCAGCACCACUUCCUGUUUUAAACCCUAAUUAUCUUCCUACAAAAGGCGAAUCACAAAGAGAGACAUCAAUGGUGAGAGGAACUCGAAGGGGGCUAAUUGGUGUCCGAUCUAAAGCACAGAUGACGCAUGCAGAUGGCGAUGCUCAGAGGCCUCAUCUAAUCGAUGAGCACAGUGGCGAGAGUAUGAAUCCAACUGAGGCGGUUCCUGAUCAAAAUCCCGCGGCAUCCAUUGGUCCAGCAGAUAGUGCAGGCUCUUUUGCCACCGCAAAUGAUGGAGAUGCGCAGAGUGGAUCGUCGGCGAACCCUAAAGAGAAGGCGGAUGGCGGAGAAACCAAGGCCAACUCGGAGGUUACCCAGAAAAUCAAGAAUGACGAGGAAGAGGCUGACGGUGGCGAGAGCAAAAAAGCUGUUGAGGUGAAUCUCUCUGUGCCACAAGAAUCGGCGAAUCCGACCGCCGAUCCGGUUCUGAUCACAAUGACUCAAGAGGAGGCGACAGCAUCUCCCGCUGAAGCAUCACCUACCUCGAUCUCCGUGAAAGAGCAAGCUGCAAAAGUCGAACGCAAAAGAAAUACAAUGAAGGCUUUGGGACUUCCAGCUCCGUCAAAGAAACCCAAAAGUGAGCCGUCUCCAGUUCCAAAAGCAGAACCGGAGCCAGUCCCUGACUCGGUGCCAUGAAAGCGGACCAAAAAGGCUCGAUCUCGCAAAGAACAGCCGUCUCCUGAUCAAGCAAGGUAUGAUCACUUUGCUACACGACAACUUUGGUGUGAGAGAACUGUCGAUGUAGGUGAAACAGAUGAAUGGGGAUACAUCAAAGUGAAUAGAGACAGCGGUUUAGAAUCAGCGGUUGUAGGGAUCACUUUGUAUGUACCGCAAGUGAUUCAGGAGUUCUAUGCUGGGCUUCCGGGUGAGCUACCCUCUGAUCCAGAUCAAGAGAUUCGUGUCAAGCUGAGGGGUUUUGAGUAUUGCUUCUCUCCUGCGUGGAUCAAUCGGGUCCUCAAUCUGACUCCACUUAGCGAGGCUGAAGUUCACGAUGAGUCAGUUGCUGAAGCAGUCUCUCUGUCUGAUAUUGCCAAACACUUGUCGAAAGGAGGAAGUGGUUGGAGUGGGCUGAGCACGAGGAAUCUCCCACCGGUUUUUGCUUCAUUGAUUGUUAUUGCGGCGUACAACUGGAUUCACUCAACCAACAAGAAUCACAUUUCUGAGGAGCGUGCUCGCCUGCUGUACAAGCUGAGUCAUGGUGUGAGGGUGGACUUCGGAAGGCUGGCUUUCAAACAUAUUAUUCUAAUGAGCAAGAUCAUCAAAAAAGACACUCACUGGCUGGUAUUCCCGUGUUUGAUACAGAAGAUUAUGAACCUUCAACACGAGCCUUAGCUGGGUCAAGGAGAGACUCACAUUGUCCCAUUUUGAUACAAAAAAGACUCACGCAGUGGUGAGGAGUUCAUCAAGAAAGAGGCCGCAGCUGCAAAGAAGGAUAAGAAGAAAGGGAAGCAAAGGGCUGAUGCACCGAGAUCUCCAACUCCUCCACCUCAGUCGUCUCAACAGCAACCUGAGCCAUCACCGAGUGUGCCACUUCGGUCCUUCCGCUCACCACCUCCUGAUGCAUCCUUCAGGUCAUCCGACUCUGCUCCUGGUCGGACUCAAAGUGCUCCUCUCGGAGUGAUUUGUGUUCCUUUGGCACCAGAAAGUGCUAAUGAAGUCACAUUGGCCUUAUGGGAUGUGAGUCGUGUGCUUAACCAUCUCCACGGAAUAGUCAACAUGGUGAUUGACUCAUUUGCAAGUAAGUUUUCUGACUCUGACUUGUUUCUUAUUUUAGGUAUUGAUCCCUGUUUUUACUUUCGGUGAUCACAAGCAGGAGGAGAAAACAUGUGGGAAGAAAUUCUACGAGAUGAUGCAGGAGAUGAUGCGGGUGCUUAAAUUGUGGGGGAGUUUGUGUAAUAAUCUAGUUUCUUGUUUCUGAAUUAGGCUAAGUUUGUGGGGGAACGUGUAUUUUGCUCUGAAAACUCUUGUUCGCAGCAUUUGAUUCAAGACUCUGUGUUUGACGUUUUCUUUUCAUAUGAAAUGCGUUCUGUUUGUCUUGGUACUUGGUUGGUCUGUGGUUGUUUGUGUGCUAUGUCUGAAAACAGGUGCUUCUGAGUCACACGAAGCUAAAAUGGGGGAGAUUGAAGGUGUAGCUGUACUUGAAGCAGUUGCUGUACCAGAUGAAGUGAAGGAUGGAAUGCCACAAGCAUGAAGUACGUGACAAGCGAAGCAUUUGGAAUGAUGAGCUGGACGAGUAGCUGAGCUGGACCAGUAGGAAUGGGAGUAUUGGAAAGAAAGCAAAGCUGGAUGAGAAUAAAGGAGCAGAUCAGGAAGAAUGGAAGAUUUUCUUAAACAUGCAAAAGUUUAAAGAAAUAGGAAAUAUGCACCAAGCGACAAAAAUGGAAGCUGUGGUGUAGGGUUUUCGGCGUGUAUAGCAGCUUAGUCUACUAGGUAUAAGUAGACUUGAAGCAUUGUAUAAGCUUAACACAACUACUAGAGAGCACUUAGCAUAAGGGUGAGAGAUUCGAGUAUUAGGGUAUGCAUCAAGGGUUAAAGGUUUUUCUAGGGGAGUUCUGAGAUCAAGUACAGAUCGAAGAACAGAGAGAGCUAGAGCGACAGAUCAAGGUGUGUCUUGAGUCUGUUCUAAAUCGUGUUACAAAUUUGUAAGGUGUGUUAACAGAUUUACUAGCAAUAAAGUUCAGUUAAAGGAAAAACUUUAUGUUAAGUUGUGAUGUUGUUUUUGAACUAAAACUCUUGCGUUUACAACAAGUUCCUCUAGGCUCAGCUAAACCAAUUCUCUUUACUUAGUUGUUUUUAGUAGUUGAUCUCGACUGGGUGAAAACCGACCCUAACACUUUCCUUGAGUUUGUCUUGAGGAGAACCAUGUUCUCAGUCCAUCCUCAUAUCUCCUAUCUCCAUUACUUUGAAUCAAACAUAUAGUUGAUUUCUGAUAUUGUUGUCGAUUAGCUUGAUGAGUUGGUACUUUUUCGAAGGUUUCUCCCAAGUCAACAACGUUUCCCCACUCGCAUAAAAACUAAUCUUUCAAUAGUCUCGUUACCAAACCAUCCCAACCUAAUUCAGGUUUGGCUUAUCAUAUAAAUUACAUCCAUUUUUGAACUGUCAAAACCUAAUUUAGGGAAUUUCAGUAAUAAUAUAUAGUUUUUUGGUGUGUCAAAUCAUAUGAGAGAACCUUUACGAUAUAUAUGUUUUAACCAAGAGUGAUCCCGAUAUUUACCACUCAACUAAUCCAACAAUUCCCAAGGGACGAGUGUAGCCGUGAAGUAAUUCAUUCACAAUUUUUUUUUUUUUACAUCUAAUUCACCUUUAUUAGUUAUCAAAAUUACAAUCGUUAAUUACAGUACACUACAAGAAAACAGCAGGUAUUCCUACGAAAGAUAUCAUCAGAAAAUGGUAGGAAACAGGCAUUUUCUACCAAUUUCCGACGAAAAUGUUUUGGUAAGUUCUAUGCCGUCGGAAAUUAUAAAUGGUCAGAAAAUGAUAGGAAAUUUCCUACGAAAUUUUUGGUCGGAAAAUUUCAUCGGAAAAUUUGGUCAGAAUAUCGUAGGGCAUUUGCUACUAUUUUCCUUCCAUUUUCUUUUGAAAAAAUCCAACCCUUUUCCUACGAACAGUUUUCUAUCAUAUUCCUACCAUUUUCUUACUAGCUAUAUAAAAAAAUUUUAAUUCAAUUAAUUACAAAAUUAAAUAAUUUCAAUUAUUAAACAAAUUAUAAAAAUUAAAUCCAAAAUUAAUCAACCUAAUUAAAAACUAAUUAGAAAUUAAUUAUAACUAAAUAUGGAACUUCUAAAGCCCAAAUUAUUUUUAUUGACUCAGUAUUUUUUAUACUUAAAGCAUGUGUCUAUUUAUAGAGUCUUUUCAGCAUCACCUGCUUGGUCGAUGUGGGAUUUUUCCCAUUUUCCUUUUUGACUGAUUUUGGUAGGAAAUUGAUAGGAUAUUUAAAUAAUAAAAUAUUUAUUUUUCGUAGGAAAUUGAUAGGUAAUUUCUUACAUAUUAUAUUCGUAGAUAAGUGGUCAAAAAUUUCUGACAAAUUUCCUACCAUUAUUACAGUAAAUUUUUUCCACCGAUUUCCUUCCAUUUUCUGAUCAGAUUUCCUACGGAUAUUUUUUUGGUUGAAUAUUGGUAGGAAAAUUUUGACCAUUUUCUGACGAUUUUUAUCGUAGAAACUUUUCUUCCAAUUUCCUACCACUUUUAUUUUUUGUCAUAAAUUCGUAGGAAAAUGAUAAAAAAAAAUUUCUACCAAAAUUUACGUAGAAAAAUUUAUAGGAAUUCAACAUGUUUUCUUGUAGUGGUAUGUUGGAGGAAUCGAGGACAAGUGUGGUACAAUGACCAUUGAGUAUUACAUAAUAAUGCUUGUUUAGCCAACAUAUCUGCCCAUUGAUUUGCUUCUCGGUGUCGAAAGGUGAAGCUCACUUCAGCGAACAUUUUUUCCAGCUUUUGAUAGCCUCUAUGUAAUGGUGGAGACGCAAAUUAUUUCCUUGCCCAUUGAUGAGUCGGAUAAUGGUUAGAUUAUCUCCUUCAAAUUCCACUUUUUGAAGGAAUAUUUUCAUAUUUUCAUUCACAAUAUUUUCUAAUGGGUCUAAAAAAUGGCACCAUUUCAAUUCGUCAAAUGAAAAUGGUUAGAUAAUUAUAAGUUUGUUGAGAAUUCUUUCUUUAUGGUACUUUGAUAUAUUUAGUGAACUUUGCAAGUAUUGUGUAUGAAUAACCUCAGUAGAGUUUCUUUAGGUUCUCGUUGUACUAUUAAGAAAACAAAAUUUCUCAUCGUGAACUUUGCAAUUUGUGAAUAUUUAGUUUAAAUAUUUUUUCUUUUUUGUAAGACCCUAGAGUACGAAUAAUUAAAUUGCAGUAAUAUAAAAAAACCAAAGACAAUAACAUAAAGUACAGACGAUUUUAUUAUGCAAAGAGUGAAGAUUACAACUCGAACACAGAGACAUACAUUAUUAAGUUUAUUCUCAUAGUUUCUUUUCUUAAACUUGAGUCACUUCAUUACAAAUGCACCAAUGUUUACUUAGAGUCAUACACACGUAUGUGCAUAUAUGAGACUUAAAAGUAUAUUUCAUAGAUUUUAAUGACCGGGCUGAGUCUGAACAGCUUCUGCUCCGUGUCCCCCGCGUCCACCAUGGCCUCCUCCUCCAUAGUGUCCUCCUCCUCCGUAGUGUCCUCCUCCUCCUCCGUAGUGUCCUCCUCCUCCUCCUCCGUAGUGUCCUCCUCCUCCUCCUCCGUAGUGUCCUCCACCGUGUCCUCCUCCGUGUCCUCCUCCUCCGUUGUAACCUCCAUGGCCACCACCAUAUCCAUCAGGUUUCUCAUUUUCCUCACUCUCUGACUUCACCGUGCCUGUUCCAAACACACACAAAAAAAAAACAAAAUUAUUUCAAAAAUAUUUUUAAGCACGUGCAAAUGUGCAUUCCUUUGCCUAUUUCAUAAUUGAACACUUUUAAAAAAUGUAUAGAAAUUCGGGAUAAUGAUGUAGUUGUAGUGACAGAAUUACUCUGAACAGCUUCUAGUCCAUGUCCCCCGCGGCCUCCAUGUCCCCCGUGGCCUCCUCCUCCGUAGUGUCCUCCUCCGUGGCCACCACCAUAUCCAUCAGGUUUCACAGUUUCCUCACUCUCUGAGUUCACCGUGCCUAUCCCAAAAGCGAAACCACAUUAUUUUAUAAAUAUUGUUAGUACGUACAAAUGUGCAUUCCUCUCCCCAAUUUCAUAAUUAAAUUUCUCUUAAAAACUUUCUAAAAUAUGUAUAUAAUUCCGAUCUCUAGUUAUAAAAAAAAUGAGUUCAACAUUAAAUAUACGUUUUAUAUAAAUUGGCGUCAAGCAUCUAAAUAGUUUGGGAGGGUCUAAUAGGUAUAAGAGCAUGUACAUCAGUGAACCCUUAAAAGAGGGGUUUAACAGAAUAUAAUAACAUUUUUUUUUUGUUUUAGUUUUUUUUUUUUUUAAUUCGAAAAUUAUAAUUUUCGACCAUGUUUUAUUUGGGAUGAUACCGUCUCUUCAGGUUCGUCGGGAUGAUACUGUCUCUUUAAUAUUAAGAUCUUUUGUCUCAAAAACCGUGCCAUGAACCCCUCUUGAUCCUCUGAUGUAGAUGCUCUAAGAAGGACUAAACGUCAUAAGUAAGCGUAAGUGUCUUUUCUUACUAGGACAUCAACAUGAUACUUAAGUGUGUUUAUGACUUAGUGAGUCCAAAUAAUUGACCAUCGUUCACCCCAACUUUUCGCAUUUAAAACGGACGAGAUAGUUGGACAAAAUUAUCAAAUGGUACGUUAGUCCGGUUAGAUUAGCUUCACGAUAAUUUUUUUGUUUUCUAUAAAAUAAUUUUACGUACCCGACUGCCUUGCUGAGACGACGAGAAGAAAUGCAAACACACCCAACAGAAGCAAAGUCUUGGAAGCCAUUUUCUUCAAACUGCUUAUAACACUUUUAAUUUGUAUAUAUGGAGAAAGAAGUGAUGAAUAAAAUGUUAGCCUGCAUGCUCUCUAUUUAAGGAAAACGAGGAGGGCAGAAUGAGGAAAAGUCAAAUAAAUAAUUCGUAGUGCAGUGAAAAGAAGUAUUUUUUUAAUUAAAAGCAAAAGGGAGAUUUAGUGUAUCACAAAAUUUAGAGAAAUUGCAUUGUUUGCAGAUAAAGACACACUUUUUAGUAGCAAAUAAAUAAAACUAUAUUUCUUUGCGCAAGCGAACAAAAGGGAGUUGUAUUAUUCUAGAAGAGUUUAGAUCUAAUUUAUACCCCCCAAAAAAUAUAGUUUAGAUAUCUUUAUCUGUAUCAUGCAAUCUUUCUUUGUAAACAUCUUGAAUAGAGUUAAUAUAUGUUACGUGAUUUAUAUUAGAUUGCAUGAAACAAAAAAUACGUGAAACAAAGUGUUUCGAAAAGGAUAACAAUUUUAAAAAUGAUAGGAAACGUUUGCUUUCGGAAACAUAUAUUAUAUAUAAAACAUCAAAAUCAUAUGAAAAACAAAACGAAACAUUAAAACCAAACGAACUUUAAUACUUAUAUAUCAAACAGAUAAAUAAAGAUACAAAUCCAAACGUGGUAAGAAGAUAACGAAAUUUUCAUAUUUUCGAAUUUACUUCAUCUAUCCUACAAAUAAGAUGGUAAGACGAUCGAUAAGUAUGAUCAAAGUAUAUCUGUAUCCGUUGCGUCGAUUCCCAUAUGGUGGGUUGUUGGAUUGUGAUUUGUGAAAAACUUUAACCUCAAUAGUCUUUUAGAUAUUUCUUAUCAACGUCUUUAAACAUAGGAACCAUCGGACAAGUAUUGAACUAUUGAUAUGUAAGAAUUACAUUAUUGGCCAUAACUGGUAUUAUUGUUACAUUAUUAUUACUAUAAUUUGGACACAAAAUUAGUCCACUAUUUGUACUUUAACUCUUUAAGGAUCUUCUUUGAAAAUCUCAGCCGACAGGUUUUUAAGCAGACGGAUAAAGAAUUAAUACGAAGUAAUUACUAAGAACUUACCUUUAAAGGGUGAAAUUUUGCUUGGCUAUAAUUUAUUCAGGCCUACAUCGAUAAAAAAAAAUAAAAAUCAUUCCAGUGACCUAAGUGUAAAGGAGCUUGAGAUAUACGUGUUGAGAAGAUGAGCAUUAUUAAGUGUACAGAAUGUAGCUGCCGUCCUAAUUAUAAUAAAAUAGAAGUUAAUCCGCACAUUGUAAGGGAUAAUGUUUUUUUAAUUAUUUUUAAAUUUAAUUUAAUUUUUUUUAGUUAAAUUAAAAUUGGUGGCAAAAAUAUUUUAACAAAAAAUAUAAAUAAACAAAAUUAAUAAAAAUUAAAUAAUAUAUAUAUAUAAAUAUCACACAACCGAUAUUUAUUUGUAUAUAUAUAUAUAUUAUAGAGUAUGACUUUGAGCUAAUUUUGUUAUGCAGUUUAAUUAUUCAUAAAAUAAGAAUUUAAUUUUGAAUAUUUUAUUAGAGAUUAAACUAUUAUUUUUAGUUAAUAAAUUAUAAUAUAUGUUAAUAAUAAUUAUAUAUAGGAUUAGACAAAUUCGUCUAUUUAAUUUAUUUUAUAAUUUUUAAAAUAUUAUUUCGACCAAUCCGCAAAAAAUAGAUUUUAAACUUUAAAUUAUAUUUUAUUUUUUAUAAUAAUAAUUGAAUUGAUUUUCAAAAAUGAUGCUAAUUAAUUAUGAAAAUACAAAUGAAAAAUAUUGCAAAAUUUAAAUAGUUUUUCAUAUAUAUGGAUUGAUUAUUAUUUAAAAUAAUAGAAUAUAUUUUAACAUUUUAAUAAGUAAAAAGCAAAAUACAUUUUUUAUUUAUAUCCAUAUAUAUUCAAAACAAAUAUGUGAGCUAUAUAUUUAACUAUCUCUUGUGAAGAAAUAUUUAAUUAAAAAUUUUAUAUUUGUAAAAUUUAUUUAUUUAAUAUCUUUUAAGUAAAGGUUUAUUUAUGUAAUAUUUUAUAAAUAAAUAUUUAUUUAUGUAAAAUAUUCUGUAAUAUCUUACAAAUAAAAGUUUCUUUAUAAAAUGUCUAUUCAAAUAAUAAUGUAGAGAUGUAAUUUAAUUAAAGUCUAAUUGAUAUGAACUUCAUAAUUAUUAUAAAAAUAUGAUCAAUUCCAUGCGAGUGAAAAAGAUUUACAUAGUUAUCGUUUAUUUCUCAUACAAAACUAUUUUAAUUUUAAAGAGUAAAACGUAGCAGAAAAUGAAAACUGGAACUUUUUUAGAAUAUGACAGCUAGUUUUAAAAAUGGGAGAUGGCUACAAUACCGUUUCAAAAUAAUAGAUUAAAACUUAAUCCCAGAUAUCCGACUUGUUGAUGGUUUCUAUUUGCUUACGCACACUAAAUAUAUUAACACUCAAGAGAGGGAAAGUGUAAAUUGUAUUAAUGAAAGUGUUAGUGAACCGUAUUACAUUAAUUCCCUUUUAUAUACCAACUAGGUUAAGAAUAAAUACAUAUAUGUUAAUACAUCCCUCUCAAACCGAAUCAACCUUAGGUAGAAAGAGGUUUGAUAAUAAUACACGACUAAGCAAAAAAUGAAAUGGACCUAGAUGCAAAGGCUUCGUCAACAUAUCAGCAAGCUGAUUCGAAGUAGAGACAUGAAGAACAUUUAGGAAGCCAUUCUUCACCUGAUCUCGGGUUAUGUGGGAAUCAAUUUCCACAUGCUUAGUUCUCUCGUGAAAUACAGGGUUAUUGGCAAGAUUCAUAGCUGAUUUUUUUUAUCACAAAACAGGUUGGCUUCAGAAGUUACCGGGAUAUGAAGAUCAGUCAGUAAUUGGUGCAGCCAAAGUAACUCUCCCGUAGUAACAGCCAUGCUCCGAUAUUUGGCCUCCGUGCUGCUUCUAUUAACCAUUUCCUGUUUCUUGGACUUCUAGGUGAUAAGAGAUGUUCCAAGAAAUACACACAGACUCGUUACAGAACGACUGCAUCUGAAAAUCCAUUCAAGCAUAACUCUGUAGUAGCAUAAUAGAAAAAACCUUAGCCCAGAUUUUCUUCAAAUAUUUAAGGAUCUGGAAAGCAGCUUGAAAAUGAACAUUAGUGGGGAAAGACAGAUACUGACUCCACUGAUGCAGCGCAAAAGUGAUAUCAGGACGAGUAAUGCAGAGAUAUUGCAAUCGACCAAUCAAUUCGCGAUAUGAAGUUGUAUCAGAAAGAGACGUACCCGCGGACUGGAUCCAUCAAAACUGAUUUUGGUUUAUAACCAAGGAGACCAUAAUCUUCAAUAAGAUCCAAGCAGUAUUUCCUCUGUGAAACAGAUAACCCCGAAGCAUUCCUUGCAAUCUCAAGACUCAAGAAGAAAUGAGCUUGGCCAAGAUCUUUGGUCUUGAAUGGGAUUGUGAUAUAUUCAUAUCAUUUCGUGUUUAGGAUGCAUUUUUGGUCCAAGAAUAGAGCCUCAUGCAUACAUUUUAGAUAGAUUCUUCAUGUUUUCUUUGUUUUAGAGGUUUAGGACUUUGCAUUAGGUCCAAGUGAGUCUUGCAUGUUUGGAGUGUCAAUCAGGUGCUUUGGAGGUCAUCUGGAGAUGAAAAUAUGGAACCAGGUGAAGAAAUGGUGAAAGAAGGGCAAGAUAUGGUAAAAAUGAGGUUUUGGAGGUUAUCGGCAAAAUUGCUUACUGCGGGAAGAUUUUUAUCGGCCAAAAAUCAUUCCCGGGAAGCAGUUAUCGGCCAAAACAUGUACCAGACCAAGUCUGUAUCGGCAAAAAUCCUUUGUCGUGGGAAAAAAUGUUUAUCGGCUAAAAUACGUACCGCAGUACGUAACUUAUCGGCCAAAACGUGAAUUAUCGGCCAAAAGUUUCCCGACCCGAUAUGCUUCAAAGAUGCCUUUACCAGAAAGCUUUCUCGUCCGAUUCAGUUUCUAGUGUUUUCACAAACGUUCAAGAGAAUUGAGUCACAAUUCCAGAACAGUUGGAAUCAAUGGAUUUGGAGCAGUGAGCUGAAAGAUACGGCCAACAGAAGAUGAAUCUGCCUCGCAUCCAUUCUGGUCAUAUCCGAUGCGACUCAAAGAUCACUCAGGAUGAAACUCUUCCCUUCCAAUCUAGUUUCCGGGGCUCUAUCAAGAUUUGAGAGAUUCGAGUCAUAUUUCCAUAACGCUUAGAAUCAUUCCAUUUGGAGUGUUGAGUUGGGAGAUAUCGCAUUCGGGAGACAGACAUGCCCUGCAGUAAGAAACUAGAACCUCCCGAGCCAAUGCAAUGAUCCGUUUACCGGAAGGCCUCUCUCACCCGGGAUGCACUUAAGUUCUUCAUCAAAGUUGUAUGGAAUUGAGCUGCCUUUCCUCUGGAGUUUCUCUCGAGUCAUUUAGACUCAUAUCCCACAAGUUAUGCUAGCUCAAGUAAACAUAGAUCCGAGGAAAUGAGAAAUGCUGCGACAUGGCUUUGCGACUCGGUCAACUUGCAGCGAUGAAUGUUUAAAUUCUGGGAGCAAGCUGAGACUUGAAAUGAUGCGGGUGAGGUGACUCGGAGCAGGGUAAGGAUUUCCAAAGCUCAAAUAUUUCUAAGUCCAGAACAGCCUAUGACAUGGCAGUGCGAGAUUGAUGAUGAGAUGAACCAUGUCGCACACACACUCGCUUGGGGCCGCGACAUGACAGUGCGAGAUGGAUGAAGAGAAGUAACAUGUCGCACUCCUACUCUCUUGGGGCUGCGAACGUGAAGCUGUGAGUGGGAAAAGAAGGAUUUAAGCUGCAAGUACAAUUGCUUGAAUGAUACGACAUGAAAGUGCGGCUGAAGAAGCAAGGGAGCUGAGACGUAACAACAUUCACUUGGGGCUGCGAGAUGGCAGUGUAGGUGAACUGAAGCCAGGACCAUCUCGCACCAUGGCCACAUGACCCAACUGAACCAGGUCAGUACACAGUUUGUCUUGAGCUGACCCGCUCCAAAACACUUAGUAUAAAUAGCUUUUAGGGUUUUUUUCCAAAGAACAUCUCAUUUUCCUUUAGGUUUUUAGCCACUUUUGUGUAAGAGACAACUAAAGAGAGAUAUCUCCUUUCUUUUCUUUGAAUCAAAAAUGUUUGAGAGCUUAAUCUAUCUAUCUUAUCAUCAUUACUAUUCAUCAUCUUGUUUUCUCUAUCAACUAAUCAUGUUUAAUUACUUUUCUUGCAAAGGAAUCAGAGAGUUAAUCAUGAUUAGUGAGUAGUCGCGUCAUUAGGGUUCUAGAUAUGUAAGUUAGGGUGUUUAGAGGUUUGAUUAAGGCUGCUUAGGAUUAAAUUUAUACAUCUCUGUCUUGUUUAGCUGAUUUUAAUGCUUGGUUAUAGAUGAUCUCUCUAACCCAGAUUUUGGGCAUUUCAUCUACCCAAAACGUGUUUGAUGAAAUGCCUGAACCAGCUAAGUCAAGAGUCUAUUGUUUGAUUCACAUGAAAAUGUUGUUUUGAGCAUAGAUGGUAUAUUAGGAUUCGUGUUUAAUGCAUUCCUUUCAUUGUGACUCUAAUGAUGAUUAGGUAUGAGCAAUGUUUGGUAUUGUGUUUUGAUGCUUGAGAAAUAUUGAAACUUGAUUUGAAUCCUAAGCUGCUUAGAUCAUUCAUCAUCAUUGUCAUUAGCUCCUUGAUUAAACUAUGAUGCACCCUAGAAACUAUCAUGUCUAGAGCUCUAAGUUUCAUCAUAUUCAUAUCAUCUUAAUCAUUUUCUGUCUUUAUUUAUUGCUUGUUUAAUUCUUUAAUCUUGUUUAAUUGCAAUUCUGUCACUUGUUUGAAACUAAAACAUUUUGUUUGUUUGAAUUAAGAAUAGUUCAUAUAGAUUAGUGAACUAAACACCACACCUUGGAUUGAUAACCUUUGUACUACAACAGACAAAGGGAUUGAUACCCUAAGAGCCUUGAAAAAUCUUGUCUACCAUAUUGAGAGAAUCUUCUAAAUAGACUUGACAGCUUCAUCAUCAUUGCUCGCUAUAAGGAUGUCAUCGACAUAGAUCAGGAGAUAAAUAAAUAAUGUACCUGUUAGCUUCACAAAGAGGGUGUUAUAUGCAUAAGACUGUACAAAUCCGGCAUCAAGUAAGACCUUCGACAAACACUUGUACCAUUAACGAGAUGUCUGCUUCAAGUCAUAGAUGGAUUUAUCAAGUUUGCAAACCUGAUUAGCAGGCAGAUGAACAUCAGCUGGAGUGUAACAUCGUGGCAAGCUCAUGUAUAUCUCCUCAUCGAGCUUACUGUGCAAGAAAGCAUUGGUUACAUCCAUUUGGGUUAAGCUCCAACCCAUUCAUGCGGCUAAACCAAGGAUAAGCUUCACACUGGCAAGCUUGGAAACUGGGAAAAGGUGUCAAAGUAAUCAACACCUUUUUGUUUUGUGUAUCCCUUUGCUACCAGGCAAGCUUUAUAACGCUCCACAUUUCCAUCUGCAUUAUACUUAAUGGUAAACACCCAUUUACAACCAACAACAUUUUCCCUCGGAGGCAAUGACACAACACUCCACGUAUUGGUUGACUCCAUUGCUCCGAAUUCCAAAUUGAAAGCAUCAGUCCAUUCUUUGGAUGAAAUCACCUGCUUAAAGGUGUUAGGCUCAGUCUCCAUUGAAAAAGAGAGAACAAUAGACUGAUAUGGGGUGUUAAGAGUAGAGUAAGAGAGAACAGAAGAAAGAGGAUAUGGAGUAGUAUAAACCUUUAUAGAAAUGGGAGGAGUAGAAAUUUUUGUUAAAGAACAAUGAUAAUUGGACAAAUAACGUGGUACUUUUGUCGAGUGUUUUAGCCUGGCAUUGGGAAGUGAAACCAGAGCAUUCUCUGUGACAACAGGGUGAUGGAUUUUCCUUGGAGCACUAGAGUGAGAUGAUGAUGCAUGUGAUGUAUAAAGCGGAGGAGAAUGGAUGGUCACAGUAGAUGAAGGAUGCAAAUUAUUAGGCAGUGAAAUCACCUAAUCUAAUGCAACAAGAAUUGGCAAUGGUAAUAUAAACUCUAAAAAAAUAUCAGAAGAUGAACUAGAAAGAAGAUGCUCAGUAAAAGGAAAUAUUGUCUCAUGAAAAACAACAUUUCGAGAAACAGAGAUAAUUUUUGAAUCAAGGUUCAAGACAUUAGAAUACCCUAAGAGUACACAUCGAUCCACACGAGGACUAAAAUUAUGUUUAUCCUUCUGUAACGUAGAAACAUAACAUAAGCAGCCAAAAGAUCUUAAGAAUAAGUAAUCGGGCUUCUUAAGCAUAACCAACUCAUAUGGAGAUUUGUGUUUAAGAAUAACAGAAGGUAAUCUGUUUAUCAAAAGACAACUCCAAAUGAAGAUCCGCUUGCGGCUAUAGCUAGAUCUGAGAGUUGCGAAUAUGCUUACAAAUUUUCAGGCUGAUCCAAUCCGAUUUGCCUGUCUGUUUCUCUCUUACACCAUAACAGGUCGGAUCUGCCACCUAGAUGGUUACAAUGGCUUCGCCUUUAAGGUUCUUGGCCACAAGAUAGCUCUCUGAUCUCUUCUAAGACAUGGCUGCUCUAUUUAUAGAGUGGAGAAGAGAUACUUCUAAAUUUAGAGUUUUAGAGAGGAAAAUAAUGAAAAUGGGUUUGAGAGUUUUUCUGAUGGGUUUUGAGUAAUCAGGCUGAAAAAAAAAAAAAAAAUUAGACCAAACCCUAUUCUUGGGAUGUCACAGAUUUAUUAGAGAAUAUAUUUACAUGAGUUUAUAAUUAUUUGUAUGAUAUUUACAUGAGUUUAUAAUUAAAUCGUACAUUAACAUAGCAUCGUUAUUGGAUAGUUAGUCGGAUCGGUUCAACCGGUCAUACGAAAAGUUUGUUUAAUAUAUAUAUAUAUAUAAGAAAAUAAGAAUAGUUAUUUUAAGAAAAAUAAAGAAAAUAAAAUUAAUUUCUUUUAAUUAUUUACAACUGCCAGCCAGCGAUUACAUCCGUCGCUUGAAGAAACUUAUUAUCUAAAUGAAUAAAUAAACUUUUAAUUUAUAGCGGUUCUAAGCGUCACAAAGAGAUAAGAAACAAGUUCAACGGUUUUAGUGAUUGUUAUUAAACGUCACGAAAAUAUAACCGUAUGCAAACAUAGCGUAUGUGGCUGGCAGCGAGAAAACUAUCCAACACUAAAUAUUACAUAUUUACUUUAAAAUUCAUGCCUGCUUAUUACCAAACCAUAUUUUUACCAAUUUUAAUUGUGACAUUUAAUGUCCGCACAUGCGUACAGGCCAGUCAUAAAUCUGAUAUAUUGCAUUCACAUCAAUUUGUGUGUAUUUUUGUUUUGAUAUGUCUUCUGAUUUUUUUCUGUCCUAUGUAACCAUUUUUUGAUAAUUUUAAUUGGUUGAUCAUUAAUCUUUACGUGUCUUUUAAAAGUGAUGUGGUAUAAUCGUUUUAAUUAGAUUAUUAAAGCUCGUUUAAGAUUGUCUUUUUAAAAACGACAAAAAAAAUCGGACAAAGUAAGUAAUAAAAAUAAAUGUAUGACCCAUAUAUUUGAAAGUGUCACUGGCCCAAUGGCAGAAGUCUCCCUUAUGCAUUUGAAGGACAUGUGUUUGAACCAAGGUGGUAACAAUUUUUUAAAAAAUCGUAGAAUUUUAAAACGACAUCGUUUUGAGUUAACCUAACAGUAACAGCAGAGUUAACAGCGUUUAACUUUUCUGUUAACUUUAUAAACGGAGUGCUGAUUUGGCAAGUCAACGAAAAGUUUGUUAUUAUUUAUGGAAGUCAACAAAAAUUAAAUGUUUAUUUGGCUAGCCUGACAGUUCAUGCUUUUUUUUGGCAAAAUGUGGAAAGUUUAAGGUUUUUUUGGCCGAAUUCUCAAAAUAAACUCAUUAAAGUUCGUUUAAAUUGUUUUUUUAACCAAUAAACAUUAAAACCUGUUUAAGAUUGUCUUUCUAAAAACCAAUUAAAGUCUGUUUAUAGUUGUUUUUAUUAAAACCAAUGAACUCAAAAAACCUAAUAUACUUCUUCGAUACACUAAAUAUAUAUAUAUAUAUCCUCUCUAACAUAGUUUGUCUUUUAAUGUUCUCUUUUUCGGUAAACAUUACAUUUGCUUUUUUCUAUUAAUUUUAUUAACGUACGCUUGAGUUUGAGUUUGUUGCUUGUGCUUAUAAAUUUUUUUGUAACAAUUCCUAAUCUUUUUAAGAUUAUGAUUGAAAAUGUUAGUAUAAACAACCAUAGUUUAAAAAAUAGCAUCAAUGUUCACAUACUCGUGAAACAAUGUAUAGCAUCAAGUCUAUCAAUUUUUUUGGUCUCUUAUUUUAGAUUUGAUGCGGCAAAAAGAUUGCUUUGGGAACCAAGUCUUUUUUUUUGUUGGAAUUAUCUUCUAUUCUUGUCAGUUUUUAUUUUUCAUGCAAACGUUGACAUUAAAAUCUCUUUGUUAGAUUUGAUACCAUAUUAAAUUUCAAAUCUGAAUUAAUCAUUAUAUUUAUACAUUAUUAUUAUGGAUGAGUUUAUUUUCGUUAUCUGUAGCCCAAACUCUCUUCCCACGAAAAAAACGAUUAAACCAAUAAUAUUUAUUAUAAACAGGCCGAUAGACUUUAGUAUAAACAAGUUUCAAUAGCCUAAUUAUAACAAAAUUUGUCACAUCGCUUUAAAGCACGUAUAGAAUUAAUGAACGAACAAAAAAUAAAUACAUGACAUGUCAGGACAAAACGACACAUAAGAUUUUGGACUUCACAAAUAAUAGUAACUAGGAAUUAACAUGCACAUUGUGCGGGGUAAUGUUUUUAAGAAUUUUAAAUAUUUUUUAAAAAAAUUUUGGUUAAGUUAAAAAUUGGUAGCAAAAACCUUUUAACAAAAAAUAUAAAUAAAUAAAAUUGGUAGCAAUUAGAUAACUAUAUAUAUAUAUAUAUAUAUAAAUAUCAUACAACCGAUAUUUACGUGUAUAUGUAUCUAUUGAAAGAACUUUGAGCUAGUUUUGUUAUGCGGUGUAAUUAUUAGUAGUUUUUAAAUGUGAAGGUGAUGUGAUGUUAAUAUAUUCAUACUUAUAUACUGCUGGGAUAAAUUCGAUCCUUCCUACAUGGACGAACUGCAUGCUUGCACGUGGCGUCCAUGUUUUUUUUUUCAGGUACGGCCCCCCUGGGCCAAAUUAGGAUCCGUAGUGGGUCGUAAGCAUAUAGCACUGGGCCUCGAAUCCAUAAGGAUUCGGGAGAUCCGGUACGAUAGAUCACUUGUUCCCGGGUUCCUCGUAUCUAAUAGUGCAGGCCACGCUGUCAGAAGUAAGGAGGUCGAAACUGAGUGGUCAAGAGGAGGAGAAGUCCCAUUUUCUAUGUCCUAGGCCUAAACAUGGUAAUCCGGAAAGGUCGAGAUAUAAGGUAGUGUGGCCUACACAGGAUCUGGAGAGCGGAGUCAUCCAUCGAGACAACCCCGACAGCCCGGUCCCAGUAUCGAGGGAUCCAUGUCAGGUAUGAAAUAAUUUUAUGAGCGGAAAACACUAUUCAAAUUUUCCUCCAUUCGAUAAUAGGAAUAUGCCUUAGUAUGAUUUGAUUGCCCAUACUCUUACAAAACCAUGAAAUUGGCAUUUAAUGCACCCUUCUUACAUGUGUCAGGCGACAGCGACCUUUCACAGAAACUAGAGGAAAAGAAGAGGUUCAUCAAGAGUUAUACCGCGUAUGAACCGCCAACCCAAUCCGUACACUGGAGACGAAAGGAACAUGCUAAGGAGCGGUCUCGCAGCAGGCAGAACACGUCAAGGAAAGUUGGUGAGACCGUCAGAGGUAUGACGUGGGAAAAAGAUUUGAACCCAAUAAAAUCGGAUCGAGAACCGACCAACCCACCCGACUCGCUAUGCAAGGACAGACCCGGUAUACUAACCCGGGUCAGGUAAAAUCCUAUAAAUACAUUAUCCUUUCCAACAAGGAAGGAGAUCACUUUUAUUUGCUAUCUUAAGGCUCAUAUUAUCUCUCUAGAUACUUGUGAUCUUUGAGCCCUAACAUAUUAUACUUUCCGGUCAUUACUCAGAACAAUGUUUUAGUUCUUCUCCACGGCGGUUCCUAAAUCGUGGAGUAUUUCCACCCACAAACUCUUUCAUUUCUUCUCUUUUAACUAAUUCUUUAUAAGGAACGCUGGGCCCAUCUUUCUUCUCUCGUUUUCCGAACUCUUUCCUCUCUCCAAUUAGUCACUCUGUGAUCUUUCUUCACUGUUUUCUGACUUGAACGUCGGAGAACCUUCCGAAAACACACCAUCAUCGUGUUUUUUGGGCCUUCACGUGCUUUCUGUUUUUGCAAGAGACUUACCCCCACAAAGGAUCAAAAAUCUCUAAAUAGUUUAGCGCUAGAAAGAGGAGGGCAACACUCUUCUAUAGGAAGAACUGAAACCAUACACGACCUUGAAGGUAUGUCAUGACAAGAGAAGACGGAGGUAGCUCACCAGAGAACGACACCUUGGAGGGGAUGGAAGGAGAGAACAUCUGCUGGGUCGACAGACCGACCAAGCUAUUCUCGGGAUGCCCGAUGAUAAGGGGAACAUCUUUGGUUCCCCACGCCGCCGCCAAACGCACACUCAGAACUCGUCCAGAGUGUAGAAGAAAAUGCCCUGUAAAAUUCCUUACAUCCAAAAACCUUAGUGAAAGUGUUGGCAAACUGGUCAUUAUAUAUAACAAAUGAGUUAAAGACUCGUGGGCAAUGCCCAAUAAAGUCUGCCAUGGAUUGGUCCUGUACAACAGUUUUUAUAUCAAUUAAAAAGUGCAGGCCUCGUAGGUUGAUCGAUUGCAGUUUGCGGAUUAAACAAUUGGGAUCUAUACUAGUUUCGGCAAAGAUAAUUGACAAGAACGUCCAAAACCGGCUAAGUGAAAGACAACGUCUUGGAGACCAAAAGUAUGAAAGAAGCCUCAUGUAUUGGUUUGCCACACACAAAAAAAAAACUAUUUGUUUUUAGUUUCCAUUUUAUAAAAAAAAACUAGGUAUUUAGCCCUUUUUUGCAUGGGCAGAGAAGUUUAUUAAAUAAUACUAGGAGAGAAUCCGCGCGUAUGCGCAGAUCUUGUUUUAAUUUAUAUUUUGAAUAAUUUGUAUUGAAUUUUAUGUUUACUAUUAUUGUAUUUUUGUUUAGAAUAUUUAUAAUAAAUUAUUUGUAAUCUCUUCUACACCAGUUGUGUCAAAUAGUCUAAUUUUUUCUUCGAUCUUCAUAUUCUUUUUAUUCUUGUAAAUCUUACUAAUAUAAUAUUUGUUAAUUUUCUUAAUUUUCUAUUUGAAUUUUUUUGGUUAUAUAUAUUUUAUUGAUACCAUCUUUUUAUUAUUAAAAAAAUUAUAUAUGACAUUUUUAUGUGGAUACUUUUUUUUACUAUUAUUUUUUUAAUAACUUUUAUCUUUUUAAUAGUUUAUUAAAUAUGCUUUGUGUUUUAUACUUUUAUUAGUUGAAUUUUUAUAUAAGAUUAUUUGAAACUUUUUAAUUUAGUCAGUCUCAUAAUUUUUUUCACUUGCAUUAAAAUUUAAUUAUAUUUUUAGUUUGUAAAUGAAUUUUAAAACAUUUGAAAAAAGAAAAUAGAACUAUGCAAUUAAAAAGUCUUAUAUUAUAUAAUAGUUAUAAGUUUUUAUAUAUUAAAAUUAAAUUUUAAUUUUAUUCUAAUAUAAAUAUAUGUUAAUAUUUAUUUAUGUUUUUAAUGUGUUUGCUUUAAAUAUGAUUAAUUAAUUAUUUUGUUAAUAUUUGAAGAGGAUAGGUGGUGCUCUCUCCAGUGCUGACGUGUCGCUCAACUGGAGAGAGUUGGCCAAAUUUUAUAUAUAUGACUAGGAGAAUACAUGCACGUAAUAUGCGGGUUUUUUCUUUAAUUAUUUCAAAUUGAUAUAUUUUUGUAUUUUUCUUAAAGAAAUAUAGUCAUCAUUUCUUCUAUGUUACUAUAUAAUUAUAAAUCAAUCAAUUUAAAAUUUAAUAUUAUUAAAAAAUCAAGAGUUUAUACAAAAAAGCUAUCAAUGUUUUAGCAUAAAUUCUUGUUUAAUAUUUAUAUAACUGUUAUUUAAGAAUCAGUUAAUAAAAAAAAACUAUUUUCUUUGAAUGGUUGAGAAUUUAAUACUAAAAUUUAUUAAUCAAUUUUUUUUUGAUAAUUGUAACUUUAAAUUAAAAAUUGACAAAUGUCAUCUCUAUAUUAACUCUAAAAUGCUGAUGUGUCACUCAUAUAUAGAGAGUUAGCCAUCUUUUAUAUAUAAGAUUAUAAGUAAACAAUAUAUUUGGUAGUUUAAUCUUCAUCUCUAAAGUAAUCAUUAUUUGCAUAGAUUAGUUUUAUGCAUUAUUUUAUUCAUUCAACUUUUAGCCUCAAAUUUCUCCUUUUUUGGCUAAAUUGACUAUCCUUACUGAUUUUUAUCUUCUCGUAAGCGUAGACGUGAAACCAUUUUAUCCAGUUGUAUGUAACAAAUCAAUCUUUUUUGCUAGCUUUGAUACCAUAUUUAGUUUCAUCUCUGAAAAUUUCAUUAUAUAUACAUUAAGUUUAAAGAUGAUUUUAGUUCUUCAUUCUCUUGAAAUUUCUCCCUGUUUAACGAAAAUUGUCUCUCUUUGGUUGAUACUUAUCUUUUAUGCAAGCGUGGAUACAAAACUUUAAUAUCAUGUUGAUACCAUGUUAAACUUUUUUAAAAUUAUAGUCAUUAUUUAUAGACAUUAAAUAUAUAGAUUAUUGUAACUAGGUGAAUCUCCGCACGUUACGUGCAAGUUUUUUUUUCUUCAACUAUUUCAAAUUUCAAAUUCCUAAGAAAAAUGCAAUCCUACUUUAUUAUGUGUUAGAAUAUUAUUAUAAAUCGAUCAUUUAAAAUAUAAUAUUAUUAAAAAAUUAAGAUUAUACAAAAAAAAAUCCAUCAAUAUUUUUAAUUAAUUAUAACAUAAAUUCUUGUUUAAUAUUUACAGAAAUAUUAUUUAAGAAUCAAUUAAUAAAAAACUUUUCAUUUUCUUUUAGUGUUUUAAAACUUCAUAUAAAAUUUAUUAAUUAAUUUUCCUUAAAAACUUUUGUAACUUUAAAUUAAGAAAUAUGACACAUAUCAUCCCUAUAUUAACUCUCAAAUGCUGAUGUGGCAUUCGUAUGAAGAGAGUUGGCCUUCUUUUAUAUAUAAAAUUUUUCAUUCUCUCUAGUCGGAAAUUUCUUCCUCUUUUGUCGGAAUUGUCUUUUGUUCUUCUAUGUUUUUAUAUUUCAUGCAAGCGUGUACAUAAAAUUAUUAUAUCAGAGCGUAGGUAAACAAUUCUUUUGUUAGCUUUGAUACCGUGUUAAGUUUCAAAUCUGAAUUAGUCAUUCUUUUAUACAUUAUUUUUUAUGGACGAAUUUAUUUUCAUUCUCCGUAGUUCGAUCUCUCUUCCCACGGAAAGACGAUUAAACUAAUAAUAAGAAAACCGCAGACUUUACAUUGAAACGAGCUGCAGAUAAAAUUUAGAAUAAAAUGGACUUUAAUGAUCCAGUUAGUAUGAACUAUGACACAUCACUUUCAAAACACACAUAGUAUAAAUGAACAAUUUAUUAAAAAGCUAGCUUUAAUACCAUGUUAGAAAAUAAACUAAUCCUUUUUGCUAGCUUUGAUACCAUGUUUAGUUUCAUCUCUGAAUUUUUCAUUAUAAAUAUACAUUAAGUUUAAAGAUAAUUUUGGUUCUUCAUUCUCUAGAACUUUUUCUCUGUUUAACGGAAAUUAUCUCUAUUUGUCAGUACUUAUCUUUUAUGCAAGUACAGCCACAAAAUUUUGAUAUCAAAGCGUAGGUAAUUAAACAAUUUUUUUGGUAAUUUUGAUAUCAUGUUAAUCUUUAUCUUCAAAAUAGUCAUUGUUCAUAUACAUUAAUUUUAUAGAUUAUUUUAAUUCUUCAUUCUCUCUAGCUGGAAAUUUCUUUCUAUUUUGUCAAAAUUGUCCUUUAUUUUUUUGGUUUUCAUCUUUCAUGCAAACAUGGACAGAAAACUAUUAUAUCAGAGCGUAGUUAAACAAUUCCUUUGUUAGUUUUGAUACUGUGUUAAGUUUUGAAUCUGAAUUAAUCAUUAUUUUAUACAUUAUUUUUAUGGAUGAAUUUAUUUUUGUUCUCCGUAGUCUAAUCUCUCUUCCCACAGAAGGACGAUUAAACCAAUAAUAAGAAAACCAUAGAUUUUUUAAUUAAAUAAGACCGCAGAUAAAAAUUAGAAUAAAAUUGACUUUAAUGAUCCAGUUAAAAUGAAGUAUGAUACAUCACUUUUAAAAUACAUGUAGGAUAAAUGAAUGACCUAUUAAAAACAUUAAAAAAGUCAAUAAGUUAGAAAAUAAACUAACCACACAUCAGAUUUUUUGCUUCAGAAAUAUAUCGAUUGAAAAACAAUGUUGCACUUGAUGUACAAAUGGCUUUUGAUUGAAUAACUAUUACAUUCAAUUAAAAAAACAAUAACGCCUAGAGAGACUAGAAGUGCCUUUAACCAAAGUAAUUAACUAACCGUCAACACCAUAGAUGGCGCGAUGCUCUUCGACAGAGGAUCAAGACACAAGCUGCUGUUUUUGAGACUUCAAAGAUAUAGAACAACCACCAAACUGAAUAAUAGAAUCUGUAUAAUAACGUCUUGUUGUUGGGCAUCAUGCCCGGCCGGAACUGCCCCAUGCAAUAAGAGACAGAUGAGUCUUAGCUUUUAAAAGAAAACCAUGUCACAGAUUGCCUUUGACCUUGAGUAAACAUAUAAACCUUGUUGUUGCAUCCCAAUGAGUCUGUUUUGGUUCUUGCAUGAACUAAGCAACAAUGUGGACCAGUGUUAAUCUGCAGGUUCAGGAAUUGUACCUCUUUUAACUAAAGCAAGACGUACGAUGGUUCUUCUCCAGAGGCACAGGUCUCCGAAAUGAUAUUAUGAUGGUCACAAAAUGUGAAAGCAGUUUUAAAAAUGUUUCCUACCUAAAAUCCCAAGCGCAAGGCUGAAAUCGAAGUAGUACUAGGUACAAAUUCACAGGGAGGAAGCAGAGUCGACCCUUGGCCAAUCCAAGAAAGCCUAUACUUCCGGCUGAUUCUUUUAUAAAAAAAUAUUUGGUCCUCAAUUAUUCAAAACUUGUCUUAGUCUGGUCAGACUGAUCGUAAAGUCUUAUGUGGCGCUUUUAGUCCCCAUUCCGUGUUCGAAUCUGCAAAUUGCCUUAGUUGUUGGGUCUAUAUGAAAAACGUUGAGAGUCUUUAGAUUUCUGGUAGUCUAUACUCUUAAGGGAAAAAUAAACUUCCUUGGCAGCCUGUUAUAAUCUUAUUUCUUGGACCCAACAGUACGAACAAUGAAAUCGCACUACACAAAACCAAAGAGAAUAUAAUACAGAGACAACAUAAACAACAAACGAUAUUAUUAUGCAAAGAGCAGACAUUACAACUCGAACACUGAGACAUUACAUUAUGAAACUUUAUUCCCAUAGAUUCUUUUUCUUGAGUUACUUCAUUACAAACUCACCAUGGUUCACUUAUAGUCAUACACACGUAUAACUGUAUUAUAUAGAUGUAGCCAUGCAUGGUGGUUAAUAUAAUAUGAAGUUUUUAGUUACCAGGCUGAGUCUCAACUGCUUCUACUCCGUGCCCUCCUCUUCCUCCGUGUCCACCGCGUCCUCCUCUUCCUCCUUUGUAUCCUCCCCCUCCUCCUCCGUAGUGUCCCCCUCCUCCUCCGUAGUGUCCUCCUCCUCCUCCUCCUCCGUAGUGUCCUCCUCCUCCGUAGUGUCCUCCUCUUCCUCCUCCGUAGUGUCCGCCGCGGCCACCACCAUAUCCAUCAGGUUUCACAGUUUCCUCACUCUCUGACUUCACCCCUGUCCAAAAAAAUAUAGAAAAAUCACAUUAUUUCAAAGAUAUUGUUUAGCACGUGCAAAUGUUCUUUCCUCUCCCCGAUUUCAAAAACGAAAUUUCUCUUAUAAACAUUUUAAAAUAUGUAUCGAAUCUCUUGUUUAGAAUAAAGAAUUAUGAGUUUCAAAAUUAAAUAUACGUUCUAUAUAAAAUUUUCACCAAUAUACGUAAGUGUCUUUUAUUACUAGGACAUCAACAUCGUACUUAAGUGUGUUUUUUGACUUAUAAGUCCAUAUAGUUGACCUUCGUUCAAAUCAACCUUCCGGACUUAACACGGACGAAAUAGACAAAUAGAGACAAUAUUAUCAAAUAUGGUACGUUUGUUUGGGUUCGAUUAGCUUCACGAACAUUUAUUUUGUUUCUAUAAAAUAAUUUUAUUUACCCGAUGAUUGCCUUUCUGCGGCAACUUCUGAGACGACGAGAAGUAAUGCAAAGAGACCCAAAAGAAUCAAAGCUUUGGAAGCCAUUUUCUUCUACUGCUUUUAAGUUUAUAACACUCUUUUGUUUUGUUGGAGAAAGAAGUGAUGAAUAAAAUGUUCGCCUGCAUGCUCUCUAUUUAAAGAAAGGGUAACGAAGAGGAGAAAAGUCAAAUAACUAAUCCGUGGACCGUAGUGCAUUAAAAAUAACGAGGAAUUUUAUUUAUUAAAGAGAUAAGUAAGGGUAUUUGCAUUAUUUGCAGAUAAUGACAAAAAGAGCAAUUCAGUAAAAUAGGAUUGAGACUGUGCUUCGCGCGGAUUGUAAUUUAUGUUCAUGUUUUUAUAUAUUUUAUAUAUUAUUUCUUAAGAAAUAAUUUGUUGAUAAUUUUUUCUUAGUUUAAUAGUUUUAUUUUUAAGUUUACAUUGUAUUAACAAUAUCUGUGUUCUGUUAGUUAUUCUUACUGGUAGAUUAAAAACUCUAUAAAUUAAUAAUAUUAGGACUUUGAUAUUUUAUUAAUUUUUAGAGUUAUUAAUUUAGAGGUUUCAAAUAAAAAACUAUUUCUUAUUAAUUUUAAAAUUAAAAAAAAAUCGUUGAAAUUUAUAAUAUUUUUAAAAAAUUAAAAAAAAUAAAAAUGAGUUCCAAGAAGACUUCAAUUUAAAUUAAACAAAAACAUAGUAGAUUAUCUCACUUAUAUGUUUAUAUCAAAUUUUAUUUAUGGUAAUUAUUAAUUUAUGAUAAUAAUGGGACCAUAGAUUUACAUAAGAGUUUUGUUAAGUUUAUUAUCUUAUUAUCUUAUCGAAUUGUGUCAUAAUUUGAACUGGCUCAACGUAACUCAGAACUAUGAAAAAUUAUUAAUUUAUGUAUUUAUUAAUUUAUCGAGUAUUAAUUUAUAGAGUUUUUAUUGUAUGUCUAUAUAAAAAUAGUUUUUUUAAUUAUAUUAUUAACUUCUGUAAUUUUUUAUUUUGUGUGUUUUUAUAUUUUAUCUGUACUAUUGUGUGACUCUAAUUAUAAUUAUUUAAAUUAUUUUUUUAUUUUUCUUAAUUUAUACUCUCUAAAUUAUUAUUUUUUAAUUCAUACUCCGUACAAAUUUUUAUUUUUAGUCAUCUAUUAUUUUGAAUUGUUGAAUAACUAAUUUAUCAUAUUUUUCUUUUUUUGAAAAAAAAAUUUAUACUCCUUUUCCAUCUUCAUAUUUUUAUAAUUUAUUAGUUUUAUCUUUUUUUUUUUUUUUAUCUUUAACGUUUCUGUUUUUGUAUUUUAUAAAAUUCAUCUUCAUUAGUUUCAUGUUCUUCAUUUUUUUAUUUAUUUUUUUCAUUUUCCAAUGGUUUUUGACUUCUACUUUUCUUCCUCCUGUUUUUUUUUAUUCUUUUUUCAUUGUCUUUUUUUUUAAUUAUCAUCAUUUUUCUAAUUUUUUUCAGUUUAUAUAAUAUAUUAUUUUUAAUAAUAUAUAUAUAUUUAAUCCAGUUAGUAUUACAGUUUUCUUUAAAUAUUAAUAUCUAAUUGCCACUUAUCUUUUUAUUAUACUAAUAUUUAUUUUAUUUAAUUUAAUUUGUACUAAAUAUACUAAUAACAAAUAUAAAUAUAUAUAUAUAUAUGUAUUAAAUGUUUAUUUUAAAUAUGCUUUAAUGUUAAAAUUUAUGAGUUUGUUGAUGUGGACACCCUAGAUGGAGAUAAAAUUCUCUUAUUAUAUUACAGAUUAUAAAAUAUUUGUUCUUUCUCAAGGGAACAAAAAUACUUUUUUAUUUUUUUGUUGAAUGUUUCAUUUGAUUGUUAAGGGAAAAAACAGUUUUUUUGUCCCAUAUCGUGUUACAUUUUUAUAUGGACAGGUAAUUUUUUUUUUUUAGGGCUAAACAAAUUUUAUAUAUUAAGAAUAAGGAUUACAAUCUGCAAAUACAGCAUUAGACAACCAUAAAGGUGGAUACAAUUUUGAUGAAUAAAAAACAGCAUUACACAACCAUAAAAGUGGAUACAAUUUUUAUAUGGACAGGUAAUUUAUUGAUUGGAUUUUUUUAUACAGUUUAUUAAAAUAAUUCGAAUGUUUCUCCUCCACGUAUCAUGCUACUUUCUAUUGAAUGAAACCUUUGUCUCAACUUUAAUUUUAUAUUUGAAGUAUAUAAAUAAUUUAGUGCGUUAAAUAUCGGUUUAUUUAUAUAUUUUUUUCUUGAUGGUUUAUUUGUGUUUGAGAAUUUUUUUUUUUUAACAUUUUCUUAGAUUAAUUAAAGAAAUCCAGCCGGUUAAAGCAGUACAGUGAAGCUGUAAAGAGCUCGUUCUGCUAUCUCAUCAGUUAAAAGAUUGUCUGAUUGAGGAAUGUGUUCGAAAAAGAUGCAAUUGAAACAGAGUGACAGAGAGACUAUAUCGAAAGUAAUCCCCGCGAUCUCUUUGAUUUUUGUCCCUCGAUUGAUUGCUCUGAUCAGAUCCGAAGAGUCCGAUUGGACAUGAAGCUUUGUGAUCCCGAGAUUUGUGGCGUGAGUCAUGGCAGAUCUCAGGGCUAGAGCUUCAGCGAUGAUCGGGGAGGUCACAAAUUCUUCGAUAUCCAUACCCUGGUUCCAUGGUGGCGAAUUUCCUCAACGGAAAACCCAACCCAAUCUGCCGAUCUGAUUCUCUUCCUUCCAGGCCACAUCGGUUUGCACAAUGGUAUGGUCUGUUGGGAUUUCCUUCGGAUCUCAUGUUUGAAGAGUUGAAAUCUCCCUUUCCUGUAGGUCAUGUGCCUGAAUCCAAUCUCUUGCAUUGCAGAUGGCUUUGUUCACCGUUUCUAAUGGUGUGAAUGUUCUGUUCUCGAACAGUCGGUGGUUCCUGGAUAACCAGAUGGCCCAGCAGAUCCAGGGGAAGAGUAGUCCGGCUUCUAUUCCUGUUGGAGGUAGAGUGACCCAUCCCUUCGAUGCUUUGAGCCCUGUUGCAAAAUCCGGAAUGAAAAAGGGAUCUAUGGUGUAUUUGAAGGGCGCCAGUGACCAAACCGCCUUGGCGAAGUGACAGUAGAGGAAAAGGUGGUCAGCUGUUUCUCUUUCUCUGCAUAGACUGCAGGAAGCGUUGUUGGAGAGUCCCCCGGUAAGUAGAUUUGCUCCAGUUGGUAGUGCUUUCUUGAGUAUCUUCCAUAGAAAGACCUUUAGUUUUAGGGAAGUUUUCUUAUGCCAGAUAUCUGAGUUCCAGUUAAUUGUGGUUGUCUGUGCAUGAGAGAGUGGUUACUUCAUUCGCUGAUGUGUCGCUGUGUGGUAUCCUGACUUGGUCGAAUAAUUUCCAUCUCUGUUUGGGGUCCAAAUGUAAGAGUCUUCUCCGCCUCUUUUGCUUGGUUUUAUGCUUAAGAUCACAGAUGAGAGGUGUGGGACAAUAACUUCAAUCUUUCUUGUGUCCCAGGUGGUUGAGUUCUCUUUUAUUAGGUCUGAGACCAGCAGAUCUUUAUUGGCGUUGGUGGGAAGGCCAACUACUCCUAGCAGUGAUGUCGUCGAUAGCCAGGGAUCGGACCAUAGGUUGGUUUUUCGUCCAUUUCCAAUUAUUUUGCUUAUAUUUGAUUGCAGGAUAUCUUUGCCAAUCAUGAUUCCCCUCCACCCGUGGGAAGAGGAAGAUGUUGAUUCAGCUCUGAGGAAGGUUGUGGACCGGUGGUAUCUUCUUUUGAGAACUCGGGCCAGUAGACACUAUGGGUUUAUCAAGAUUCUCCAACUCAGUUUGGCCAGUAAGGUGUCGUUGAAGCACUCAAUGUCACAGAAACCAAGACCACCCUCUUUCUUUGUUCUUGUUAGCUUUGACCAUGCUAGCCAACACAUUUUUCUUUUUUCAGGGUUGGCGUCCCACCAAAAGCGAGUAAGAGCGGAUUGGAUGCGUUUGCAGAGACUUGCAGGGAGCUUGAAGCACGACAUCGUGUACGCUGGGAUGGCUGAGAGAACUGUCUUCAGCAUCGUGAUUUUACCCGCCGAUGAUAGAAAUUUUGUUGACCAACUCGUUGACGUAUCCUGUCCACAAUCUGAGUAAAGAGGUCUUUUUUCCUUCUCCCAAAAUGUUCGGGUAAGCCAAGGUACUUCCCUUUACCUCCCUCUUGACUGAUUCCCAGAUCCUGUUUAACUCUUUCUCGUACAUCAUCAGGAGUUUUGCAUGAGAAUGUAAAGGAUGAUUUUUGUAGAUUGAUCUUCUGUCCCGAGGCUUCUUCAUAUUUCCUGAGAAUUGCCAUGAGUUCUGCGCAGGCUUGGGGGGAUGUUUUACAAAAGAACAUUGUGUCAUCCGCAAAUAGUAAAUGGUUUAUUCUUGGGCUUUCUUUUGCAACUCUAAUGCCUGACAAGCGGCCAUUCUGUUGAGCUUUUUUGCAGAGACCAGAGAGCACUUCACCACAUAUGAUAAAUAUAUAGGGUGAUAGUGGAUCACCUUGUCUGAUGCCGCGUUGAGGGAGGAUUGGAACGUACGCUGGGUCAUUCACCAGAUACGAAUAGGAGACUGAGGUGAUGCACAUCAUUAUCCAAGUAAUCCACUUCUCAUUGAACCCAAGCCUUUUCAGCACCGUUUCAAUGAAGCCCCAUUCCAGGCGAUCAUAUGCCUUACUCAUGUCAGUUUCAACUGCCAUGAAGCAGUGUUUUUUCUCUUUAGAUCGUUUGAGGAAAUGUAGAGUCUCAUGUGUUAUCAUGACAUUGUCUGAUAUGACCCUUCCAGGGACAAAAGCUGAUUGGGAUUCUGAAAUGUUUUUUUUCCAGGAUAGGUUGGAGCUGCUUGGUGAGAAUCUUCGAGAAGAUUUUGUAAAAGACACUACAGAGUGCGAUUGGCCGGUAGUCGGAGACUGUACGUGGAGCAUUGUGUUUUGGUAUCAGCCGAACCAAAGUAUGGUUGAUGGAGCUGGGGAAAGAUCCGGAACUAAAGAAACUUUUGAUCUCUGAAGUUAUUGCAGGGCCUACUGUUGUCCAGUUUGAUCUGAAGAAAGAUGCAGAAAAGCCAUCAACUCCUGGAGCUUUAUCCAGAUAGAUGGAGAAGAGAACAUCGUUUGAGAAUAUCAAAUAAAUAUAUUUUAAAAGUUUUUAAAAAAUUAACUGCUACAGUUUCUACUUAUAUUUUUAUUAAUGCAUUUUAAAAACUUAAACCAGUUCAAAAAUUGAAACCAAAUAGUAUUAAAUUUGUAUACUAUAUAAAAAAAAAAAAUACACACUACUACCGAUAAAGUAAGCUACUAGUUAAGCUCAUUGCUUAGUCUUGUUGUACUUCUAGUUUGAUUUACAAUGGAAAUAGAAAAGAUGUUUUACGCCAUAUCAUAUAGUAUUAGCAAAGACUAGUCCCAAGAGAAGAGAAGUUGUAAGAAGGAUUAAGAUCAUGAAAAAAUACACACUCUAUAUUAAUCAUAUAUUUACCAUAAUAUUUUUUCAGUUUUCAUCAAUUCUAACAGUUUAUUUACAAAAACUAUGUAUCCGUGUAAUCUCCUUGGUUUAGUGAUUGACCAUAGAUUUAAUUUGAUUCCAAAACGAUGCUAGUUAAUGGAAUGCAAUUUUAUAGAAGGUUUAGCAUGGUGCAAAUAGAGCUGUUCGUCAUAAUUCAUCAGUCAAAGUAAAACUGCCCAUCACAAACAUGGUACAUGUAGAACCAUUUAUCGUGGAUUCUUGUAAAUAGAUAAAGAAAAUCAUUGUAUAGAAGCAUUUGUAUAAUUGUUUUCAUAAUUUAUAAUCCUUUAUACAGUAUUAAUCAAUUAGGGUUGAUAAAAAACAGUAGUUUCACAUUUAAUUUACAAAUAAGUCAUCUGAUGUGUCAUCGCCAUAAAACUUCUCCAAAAAAAAGUUAACUUACUAGAAUAAUUACAUUCAUGUCAUUUAGAUUACAUUCAUGUCAUUCACAUUUAAUUUACAAAUAAGUCAUCUGAUGUGUCAUCACCAUAAAAGUUCUUCAAAAAAAAGUUAACUUAUUAGAAUAAUUACAUUCAUGUCAUUUAGAUUUAAUACAUGCAUAUAUAUAUAUAUAUAUAUAUUAUAAUGAGAUUUAUGUAGAAUAUUAAAUUAAUAUUAUUUUUAAGUUUAUUCAUUUCUAUAAAAAAAAAUUAAUUUUUAUUUUUUGUCUCCAAAUUAUAUUACUUUGAUUCAAAGGGUUAUGAUUUUAUUUUCAAAAUUUCUUUUUUAUUGUGACAAUACAAGUUCAAUAUUUAUUUGCUCAAUAUAAUUUUUUAUUACAAAAUCUCUUAUUUUUCAUAUUUAAAUUCAAAUUUAUAUAAUGGAAGAUCUAACCUUCAUAUUAUUUUUAUGAUUAUUCAAAUGUAAAGCAUGUAAUAUAAUUCGCACACGUUUACUAAUGAUUAUUGAGAUAUAAAAAUAUAAUAGUGUUUAAUGCUAAAGGUCUCAUCAAACUAUAUUCUGAUUUGAUUAUAUCGUUUGAUGCUAAUAUAGUUUUAUGCUAUUGGUCUUAUCCAGGGGUGGAUUCAGAAAAAAAUUUAGUAGAUAGCAUAAUUUUAUAAAUAGGGAAAAACAAUUUUUUAUAUGAAAACAUAGUAUUAACAUAUAAUUUUAAUGAAAUUAAGUUAACAAUUGGAUUGUUUCAGCUUUUACAACUACUUUUAUAUUCAAAUAAGCUUUAAAGAUUGAAUUUUUUUUUCUUUUACUUUUUUUAUUAACAUGAGCAACAUAAUUUUAAACUAUAGGGAUUUUUUCCUUUUUAUCACUAAAUUAAGAACAUUUAAAUUUAAUUUACCAAAACUAUUUAGGAAAAAUAAAAACGGUAAGGGAAACAUGACCCGAUAUGGUCUUUACUAUGUCCGCCUCUGAUCUUAUCAAUCACACACGUACAAAGAGAUAUUCACGUGACGAGUUGCAUAUUUUAAUUUAAAAUUGAAUAAAUUUUUUUACAGAAUACUAUUUAUUUUACAUAUUCGAAUUCAAAUCAGAAUAUUUUUUAUUCAAAUAUAAUUGUAUUAAAUUUUAUAUUUAAAUUCAAAUCAAAUCAAAUAAAGCUUUUAUUUCUAAUCAUAAGAAAGUGUAUAGUUAAAUCAAAUUUUAAUAAAUUUGCAACUAACAUAUAUCUGCAGGGAUUAUUCAAUUAGAACAAGGUUUAUAUAGAAUAAAUAGAUUUUUCAUGGUAAGAGUAAUUUUCACUAUUGGUACUCCUUAUGGAAAGAUAAAUUGUUGCUAUUAAAUAAUUAGAUAUUAAAUACAAAAUUACGUUUUCUGAUUGAAGAGACAUUUGAUUUCGAAUUCACAUUCAAAUCUUCUUAAUAUGUGGGAAACCCUUGAUUUCCAGCACUAUUUAAUCGAUAUCGAUUAGCACCCUUUCUUAUGAUUAAACAAAUACAUACUAAUAUAAUUUUUAAAUAUUUCAUUUGCAAGACCGAGAUUACUACCUACAAGAUAACUACUUAGGCUAUUAAAAAGCUGACAAAAAGGCUAUUAAUAAAAAUAAAACUAUCAUUCUUAGGGAUUUACCAUAUGCUUCAUACAGUGUUUCCUUAAGAGUUACACUUCUAUUUGUCCAUUUACCGGUGAUAUUUUCCUAUUUUUAUUAACUCUAGCAAUUGUCAAUUACUUAAAAUAGGUUAUUACCAGCGCAGAAUAAAUAUUAAUCAUAAUUUUUUAUUUAAAUAUGUAAAUAUAAUGUAUAUAAGUACAACUAUAAAAAUGUUAGCUGAUAUUUUUAAUUACAACUAUAUAUGCUGAUUAUGCAAUCAUAAAUAAUAAUUAAAAUUACAUUUAUUUUGUAAUACAAAUACAUAAAUGCUAAAUAAUUAUUAGUUUUAUAAUUAAUUUUAAUAAUAUUUUUUAUAUGACUGAACUUACACAUUAAAUAUACUAAAUUAGAUUAAUAUGUUCUAUCUAACAGGUCUAACAUCAAACUAAAAUACUUUGCUUUUGAUAUAAAAAAUUGAAUUAUAAUAUGUAUGAAAAUAUUUAGAUUAUUUUAUUAUUAAAUAGAUAAUGUAAUUAUUGUUUUUUAAAGAAAAGUAAGAUCAAAUAAAAGACAAAAUACAAAAUAUAAUGUUUAGAAACAUAAUUAAUGUUAUGUAUUAAAAUUUUAUAAAUGUGAUAAGAAAUAGAAAUAGAAAGAAUAUCUUUACAAAUUAAAUGUUUGAGUAUUAAAUAUAUAAUUGACAUAAAUUAAUUUCUAACCAAAUUAAUGUUAGUGGCAUAUGAUAUACUUAAUCUAGUAAGUUUCUUUUUUUUUGAACAUUUAUUAAUCUAGUAAGUUGACCAUACUUUUUAAAAAUCUAUAAAAAACUCUCUGAAAUUAACACCUCAAUAUGACACUUAUGUAAAUAAUACAUAAGAUAAAUGUUUUUUUUAAAGCAUUUUUAUCAAUUAAUAAUAUAUAACUUUUCAUUUCAUCCCGUGAUUUACCCAGUCCGUCCUAAAAUUAAAGUGGUAAGAUGAUGAUAAGUAUAUGUCUACGUUGCAUCGGUCCCCUUAUGGUGGGUUGUUGGAUCCAUCAGUGAAUAAUUUGAAAGUCUAUAAAUGGCGAACCCCACCAGUGUUUUAGACUGUUUCUUAUUAAUGUCUUUUUUUUUUUGGCAGUCUUAUUAAUGUCUUAAACACAGCACAAUCACACACGUAUAGAACUAUAGAUAUCUAGAAAUUCCAUUAUUGGAUUAUAAUUGAUUUUAUUAUGACGGAUUCUUUUGGACACAAAAGCUAGCCGACGUCUUCUUUGAAAAUUCUCACAACCGACAGAUUUUAAACAGCCGUAUAGAGACAAAGGCAGUGAGAGUAAAGCAUAGAGUGACAACACGUAGUAACUACAAAGAAUUGACUUUUUAAAGGGUGCAAAAUUUUGCCUGGCUAUAUUUAAUCGUUAUACUUCUUUUUAUGGAUAAUUGCUUGGCUAUAGUUAAUUUAUGCCGACUGCUACCAAAAUAUCGAUCAAAGUCACCUAAGCGUAGAGAAAGCUUGAGAUUUACGUAAUUAUAAUUCAUUUUUUUCAAAUCUAAAUAUUCAAAAAAUUGAUUAUAAUAUGUAUGAAAAUAUUUAGUUUUUUUUCAAAUCUAAAUAUUUAGUUUUUUUUCAAAUCUAAAUAUUAAAUAUACUAAAUUAGAUUAAUACGUUAUAUCUAACUAAUCUAACAUCAGAUAAUUUGUUUUUAAUAUAAAAAAUUUGAAUUAUAAUAUGUAUAAAAAUUGUAGUUUUCAAAUGAGCGUAGAUAUAUAGUUUUCAAAUUAAGCAUGUUUAUUUCAUAUAUCAGAUUGGAUAGUAUUUGAUUGAGAUACAGGUUGUCAUGUAGUUUUCAAAUUAAGUAUGUUCAUUCCAUGUAUUGGAUUGGGUAGUAUCGGAUUGGGAUACGGGUUGUCAAGCCCAGACCCGAACCUCAAAACUUUUGGGUUAAGAACGAGAAUAAAAAUUAUGGGUUAUAAAUUUGGGAUACGGAUUGUCAAGCCCAGAUCCGAACCUCAAAACUUUUGGGUUAGGAACGAAAACAAAAAUUAUGGGUUAUAAAUUAGUUAUUCUAAAAAAGAAAAAAAUGUUAAUAAAAAGGUUAGAAUGAUCGAACUUCUCACCUUGAAUAUGUUAUUUUCAAACAAUAACUAGUUCCACUACUGAAGAUUAUAGUAAAAACCGGUCAGAAAAUACAUACUUUAUAUAUGGUUGGCAACACAUGCUUCCUUACCUUCUAUCCAAAAUCCAAUUUUAUACCAGUAUUUGGGGAAGAUCCAAUUAAGCAUGUUCAUUCCAUGUAUCAGACUGGGUAGUGAGAAGAUCAAGAGAUUGUUGAACAGUUCUUAUGUUGUAUAAUUGUAAAAGAACCGAUUACAAUAUAUAUAUAGAAGCUUUAGCUUAAUCCUCAAGUUAAAGAUAAACACAAAUAAGGAAUAUUUAAGAUUUUCUAAAUAUUUUCUCAUACUCUCCCUCAAGAUGGCGAGUGGAGAUCCCGAACUUCCAUCUUGCCAAAAAUAUAAGAAAAUUGAAUUCGUCCAAGUGCUUUAGUAAACAAGCCUGCAAGCUGUUCAUGUGUGCGAAUAUAAGCCGGUGCGAACUCCUGCUUGGAAGGCAUCACAAAUAGUGUGACAGUUGUUCUCUAUGGAUUCUGCAGAAUGUCUAGUGCUGCCUUGUUAUCACAGUAAAAAGAAACUGGUUCUGGAUGCUUGAUAUCGAACACAGAAAGAAGCUGGAGAAACCAUUGUAUCUCAGAGAAUGUGUAAGACAUUGCGCGAUAUUCCGCUUCUGGAGAAGAACGAGAGACAACUCUGUUUUUUUUUUUUUUUGUCUUCCAAGAGACAAGGGAAUCACCAAAUAAGAUGGCAUAACCAGUGAGGGACUGCCAAGUUAUCAGACAAGAAGACCAGUCCAAAUCACAAUAAGCAAACAUGUGAAGAUCGGGUUUGGAGUUAAGGAAUAUACCUUGCCCAUGCGUACCCUUAAGAUAUCGUACUACUCGAGUCUCUGAAUCUCAAUGCUUCUUCCGUGGUUUAGUGAGGAACUGAGCGAGUAAAUGGACCGCAUAGCUGAGAUCAGGCCGAGUUACAGAUAAGUAUACUAAGCGUCCAACAAGCCAACGGUAUCUGGAUGGAUUGUCAAAAUAUUUUCCAUCGUCUCCAGCUAGUGUAUGGUUUAGCGUAACCCUCAAGUUAUCCAAUACAUAUUCUGAUAAGCCGCAUUCAGAAACGAUAUCCAAUGAAAUAUUUCUUUUGGAAAUAUGGAUCCCUUUCUUUUCACAAAAUAUUUCCAAACCGAGGAAGUAUUUUAACACGCCAAGAUCCUUUAUAUGAAAACUCUUACUCAUGUAAGCCUUGCAUUUGGAGAUAAGAGUUGUGUCGUUGCCCCCUCUAACCAAGUCAUAUACAUAAACAAGAACAUAGAUGCAAGAAGAGCCACGAUGAUAUGAGAAGAGAGAGUAAUCCUUCUUGUUUUGUACAAAACUAAACCGCAACAACGACGCUAAAAGCUUAGCAAACCAACAACAUGGAGCUUAUUUGAGACCGCAGAGAGACUUUUGUAGUCUACACACUUUGUUUUAAUCGGAUGAAGAGAAACCCGGCGGAAGCUGAUGUGGUGUAUGCGGGGGUAUCAAAUUUUACCCUAAAAGAAAUAAAAGAAAGCCGCAAGUGCACAGCUAAUCAGUUGUAAUACUUAGAGAUCGAAUCCAUAGAGAUUUGCCAAAUAUUUUUCUACGGUCUCGUAGCUUGUUGGCCGUCUUCAAAUGUCUUCGGGGAAAAUGGAAUAUCUUGAGAUCCAACCGUUGGAAUGUCUCCAAAGUAAGUGCAUUUGAAAGCUGGUUGAGUCUUCUAUUAAGUAUCCAAUUUUGGGGAUGAUCAGACGGUGAAAAGCUCUUCAUCUCUCCUUGAGAGUUCUGACGGUCUGAAUUUAUCCAAAAUAGUCUUUUUGUUCCAAUUUUCACCUCUUUCUUCCAAAUUACCUGAAAAGUCUUUAAAAAUCCGAAAACAUAAAAAUCAUUUGAAAACCUUUGAAAAUGGAGUAAAAACACCUGCAAAAUAUAUUACACUGAUCCAUAAAAAUGGUCAAGGUGUUAUAAACUCCCCCAGGCUUAGACUUUUAUUUGUCCUCAAACAAAACAAAGAUCAAAUCUCGGUGAGAGGUUUGAAAACGCAGGAACUAACAAAAUCUCAGAGACCAUACUUCUAGACUAAAAUCAAUCAUUAUGCAUUAACCGGGGAUAACCUAGAAAAUUCUCACUAAAAUACAUGCAUAACUAAUCCGUUGAUCUGUCAUGCGAAAGUAUAUACACUUAGAUCUAACUUCCACUCAACUAGCUCUUAACAUUUAUUAAAAAUCUAUGUGGUUCUCAUCAAAAUAAGUAUAAGCAAGGCGAUUUGGGCUAGGUGUCAAAAAGGCUCUUUUCGGGGUGAGGUUUUAAAGUGUUUUGGGUUACCUUGAUUUUUAGAGAAGUAGGGUAUUAUGCAAAACAGCAAGAGAUAAUGGAGCUGUUGAUAUCUACAGUUUCCAGUCACAUUCUUCUUGCUUUAGAAUCUUUUAUAUUUCUCAGGUUCUCCUUUUAGUUCCCCCAGACUUAGAUUCUUGUCUGGGUUGUAACCGUAACUCCAACAGAUGCAUACUAAUCGCCUUUUGCCUCAAAUAAUUUUGGCCAUCUAAGACUCUUUAGGCUUUUGUUUCUUUUCUUUUCAUUCUUUUUCUUCUCUCUUUUUUCUCUUUUUUUUAGAAGAGGGAAAACACCUUUAGAUAUAGAGUCUUAGAGGACACAAAAAUUUAGCAUUAAGAGCAACCUUUUCGAAGUGUCUUAACAUUGCCGAUGUACCUCCCUUCCAACUCCCAUUUAGUUCUUCUCUUUGGAUGACUGAAAACUGUGCCGUUCCUCCCUCUCCAGCGUUUUUGCUCAUAUCUGCUGAUAUAAGCUAAAGAGAGGAUAUGUGAGGUAUGAAAAAAAAAGGAUUGGGUAAAGGUAUGGUACCAGCUAAAGAUGAACUAGCCAUCUAAGACAACAAAGAGUGGUAAAAAUGAGGGAAAAGGUGUUCUAGAUGUAUAUCUUGAUGCUUGCCUAAAAUCAAUGAUGAGAAACUUAGAUAUCAAUAUUAAGGUGAUGUGGCCAUCAACCCAGCUCAACAUCACAAAGAGACCCCAAUGAUCUUAGACAAACCAGACGGCCCAUCCGAAGCCGAGAGAUGCCUUAUAGAAGCUGAACCGGAGAAAAUGAGCAUAAAGGCGAGCCCAACAGAAACAGAAGUGAAAACUUGGAGUUUCACCAACCAAAUGUCAUCAAUGGAGUCUGUGAUCGAGCCAAAACACUUUUCAGUUGAUCCAGAAAUGAAGUUACCCAAGAAUCAACUCAAACUCUUGGCCAAAGCAUGUUCAAGCAACACAAGAAGACCCAUGCACCUUAUUCAGCACUGAUGAAGUCAGAGAUCAGCUGGUACAGCUCGGCCAACACUUUUAUUACAUUUCUAUCUCAUCCAGUGAACGCCUAGAAGUGGAAUCAGCCCAAUUAGAUCUCAGAGAAAUGAGUUAUUCAGCUUACAAAUCAGGUGAUGCACAACUUCUACGAUUUGAACAUACGUGCCUUAUUUGGAGGUUUCCGACCGAACCAGAAGGAUAUAAGCUGUGAACCGACUUGUUCCCAAUUCUUGAUUCAUCAUAGAAUCGGAGACAGUUGGAAUCAAACCAAUACCGGUUAUGGUUAGAAAUUUAUUCACUUUACAAGUUGGAAGAUCUGUUUCAGACCCAAUUGCGCAGUUAGGCUGAAGAUCUUACUCUACAGCCCAACUCAUCCACGUUCUCAGCCCAAAAUUACUUGGAGAAUAUUUUUUGGUCUUUCUUGGAUCCAACAAGCUCAAGAUCCGAAGAAUUUCUCAUUGGAACUUCAAGUUACACCCAAUAUCCCAAAACGGGUUGACUUGGUUCCAUUUAUGGCAGGUCUGAGCUCUGACUGGUAUAGAUCGCUAUCUACAAGAGUUUGGCGCCCAGGAGAGACUCUAAGGCAACUAAGGAAGCUUAGAAACACCUUACCAUGCACCAGCACCCACAGGAUCAGGCGGAUCGUUUUGCAAGCUUACUUUCCUUAUGUGGCCGCAUUCACACUCGGUGCUAUUAAUCACCAAUAGCUCUUUUCCUUUGAAUGCUACGACUUGGACCCUAAAAACGUCUAGAUACAAAGGCAUCAUCACAUUUUCAUAUUUGGUCGAGAUCCUCUUAUUUAGAGCCUAUCGGCUAGUUUUUGAUUAGCUUUGAUUUGUUUCUUUGUUUUUAGCAUUUUAGAACGUGUAAGAGCAUUAUAUAAGCUCAUAUUAGUCCAUUUGUAAAAACUCAUCUUUCAAUCAAAUUAAUACAGAAGUUUCUUAUUUUCUUUCAAAGUGUGUUCUUUGGAAAAUUGUCUUUUCUUUUGAAUAAAUGUGUGAGAUUCACUUCUAUUCUCUAGAAGCCACGAAUUUAGUUGUUUGUGUUACUCAAAUAACUUGUUCGUUCAUCGAUUGAGAGAGUCAAUCAAACCACCACCUUCCAUCUCAAUAUCACGUACGCCCACUUUCGCAAACAAACUUGUAAACUCUUGAUUAUCUUGUGAACAUAAGAUUUGGUGGAUUCCAAUCUUAUAUCAUUUGGUAUCAGAGCACAAGUUCCUAUCAAAGUGCUUAUGUUCUUUAUCUUUCCCUUUUGUUAUUUUAAUUCAGUCUUUUUUCAUUUUAAAUCAUAAAAAGAAAAAAAAAUUAUUGUUUUGAAAUAUUCUAUGUUUUCUUUAAUUCUAAAAAAUCAGAAAAUAGAAAUAAGAAUUUUCCCUUUUGUUAAUUGCAUUUUCGAAUUUUGUAUCCAAAAAUAUAUAAAUAUAUUUAUCGGUUUUUCUUUUAUUUUUGGUUUUGCUUUAAUUCCAUUUAAAAAUCAGAAAACCAAAUAAAAAUAUCUUCUAUUGUUUUCUUAAAUUUUAUAACUCAGAAAAACAGAAUUUUCUUUUAUUAUUUAAGAUUGUCGAAUUUGUUUAGUUUUUUAAAAAAUCCCUUAUUUUUGAAAUAUUUUGUUGUUUGCUUUAAUUUCAUUAACCAGAAAAAAAAAGAAUUUUUAUUAUUAUUAGAAUUUUGAAUUUGUUAAACAAAAAAAAAAAGAAGAAGAAGAAACCAUUGUUUUAUUUACAUUCUCUUUCUUUCCUUUCUUGCUUAAGCCAAACUUUGAUACGCUUCUUCUUUAUCUCUGCGAGGUACAACCCUAAGGAGCAGCCACCAUGACUGAAUCAGAAGAAGAUCAGUACCAAUUUGAUGGAGACCAAUGGUGUCAAGGAGAAGAGAGUUUAGCUUUUUCCGAUGAGGAGGCUGACUAUGAGUCUCCACCGUGACUAGGAGAUGGCUACACCAGCUCUGGAAUUGGAGAUGAAUCAGACUGUGAAGAGUACGAUCCAGAGCCACCAUAUUACAGCAGAGUCAACACUAAUCAAUCAGCUUAGUCUAGAGAUAAAGAGACAGGCCGAGAAAAAGGUGUAGAAGGUGACCAUGAAGGAGAUCCUUGGCAGGACGAAACUGAGUCUUAAUAUC
RNAcentral lists this long non-coding RNA (140235 nucleotides) under Eutrema salsugineum. RNAcentral's name for it is "long non-coding RNA (ESAL_LNC000709)". Lineage: Eukaryota; Viridiplantae; Streptophyta; Magnoliopsida; Brassicales; Brassicaceae. The record is from RNAcentral.